AAUCCUGUGUACCCGUUAAUAUCGUCACAGAGAUAUAAGGUCAGGUGGAUAGUGAUCUCUGGAAGAGGUAAACGACGAGCCGAUUUCUCGUGCAUCAGAAGGAUUAGAAAAGGUCUAAGUUUCACUUGAACUAGGUUUCAAGUCUUCAAGCUUCUCUUUGAGUUAAAAAAAUUAUUCAAAUGUUGCACGUGGAUGAUUUGAAUAAUAAUUUAGUGUUGCAAAUGUCGUGAUACUAAAUAUUCCCAAAAGACUUUAAACCGCUUUCAUCUUGUUCAAGUUUGUAUAAAAAGUUCAAUUGUAAGUAAAUAAAGUGGAUUUUUUAAUAAAUAAUUAUUUUAUUGGUCAACUAAAAAUGGCGAGAUGAAGAAAGAGAAAAAAUCUCACAUGGUCCCUGCAACUCUAGUGCUGAUGUGGGAGUUAUCAUCCUCAUCGAGCUUGGCUAAACCAAAAUCGGAAAUCCUUGGAUUGAGGUCUUUAUCAAGAAGAAUGUUGUUGGGUUUUAUGUCUCUAUGAACAAUUUUCAACGUGGAUUCUUCAUGCAGAAAAGCCAAGCCUCUUGCUAUACCAAUACAAAUUCUUUGUCUGGUUUGCCAGUCCAUUUUUAAUUGCCUUUCCUCUGGUCCUGUUCCUGAUAAUACGAUUCAAUUAAGUGUGUGCAUUGAUUUUAAAUACUAAAUUUGUAUAUUAGACAAGAUUUUAAAGAAUGCACAACGCAGGCAUAAAUUUCAAUUACCAUAUAAAGCGCGGGCAAGGCUAUUGUUCUCCAUGUAUUCAUAAACCAGCACUAAAUGGCUUCCCUCAAUGCAACGUCCAUACAAUUUUACGAGAUUUGGAUGCUGUAAACUAGAAAUCAUGCCUAUUUCAUUCACGAAUUCACGGUUCCCUUGAUUUGAUUUGGAAGAUAGCUGCUUGACAGCAAUUACACUACCUUCCAAUAGUAUACCCUGCAAAUGAAGCAUUAUAGUACCACAGACAUGCACGCAUAUAGAAAUGUUAGAAAAAUAUAAGCGCGAAGGUAUAGACAAAGUAUAAGAGAGAAAAGUUGGAAGUUAAUAUUUCUACAUACCUUGUAGAUAGAUCCAAAACCACCUUCCCCAAUUUUAUUUACAGCAUCAAAGUUGUUUGUGGUGGCUUUGAUUUGUCUAAAAGUAAAAAAGCCAGUCCGCAAAUCUAAUCUCCUUAGUUCUAGAAAAGAACAAUUUUUAGAUGUUGAAUUCAUUGUAAGCUAUAUAGUUAAGGAUUUCGUCAUCUCUCUUUUUCUCUAUGCAGUACACUAGAAUAUAUUUUAGUUUUUCUUUGAUCUAUUGCUUGGCCAUGGUCACAUCACCACGAAAAAGUUAUUUAUCCUAAAUUUGAGAGUAACUUCCAUAGUUGUCAUCUGAUGCAUUACUACUGUAAGACUAUCCAUAACAUUAUAUAUGACAAUUCAAUAUUUACAUUCUUGCUUAAAUACUAAGAAAGGUCUAUUUGUUCACCUUCUUCCCUUGAGAUCCUGCCUCCUAUAUAGCCUUUCCACCAUGAAAAAAUAAGAAUAAUGAGAAUGAAAAAAAUUACCAAAGCUGUUACUCCUGUUGGGAUGAAAAUAUUCUUUCCUUCGGAUGGAGACUUAAAAUCUACAUAAUGAAAGAAAUAAAGAAUAAUUUGUUACAUGGUGUUCAGUUUGCUAGCUAGCACCAGAAAAAAAUUACAUAAAGGAAUUGGUAUAGGGAAUUUGAGAACAAUAACAAGUGAAAAAGAACGAUAAUAGAUUAAUUAAUCGAGUACUAAUUUAAGUGCCAUCAACACCUGAGUCAUGUUGCUUAAGUUGCAAAAGAUUAUGUGGUUGUGCAGAUAAGAUGUAUAUUUUCUCAAAUAAAUAGAUAAAAAAAAAAUCUUAAGAGAGAUAGAGGUGUUUUGAGGAUAAAUUUAAUGGUAUUACACAAACAAUCUUACCAGAUUCCACAGAAAUGGCAGAUAUCAAAGGGCCAUAUACUCUUCCGAAAGGGAUGGCUAUUGAUCCUUUCCCAAAAUAGUAAAAUCAGAUAUCCAGAGUUUUAUUCUUAACUAUCGCAUUAAAUUGUUUUUUCACAGCUUUAUCAACUCCUUUCGCAUCCUUCUUAAUAUCAAAAUCUUUCAAUUUCAGUUCAUCCUAUAUUACGUUGAAUAAGUUUGAGUCAAAUUGCAACAGUAAAUGGCACUAAAAAGAACUGUUUAUUUAUUACUUGACCUGGAUAUAAACGUCAAACAUCCGUCUCCCAAGACUCUGGAAAGAGUUAUUAUCUCUAAAAAUUAUCUCUGCAAAGUGAAGUGUCACAGUGUAGUUUCCAUUUACUAAGCAACGCCCGUAAUAAGUGAGAGAUAAAGGAGAUAGACGAGCAUCUGCAUAGAGUUCAGAGUCCUUCAUUUUUAGCACAGAUACAUUGUAGGCUUUAUAGUGAUUCUUGAACCAAGGAAAAUGUCCUGUACUACUAGUUCCCCAGUUCUCUUUUGAGUGAACAAAUUGUACUGAACCUCCUGUUUGUACAUCAUCUUCAAUUUUUUUGUUGCCAAUAGUAACUUCCCCUCCACCACAGUUUACAUAAAAGGAAUACCAAUCUAUGAAAAACCAAAGCAUAUUAAGUUUUCUAGAACAUCUCCAAAAGACUCUUCAAACAUAAAAUUUCUCUAUUUUAAAGAAUCAAGCCUUAAAGUUAUGCUUCAAGAGACUAUUUAAUUUAACAUUUUAAUUUAGAGAGAGUUUGACUCUCCAAAUUUAGAGAGUCAAACACGCUCUUUAUAAUUUAAUGCAUUUAAAAUAUUUCAAUUUUCAGUGAAAAAUAAUAUAAUAAUUUAGAGGAAAGCUAGUGAAAAUAAAAGACAAGAAAAAAACAAUAAAUAUUUUUCUGAAGUAGUAAAAUUAAUUAUUAUAUAUAAAGAACUUGUUGAAGUACUUAAAAAUUUUUACUCCCUAAAUUUAAAUGUUCUUUGUCGCGGAAGCUCGUUCGAAGAUCUUAGAAAUGGUGAAUUUCGGGCUCAGUUUUUAGUUAUAUUUCUCUACCAAACAACCAAUUUACACUACUCCAACCCACAAUCAGUAUAUUUAUCUCGAUUGCUCCUCAAUCUCACCCACAAAGAAUAAGGUAACAGUGAUGAUUUAUAGGCCACAAAGGCAUGAGAAAAACAACGAAAAAGGCAAGAGAAUGGACCAAAAUACACAAGAUGAAGGCACUGAUUUUCUCUCUAUAUGGCAACUGGCCUUUCCAGGAAGAAGCAACCACAUUUUUCCUCAUUUUCAUAAACAAAUCAUACACUAACGGCAAGGGGAAAAAGCAACAUAUAUAUAGGGUUAGGUUAGGUUUUAGUUGGACCAAUAAGGGUUAAAUGGGCCAAAAUUCAAAGCUAUCUAAGAGGCAAUAUAUAUGUGCUGUGAGUAGCUCUAAUUUCUUAAGCUACUUCCUACAGUCCAUAUUGUUUUUAGGUCGCGCUUUUAGACUUAAUUGUUGGUAACAAUUUCACUCAUUGACCAAUACCUAUGAAACUCAAUCUAACAUUUAAUAAUCAUAGCCAAAGAUUUAUUGGGUAUCAAAACUCAACAAAUCUUCACCUUUAUACCCAAUCAACUUACAAGUAAUCAAAAUACAAAGUUAGUACUUACACAAUCAAAGUAGCUAAUAAAAUUAGGAUCACAGACUUUACCUCGUGUUUUGGACCCGAAACACAUACCAUACCAACUUUACGUACUCACCAGGGCUAUAGUCUUAAAGAAAUACCCACAGAUCUUUUCAAACCCAUGUUCGCACAGAACAAAAGAUUAACACCAAGCUAAUCAACAAACGGUUAACAUAUAUACAACAAAUGCAUAAAUGACCACAUGAAAAGAUCUUACCACACUUAUCCUAUCCCAUUUUUGUUCCCCUCUCAUUGCCCACCAUGUUUACUAAACUGAUCACUCAAUUCAUGUCUAACUCAUAAAUCAAAAUAGGUCCUAAAUUCAUAGGAUAAUCCUAUAUCACCAUAUUUCCAACCUACGUGGAUAAAUGAUUCUCCACCUAACAUAAGUGAUAGAAGUAUAUCUCUUACACUCCACAUGAUCAUGAUUUUCUCAGUUAAAGAGUUCCAACAUUUAAUCACAUUUUCACUCGUGAUCAAAAUGUCACAUCUCACAUUCCUGGUACAAACCACCAAUGUACCCCUAGUCAUCUAUACUCCACCUCACCAAUAGACACACAACACAAUUAUUGCUAUUACAUCCUAAUCCACUAUGUAUGCAAACAAUUAUACCAAAUAAUCACAUUGCUCUCAAAUUCAUACAAUGACACAUAGAAAUAUCAUAUAACUAUGCAACAUAAUUAAGCAAUCAUACAUGCAGAAAGGAGUACACACAUUUGCACAUGCAAUAACUAGGUUUACUCUCAAUAAACCUCACUAUGAUUAUCACUCGACCUUAUAGCCAUAUUCACCUCACCUCUCAUCUUACCCUUCUGCUUAUCCCCUUUUUUGGGACAACCUCUCACAAAGUGUUUAGACUUACCAAAGCUGUAACAUUAGUUACCACUAGACUUAUCCCAACCUUUAACCUUUUUUUUUUUUUUUUAACCACCGUCAACACUCGAGUCACCACUUAAAUCACAACUAUCUUGAUUUCUUCCCAAAUUUAUAUUUUUAAACUUCAUUCUACUCUUCAUUAUAUAUAACUUACAACUCCUCUUAUCCUCCUUUUCAGCCUUAAUCUCCAUUUUCUUAUUGUUAAGAGAAUCUAUGGCAAUAUCGGGUGUUAAGAUGUCACUACUAUAUUUAAUUGCAUUCUUAACCUCUCUAUAUGAAUCAUGUAUUGAAUUAAGCAAAAUAAUGGCAUGAUACGUUUCAUACACCUCCUAUCACAGUUAAAAUUAUAUUGAACCAGCUUGUUAAAAACAUCUAAAAAUAUAUUGAACGAGCUUGGCAAGGAUUCAUUUUAAAAUUGAAAAAUCUAUUGAGCAGACGCAAUUUAUUAGGAGUAGACUUAAGCAAAUAUAAACCCUCCAACUUUUUUCAAAGUUUUUUUAGUAGAAUCAAGUUUUUCAUUUUUUCUCAAAAUAGUGUCUGAUAGGUGUAAAAUAAUUAAAGUGUAAGUAAAUUUAUCCUAUUCUUCUUUUCGUGCUUCCGUCAAAUUUGCUGGAAAUUUGCUAUUUAUGACUUUUGAAACUUUUUGUUGAACUAAAAUCUUUUCAUUUUUUGUUACCUAAUAGAAAAUUCCCCUUUCUUAUUGAGAAUUUCAACUUCAAAAUGUGAUGACAUUUUGAAAAACAGAACAACUAAAGUGCACAAAUAUGUCACACAAAGUAAUCAUAAGGACGCAAUAUAUAUCAUUAUAGAUUCCCAGGGUUUCGUGAGACUUGAGAUCUCAGUAUCAAGGAAAUGUUCAAAUGGGUUAAUACUAGGUGUUCUAACAGAAUAACCAAUGUAACACGAAGGUAUAUCAACAAAAAUUUAGUUUUUCACACAAUCCAGUCUCACACAGUGACUAAAUGGCAACUAGAGCACAAGGAUAAUUAUCAACUUACUGUCCAAUUCAACACUUCAAAUAUGGUAAGUAAUGCCUAAAUUUCUAGCACAAUCAAUGGUUACCUACAUGGUAACGCCAAUCCUGAAGUAGAAAUUUAAAUUGGGAUAAGCCAAUAAAUCAGAGUGAACCAAUCUCAGUCCAUAAAUAAUGAGAGAUGCGAACUUACACUUUUGGGCCACCACUACUUGCCAUAAAGUUUCCAUCAAUCGCAGAAAUCAAUCAACCAUGAUCGAAUCCCGAACACACGAAGGAUAAAUUUAUCCAAAUUCCACUGUAUAAAUUUAAACAGAAAACUAAUAACAUCAAAAUGUCAGGAUCAAAUUACCUGAAAAGACCUCUAUCUAAAACCUUCGCAUGCGCCCUCAAGCGCCACCAACAGCCUUUGUGCAUGGGAUUCACGCACCGGCCACUCUGGUGCGCCUUCACGUGCACGUCACACUAGUAGUCUCCAUUUCACCAAAAUCAUUUUUGUUUGAUCAGAAAUCAUGAAAACAUCCUCGAUUUUUGUGUAAUUUUCUAGACAAUUUUGCAAUCUAUUUUUUGCUUCGUUGAAAGCCAAUUUUCUGUCAAUUUUUCGAGCCAAAUCUAUUACUUGAAGCUUUGAUACCAAUUGUCAUGGAAGCUUUCUCCAAGAUCUUCGAAACGGUGAUUUUCAAGCUCAGUUUUACGUUACUUUUCACUACAGAUCAAUCCACACAGUCCAACCUACAACCAAUAUAUUCACUCGGUUCCUCCUCAAUCUCACUCACAAAUGACAAGAUAAUGGUGAUGAUUUGUAGGCCACUAAGGCACGGGAAAAUUGACGGAAAAAAGCAAGAGAAUGGACCAAAAUACACAAGAUGAAGGCACCGAUUUUCUCUCUCUAUGGGAGCCGAUUUUACAUGAAGAAGCAGCCAUGUUUUUCCUCUUUUUCAUACACAAAUCAUAUACUAAUGGCUACAGUAAAAAGUAACAUAUAUAUAGGGUUAUGUUAGGCUUUAGUUGUCCCAAUAAAGGGUUAAAUAGGUCAAGAUUCAAAGCUAUUCAGUAGAUAAUAUAUAUAGAUCGUGAGUAGCAUUAAUUUUUAAGCUACUUCCAAUUGUCCAUGUUGUUUUCGGAUCAAGCCUUUGGACUUGAUUGUUGAUAAUAAUUCACUCAUUGACCAAUGCCUAUGAAAUUGAAUCCGAUGUUUACAUCGCAGCCCUAAAUUCAUUGAGUAUCAAAAUCCAACACUCUAAAUUGUAGAAUAUGCUCUUGAGUGUAAAACAGAUAAAAGUGCUAUAACUAUAUACGAUAUAUUACAUUACUACUGUAUUCUUUUUGUUUUUAGUUUUCAACUUGAGCACAAAAAAUGAUAUUGCAAACUUGUUGGUAUACUACGCUUGGAUGAUGAGAUUCGUGUAAACAAUCAAGGCUGAGCUUGUAAAAUGAAGUACUUACCCUUUCAACAAGGAGUGAGGCACUUCCCCUGUUCUCUAUAUGAAGUCAUAUGGCAAGGGAGCAGAAUGAAUAAUAUGAUAUACAAAGUUAUGUUUAGAUUACAAUAAUCUUAUCUACAUAAGAAGCAACUUAAAAACUGUUUUCUCCACUAAAGCUUCUGAACAAGUUUCUGACGCAGAAAGAAAGGGAAAAAACAAAUUGAAGUUAUGAAAAACAUACAGAAAGACAGCAUACGAAGAAAAAUUGGGGCUUACAUAUUGUUCCUGCAAAUUGAUGGAUCAGAGUCUCAUUGAAGUUAUUGUAAGAAUGAUUUACGUGGCUGCAAAUGCAUUUAAUAUCUCUUUAAGAACUUAUUUCAAUCCUCUAAAAUUAAUGAAAGAAAAGAAUCCAUAAAUUACAUAGUGAUAGAUGUCCACCAGUAUGUAGUAACUAAAGUAAAAAUGAGAUUGUUUUCGAACUUAUGAGACUAGUCCUGUAUCUUAAGGUGAGCUUGAACAACAAUUGUAUGUCUGGAUAUAAAGAUGUCAAUAGAGGUCCUGAGAGAAAUGGGAAAAUUCCAUUUCUGUAUAAAUUUGAGGACAUCGUCAUUUAUGAUGGACAAUGCUACUAUUAAAUCACAUAGAUAAUCUUAUAGACGCUAAAUAAUAAGAAAUAUAGAAGUGAACUUACAGCUCUUCACUUAUGCUUUGGAUCCACUUUGGAAUUUGCCCACUGAUAAGAGUGUAAAAUACCAUAUUUUCCCCUCUUAACUAUUGCAUUCAUGUGAUUAUAUUCUGCCAAAAUGCAUUCAUUACUCUUAUAUUUUGGUUUAGGUUGCAUUUUGGUGAAAAAGAUGAAAUUCGGAAGAUACAAGUGAAAAAUGAACAGAGUAGAAGAGAACGAAAGUUCGAGGACUAAAGUGCAAAUGAUCCAAACUUGUGUCCAAGAUUAUGAUGAAGAUUCGAAAGUUUUAGAGGUCAAGUGGAUGAGAAAAGAAGUCAAAGGGAUGAAAUAACAUCAAAGUUUGAUCAAUACAUCAAUUUCCAAUCGAAAACUAACACACCAGUUUUUAGUCUCAUGUUGGGACCCAUUUUUGACAUGGAAGAUGAUAGAAUUGGGAGAUGACUUCUGAAUAAAAAUUGUGGCCCUUUGAGUUAGCUAUCCAAUGCAACUUGAAUCACCUCAAUUGGAUAUCGGAAAAGAAAGGUAUGAUUAAAACACUGAAAGCUGUCUGGCGGAACCUUGCGGCCGCAUGCCUUUCUACUAUGCGGUCGCAUACACCUAUACCGAGAAUUCAAGAGGCUGAAAGUGCAUAACCAUGCGACCGUAAUGACAAUAACCAUGCGGUCGCAUAGUGUUUUUUUGGCGGCCGAAUCUCAGUUUCCUUAUACGAUUGAAUCUCUUAUGGUAACCUAAUUUUCACGGGAUAUAAAUGCCCAAAACCAUCCAGAACGAAGGGAGACGCCACCAGACCUAUUUCUUUCAUCUUGGUGCUCAAGAAACUCCAUGGAAAACUAAGGAACUCGGUGAAGCAACGAAGGAACUCAUUGGAUUUGGAGAUUUCACGUCAUAAUUUCAUGUGAUUCGAACUCUCUUUGCUUAAUAAUUUCUAGAUUUGAAUCUUCUCGUUAUGAAUUAGUAUUGAAAUUUGUUUAACUUUUAAUAAAUUUCUCAUGGAUUCAGUCAUGUUUUUUCCAUUGUUAAAUUAAACUAUUUGUUGAGUUUCAAUUUAAAUUACUUAUUGUUGAGAUUAUUUUAACUUUUAUCAAAUCCUUCAUAGAUCUAGCCAUGCUCUUUCUAUCGAAUGAUUGAAAUAAUUGUUGAAUUUUAAUCUUAAUAUCACUUUAUUGGCGGAUUGAUUACUGCCUUAUGCCUGACGUAUAUGGUCGAUUUUUGAUCUUGUUCCAAUAAAAAUGUGCGAAUGUGUUAUAGAAAAUCUAGAUUCUAGAAAUAUAAUUGGAAUAAAAUUGGACUUCACUGUUAAAUCUUCCAAUUAGAGAGUUUGGAAGAAAACCUCUAAUUGAGUAAAAAUACAUGAAUUAUUGAUGCUGAUUGAUCCAAUCCAAUGGGGGAACUCCGACGCUUCACUAAUUCGCAUAUUGAUAAUUAAUUUUUAUUCCAAGUGACAAAUCAUUCCCACAUUUAAUUACGAAAACCCUAGUUUGUUUGAUCUUUUGAGAAAUUUUCCAUCUCCCUGUGGAUACGACACCCCAAAGUUGUACUACAAUAACCGCAUUAUUCUUUGGGCGUAAUCACCCACUGAGAAAGUUACUAGUCAGAAACCUAAUCACAAACAUAAAAUCCAAAUGAAAUCAAAAUUAUACAUUUAGAUGACAGGACAGAACAUCAUGAAAGAACAAAAGUAUGGCCUAGUAGAGUAUAUGAAUGACACUUGAACACUAAGGAUUGAAUAUGAACUGGACAUCCUUAUGUUUGGUUACAGUGGUCCUUAUUACUUGUUUUGGAAAUAAAAAGUAGGAUUUAGGAUAUGAACAUGAACAAAGUCUUCCAUUAUCACGCUUCAAUGACAGGUGAAUAACAGAGCAAAGCUUUUGUACAAAUCAAUUGAAUAAUAUCAUACUAAUUCACUUACAAGUUCGUUAGACUUGGUAGGCGAUCAAAAUCUGGAACCUCUCCUUUUAAGUUGUUAAAGCUCAGAUCUCUGUGAAUACACCACACGAACAUCUUACGACCAAACGCAUAUUUUCUCAGCUUAACAAUAUGGCAGUGCAUAGUUAUCUUAACAUAGAAAAGUAAACCUAAAUUUUGUAUGAUAUCCAGAAAGAAAGAAAAAAGAUCGGCACAAAAGCAAUGGAAGCAUAGGAAAACAAACAAAAAUUACAGGAUUUUCUAAUGUAGAUUGGGAAAAACUAAUGUGGCAAGCUCUUGGAUGGUACGAAACUUCACAAUCUGAAAAUGCACAUGGUACGUCCUCCAUAUUUUUCCAUAGCCAGGUCUCCACCACAAGUACAUAUUUUAUUACAAGCAGUAGGUUUUUGUGGCAUGGAGUACAACAAAUUCGUGUUUUUGGUCACUAUCUUCAACAAGUAACAAUAUAAGUGUCAAAUAUACUCAAUGAUAAUCAAUAAUACUCGAUGUCCUUCAAUGUGAGAUGUUCUCUUAGUGUAUAAAAUUAAAAUCACAAAUAAAUAUGGUAGCUAUCAAUUAUAAUUAUUCAUUAAUGGUAACUUAUUAAAUAUGGUAGUCCUUAUUUUUCACUAACAUCCCCUCUCAAAUCUCAAAUUGAUGCUUAUUAAUUUGCAAUCAUAAGUUGACGGUGGCGACAUUGCUCGUGCGCACGAAAAAGAUAUCCAAAUCAAAGUAAUCAUCUACGGAACAUUGUGACAACGAGAGAGCAAGAACAAUAAAUAGUACAGAAACAUCCAAAAACUACCUCAAGAAUAUUCCAAAACCACUCUAGAGAGUUCACAGCCCAAGAAGAAUUUCAAAAAGAAAUUCUUGAAGUGUACCGAUCACACAAUGAGAUCGGGAGAACUCAGUCAAACACAUAAUUAGUAUUCCAUCAAAAUCUCUAAUGGCCAAUAUACCAGCCAAAAAUCUAGUAAUAUAUCACUGACCAGGACGCUAUAGUUGGAAGAAAUAUCAGAAAACAGCCUGCACACAAAAAAAAAAAAAAACAAAGAUGAUCUGAGAACCCAAAAUUCUUGCUCGUCACCCAAGCAACCAAAGCUCCACCCAUGUCUCUCUCAUCCCAAUGACCAAUCAAUAUGAUUGCCAAGCUCCUUAUUGGAAGCAAAUCAAGCCACAUCCAUGUCGCCCACAAAGAGAAACCACAAUUUAUAGUCCAAUUGCUCACAACCCGUAACUACCUAGCCCAUUUUUAAUCAAGUUAUACACUCAUGUCCAAAAGCCAAGCCUACUUUCAACAAAUCCCUAACCUAUUCACAAAGCCUAGAAUAAAAUACUACUUAUUCAAAAUUGUUGAGGCCCAUAAUCAUCCAUUAAAGUCUUCAAAACCUAACCCGUUCAUCAAAUAAUAACGACGCCCAAACCAAUAAAGCAGCAGGCCCACCUACAAAUCCAUGACUCAGUGUCUUUUUUUAUCCCAUUCGCUUAAGAAUCUUCAGAUCUCUGCCAAAAAUCCAUUAAUUUUACUCUCACUAGUAACACUUCCUCUCUUUAAUCUGACGGUCUUGGAUUGAACUGAUACACAUUUUAUGCGCAAAUUAACAUAGUCGCAUUCACAGAAGUGUGAUUGUGUGUGAGAUGGCGUGUAAAGGAUUGUAGAAAAGUAAUGGGGUCUAGGAUAAAAAUCAAAUUCCAAUAAGAAUUCUCUCUACUUCUCAUGAUAAAGAUAUGUUGGCUGGUACUCCACCUCAGAAUUCCCAAUCAUUGACGAGCCUCUACACCUCAGAAUUGCUAGCAUUCAACGAGCAAUAUGGUGAUCCAUGGUCGACUAAUAGCUCUCUCUCAUCUUCAGCAAUUUCUCUGCGUUGAGAGAUCCGGCCCCUGGGUCGUCUAGUGGACUACUGGACUCGAAAAUGGUGACUGAAAUUUCCAUUUUUUCUAGAAUCGGUUGUUCCUGAAAUCCCACUGCCUAUGACAGAUUGGAGGCGAUGCUUUACAUGUCAGCAACGGCAGCAAGUAUGCUUGGUUCUGUUCAGUUCAUAGCAAUUUACAAGAUCGAACACAAGGAAUAUGGAUAGGGUCCACAGCAGCGGGGGCAAACUUGUCCUAACCUUUCUCUUCCAAUUAACUUUUCUCUCUGUAUCGCUUGAAACUCUUCGCAGAUUAAUUGCUUCACUGCUUUGGUGAAGUACUUAACUUAGUUUGGUGGUGAGCACACAAUUCAUCUUUUACCUCACUGUGAACGCCUGAGUAUCAAUAGGAGCGACAAAACCUAUUUCUUCUGUGCUAAACAAUUGAACUAAAUAUUUCUUAGGGUUAAGUGCUCUCUCUCAGUCUUCAGGUCACUAUUGCUUUGGCUGUUCUACCUCCGCCCACUGUUGAGACGGUUGUCGAUGAUGCAAUUAGAGAGAAAGAAUAGAGAAAUCACUUGAGGAUGAAUUGAGUUCUAAUCCAUAUGAUAUUCGAAUAUACUCAAUCAUAAUCAAUAAGCCCCUCAAUAUAAGAGGUUCUCUCGUUAUAUUGAAAUAUAAAAAAACUAAAUAUUCUAGCUAUCAUUUACAAUUAUCCAUUAAUGGUAACUUAUUAAAUACGGUAGCUUCCCUUAAAUAUGAGCUUUCCUUAUAUUCCACUGAUAGAAAUUUCCAAUGCCUCCCAAAUAAAUGGUUAUUUCUAGAAUGAAAGAAGAGGAAAUAAGAACUGUGGUUGUGUUAAAAGUUUACACAAUUCUUUAACUUUAAAUCUCAUGAAAAAUUAGCUCAUAUAAAUGUGAAAAGAAAACAACUAAAAUGCUAGAGGGAGUCCAGGACUGCGAGCUGCUAGGUAUAUUCUUUUUAAGUAACUCAUAGAGUUGGCAUUUAGUCACGAGAAUAUUGAAACAAUUAUGAUGUGGAGUGUAAUUGUAAAAAGAAGAAAAGAGGUACUACUACUAGAAUCAGUACUUAGAUAGCCUUCAAUGAUCCAAUGCCUGUAAGGUAAUUAGGAAUGCUUCCAGUUAUGUUACAGCUACUUAACGUCCUGCUAGCACGCAACAUAUGUAUAAAAUAAUAUGGUUCUAAAGGAAAUUAUCACAAUCUUCUAAGUUCUUUAUUGAUUUAGUGACAUUUACUCACAAAUACGUAAGGUUUCUCAUGUCUUUUAGCAGUGGGAACUCUGAAGCACCUCCAUUCAAGUUACUAAUAAUUCUGUAGAGAUAUCACAUUACAUCAGUUGUCAUCUUUACCAUCAAUGUAUAGUAAAUGAACAUAAUAUUGUUAUUGAAGUAUUGACAAACUGAAAUCUGACUGAAUAGGUUUCAACUCACAGUUCCUUUAAAUUUUUUAAGAUGGAAAUACUAGGAGGUAUGGGUCCUUCAAAACCAUUGCCUUUUAUCUCUCUGUUGAUAAUAAAUUAAUAAUGUCACGUAAACAAAAGUCGCAACUGUAAAUACUGCAGUUUGGAAAAUGCUCAUUCAGGAAAGGACUUACAAGCUCGUAAGGUUUGUCCAGCUCCGAAAAUUAGGUAAUUUUCCAGUGAAGUUGUUACUGAUUAGCCAACUGCAUUGGCCCCGAAAGACAUGUUAUCAUUAAAAUAGCAGAAAACUUUUUGCACUUUUCUAGAUUAAAAAACUUUAUACUUUGAGAAAUGUGUGGUGAAAUACUUACAGAAUUGUCAACAUUUUUAGAUUAUUUAAUUCAAUCGGCAACUCACUAGUGAGAUUGUUAUCAUAUAGAUAGCUACAGUGACCAAAGAGACAAGUUAAACUUACAUAAAUGGGUAAAUUACAGCCACUGUCUCUAACCUUUUGUUGGAGUAAUUUUCAAAAGAAUGCCAUUUAGACAUUGGUAAAUUAAAUCAAGGAAAUACAAUUCAAAAAGUACUUGAUCAAGAUGGGACAAGAACGAGAGAUGUAGGAAUGGACAAAAACUUGAGCCAGUUUGCAAAGUAAACUAGUGUAGGUGGGCAACAUGGAAGUGCUCCUGUGCUUCCUAGUUGGCGCAGGUGUGCUGCCAUGUUGCCCACCUACACUAGUUUGCUUGGUUGGCGUAGAUACGCUACCUGUGCUGGGUAGUCUUGAGAUUAACCCAGUAGCUUUUAGAACUUACUUCUUAGAGAACGUAAGGAGCAAAAAUGAAUAGGAAAGUUUCUGUGUAUUGAAGAUAAAAGUCACGCUAAUUGUACGUCAUGUGGUUCUUAAAUAUGAAUGGAAAAGACAGCACUAAUUACAGUUGUUUACAGCUGCACACUAACUGAAAAUUUCAACUAAUCUGACUAAUUCUUCAGCUCACUUCCACGUCAGCUUCUUCUGGUAAUCUCAAUAGCCCCCUUCAAGGUGGAGUGUAUAUGUUGCACAUAUUCAUAUUGCGCAGUAGAGAAUGAAAUAGAGAUGCUCCCACUGGUUUUGUCAUAAUAUCUGCUAGUUGAUUACCUGAAGAGACAUGCAUGGUGUGUAAAAUUCCAGCCUUAAUCUUGUCCCUUACUAAGUGACAAUCUAGUUCGAUAUGUUUUAUUAUCUCAUGAAAUAUAGGGUUGACAGCAAUGUGUAAUGCAGCUUGAUUAUCACAAUAUAACAAUGCAGACUUCUCAUGUUUGAUUCCCAAGUCAGCUAGUAGGUAUAAAAGCCAUUGAACUGUUAAAUGUGGCAUUAAUUUGUAAUCUUAGGAAAUAAAUAAGGUUACAUGCACUUGAAGAAAAUGUAUCAGGAAAAUACAUGAUGCACUUGAAGAAAAUGUAUCAGGAAAAUACAUGAUGCAAAUUCAUGAAUUAUUAGGUGUCCAUUUAUAUUCCCAUGUCUCUAGAGUUAUCCAUGUGGUCCUAUAAAUAGAGGUCAUUUUUGUAGUCUCAUUGUAAGAAAAAAAAGAAGAAAACAUUAUUGAGUGUGCUGUAGCAACUCAAAAACUAUCAAUAAAAAUUCAAGUUUUUCUUCAACACUUCGUUUCCGCACUAACAAAUUUGGUAUCAGAGCCAUAACUUGUGAUUGCAUUUUUUCAUGGCUUUCAUACAAACAGUUUCGUUGUUUACAUAUUCUUCCAGUCAAGUCCCAAUCUUCGAAGGCGAGCAUUAUGAAUACUGGAGCAUCCAAAUGCAAACUUUCUUCAUCUCCUUAGAUCUUUGGGAUGUCAUUGACGAUGAGGAAUACGAAGAACCAUCCGAAGACAAUGAAGAUUACGAAAAAUUGCAAAAAGAAUUUAAAAGAAAAGAUGCAAUGGCUCUCCGCUAUAUUCAACAAGGAGUCGGAAAAUCAAUUUUCCCUCGUAUCUUUGGUGUUAAAAAAGCCAAAGAUGCUUGGGAAAUAUUGAUGCAAGAAUUUCAAGGAGCGGAGAAAACGAUCGCCUUGAAACUUCAAUCCUUAUGGAGAGACUUUGAUAAUCUCCAAAUGGAAGAACGAGAAUCGGUUCGUGUUUUUUCUUCACGAGUAGCCGAGACAGUAAAUCAAAUCAAAAGCUGUGGUGACACAAUUACAGAUAAAAGAGUCGUGGAGAAAAUGUUAAGAUGCCUUCCUCCAAAGUUUGACCAUGUUGCAGCCGCAAUUGAAGAAUUGAAAGACUUGUCCAAAAUGACCAUUUAUGAGUUAACCGGGUCAUUUCUUGCCCAUGAGCAAAGGAUCAAUCGUUCGAGUAACCAAUCCACUACCGAACAAGCUUUCCAAAUCAAAGCAAACAUCAAAAGGAGGAUCGAACAACUAUGGAGAACACAACAGAGGCUCAAAUCAAACAAAACAAAAAGAUAGCCAUUGGAAGAAGGGUGACAAACAAAGCAAAUGGAAAGGCAAGCAAACACAAAUUUCUGGUGGUAACAAUCCAACUUGCAUAAUUUGCAAAAAAAUGAAUCAUGAAUCAAAGGAGUGCUACUUUAGAUGCAAAAGGUGCAAGAUCCCCAAUCAUUCUCAAAGGGAUUGUUGGUUUCAAAAUAAAGAGAUGACAGAAAGAAAAAGUGCAGCAAACUUUUCUCAAGAGAAUGAAAAGGAAAUUCUGUUUUAUUCUCAAAAUUAUGAAAAUGGAGCUCAAAGCCCUUGGUAUUUGGAUAGCGGUUGUAGCAAUCACAUGACGGGGAAUCGCGACAUCUUUGUGGACCUUAAUCCAAAUAUUACUUCACAAGUAAUUCUUGGCGAUGGAACAUGUAGAGAUGCGGUAGGAAAAGGCACCAUUGCUGUCCAAAUUAAAGAAGUUUUUGACAAAAAGAAAAAUAUUUGUGUGGCAAAUAUUGAAAUGAAGAACAAGAUAUUUCCUCUUAUGAUGCCACUAAAUGAGAAUUGUGCACUCAAGGCAAGAGACGAAGAUUUGGCGUAUUUGUGGCAUUUACGAUAUGGUCAUCUUCAUGAAAGAGGCCUUCGUUUACUCCAAAUGAAAAACAUGGUGACGGGACUUCCUAACAUCCAACACAUAGACAAAAUGUGCGAAGGAUGCAUCUAUGGGAAAUUGCACAAGUUGUCGUUUCCAAAAACUUCAUGGAGAACGAAAGCACUACUUGAGCUUGUGCACUCGGAUAUUUGUGGGCCAAUGCAAACUUCCACUUUUGGAAACAAGAGAUAUUUUAUUCUCUUUGUUGAUGACUUCACAAGAAUGAUAUGGGUUUUCUUCCUCAGUCAAAAAUCUGAGGCAUAUUCCACAUUUCUUCAAUUCAAAGCUCAAGCAGAAAGGCAAAGUGGUUUUUUGAUAAAAACUUUAAGGACCGAUCGUAGAGGUGAAUAUCUCUAUAAUUCUUUCAUGGAAUAUUGCAGAAAAAAUGGCAUCAAAAGACAAUUAACUGUGAGUCGAACUCCGCAACAAAACGGCGUGGCCGAAAGAAAAAAUCGUACAAUUGUUGAAAUGGCAAGAAGCAUGCUAAAGGGCAAAGGACUUCCAAAUCUGUAUUGGGCAGAAGCUGUAAAUACGGCAGUAUACAUUCUCAAUCGGUCUCCAACAAAGGCUGUACGGAAUAAAACUCCAUACGAAGCUUGGAACAAAAAGAAGCCAAUGGUUGAUCACUUCAAAAUAUUUGGCAGCAUUGCUUAUGCUCUUAUCCCUUCUCAAAAUCGGGAGAAAUUUGACGAGAAAGGACAAAAACUUGUCUUUGUUGGAUAUAGUGAUGAAUCUAAAGGAUAUCGGUUAUUAGAUCCAACUACAAACAAAAUUACAGUUUCACGAGACGUUGUUUUUUAUGAAGCUGCAUCUUGGGAUUGGAAAGGGAAAGAAGUUGUGGACCAGACACCAUACCAUUUUGUUGAUCCAUUAACAUUUCAAGCAGGUCCGUCACAAGUUGGAAAUUUAGAGCAUAAUCCAAACCCUACUCCAAGAAGUGAGGAAGAAUCUGAUCCAGAAAGCCCUCCAAGAAAGACACGUUCACUACAAGACAUAUAUGAGUCAUGUGAACUUGGGUUGUUCUCUAGUGAACCACAAUCAUUUGAAGAAGCCUCAAAAGAAGUAUGUUGGACAAAAGCCAUGAAUGAAGAAAUGUCCACAAUCGAGAAAAACAAAACUUGGAAGCUUGUUGCCUUGCCAGAAGGGAAGAAAAUCAUUGGACUCAAGUGGGUCUAUAAAAUAAAAUACAAUGAAGAUGGGUCGAUCCAAAAGCACAAAGCACGUCUUGUUGCAAAAGGGUAUUCUCAACAGCCCGAAAUUGAUUACACUGAAACAUAUGCUCCGGUUGCAAUAAUGGAGACGAUUCGUACUGUUUUGGCACUGGCAGCUCAAUUGGAGGUAUGUGUUUAUCAACUUGAUGUAAAAUCGGCAUUCUUAAAUGGUGAAAUUCAAGAAGAAGUUUAUGUCGAGCAACCUGAAGGAUUUGAAAUCAAAGGACAAGAAGGAAAAGUCUAUCGUUUAUACAAGGCACUUUAUGGUUUAAAGCAAGCGCCGCGAGCAUGGAAUAGCAAAAUCAAUAGCUAUUUCAUCCAAAAUGGAUUCAAUCGAAGCACGAGUAAAUCAUCUCUAUAUGUCAAUAGUCUUGGAAGAGACUUUCUUGUAGUAUGUCUUUAUGUGGAUGAUCUUCUAUACUUUGGUACAAGUAAAAGCAUGGUGGAAGAAUUCAAGAAAAAGAUGAUGAGAGACUUUGAGAUGAGUGACUUGGGUCAAAUGAAAUACUUUCUUGGCAUCCAAGUCAAACAAAGCCCGGGAAGAAUUUUUUUAUCUCAAGAGAAGUAUAUUGAUGAUCUUCUAGAAAAAUUCAGCAUGAACCAAUGCAAGCUAGUCUCUACUCCAAUGGGGCCGAAUGAAAAAUUCCAAGUCAAUGAUGAUGCUGAAAAAGUAGAUGCUACACUCUACCGAAAGUUAAUUGGUUCACUCAUCUACCUCAACACAAGGCCGGAUAUCACUCAAUCAGUGAGUUUACUUUCCAGGUUCAUGAAUGAACCAAGCAAGAAUCACUUUACGGCUGCAAAAAGAAUUUUGAGAUACCUUAAAGGUACAAAAAAUCAAGGCAUUGAGUUCAAAAAGGAAAAUAACUUCAACCUUGUUGGCUACACUGACAGUGAUUGGGCAGGCUCACUUGUUGACCGCAAAAGUACAUCGGGCUACAUCUUUUGUCUUGGAACAAAUAUUAUUUCAUGGAGUUCGAGAAAGCAAAGGUCUAUAGCACUAUCUUCUGCAGAAGCGGAAUACAUUGCAGCUGCGGAUGCCGUUUGUGAAGUAGUUUGGCUUAGAAGAAUUCUAAACGACUUGAUGUUUGAACAACAAGAGCCAACAACAAUACAUUGCGACAAUAUGUCAGCAAUUGCUAUGACAAAAAAUCCAAUUUUUCAUGCCAGAUCGAAGCAUAUUGAACUACGUCAUCACUUCAUUCGAGAUUUGGUAAGUCGAGAAGAAAUUUGCAUGGAAUUUAUCAACACAAAUGAUCAGCCAGCAGACAUUUUAACAAAGGCAGUCACAUUUGACAAGUUCGACAAGAUCAAGGAAAAACUCAAGAUUACAAAUUAAGAGGGGGUGUUAAAUGUGGCAUUAAUUUGUAAUCUUAGGAAAUAAAUAAGGUUACAUGCACUUGAAGAAAAUGUAUCAGGAAAAUACAUGAUGCACUUGAAGAAAAUGUAUCAGGAAAAUACAUGAUGCAAAUUCAUGAAUUAUUAGGUGUCCAUUUAUAUUCCCAUGUCUCUAGAGUUAUCCAUGUGGUCCUAUAAAUAGAGGUCAUUUUUGUAGUCUCAUUGUAAGAAAAAAAGAAGAAGAAAACAUUAUUGAGUGUGCUGUAGCAACUCAAAAACUAUCAAUAAAAAUUCAAGUUUUUCUUCAACACUUCGUUUCCGCACUAACAUGAACUUCGCAUGUAGCAAAUGCCAUAGCACGGUAUUCAGCUUCUGCUGAAGAUUUGGAAACUGUUCUUUGCUUCUUAGACUUCUAGGAUAUUAAAGCAUUUCCUGAAAAAGAACAAUAUCUAGUUAUAGACCUCCUUAAAUCAGGGCAACUUGCCAAUCUGAAUAUGAAAAGAUCUUCAAUCGUAAGUCAUUUUCUUUAGGGAAGAAAAUCCUCUGUCCUGGCAUGCUCUUGAUAUAUCUCAAUACCCUAUAAGCUGCAUUCAAAUGAGGUUCCCUUGGUUGGUUUAUAAACUGACUUAACACUUGAACCACAUAACUCAAAUCAGGCCUAGUAAUGGUUAAGUAUAAUAAUCGUCCCACCAGCCUCCUGUAGAUUGAUGCAUCAUUCAAUAAUUCUCCACUCUCUUUGUCCAGUUUAAUGUUCAGCUCCGUUGGUGUGUUUGCUGGUUUAGCACUACUGAAGCCAGCAUCUUCUAAAAUGUCUAUGGCAAAUAUUUUUUGACACAAAGAAAUUCCUUUCUUAGACCGAGUCACCUCCAGUCCUAGGAUAUAUUUCAAUACUCCUAAAUCCUUUAUCUUGAAUUUCAUAUCAAGAGAAGCCUUCAAAUCAUUCAUGCCUUGCAAAUCAUUUCCUGUCAAGACAAUGUCAUCCACAUAUACUAGAAGAGCAACAAAAGAGCCAUUUCUAUUUCUGGUAAAGAAUGGAAAAUCUGAGAACUUAGUGAACCAUUGCCUUAAGGCUUUUUUUAAGCCGUAUAAAGACUUGUUGAGCCAGCAUACCAUAUUGUGCCCUUUGCCGAAUUUUCAUGUAUAUUUUCUCAUUUAAAUCACUGUGUAAAAAAACAUUGUUGACAUCCAAUUGUAAGAUAUUCCAAACCAUAGCAGCAGCUAUAGCCAAUAAAACUCUCACAGAUGUAAGCUUCGCCAUAAGAGAAAAAGUUUCGAGAUAAUCAAAACCUUCCUUUUGAGUAUAGCCUUUAGCCACUAAUCUGGCUUUAUACCUUUCCAGGGACCCAUCAGCUUUCAAUUUUACUUUGAAUACCCAUUUACAGUCAAUAGGAAUUUUUCCAUGAGGUAAACUAGUGAUCGUCCAUUUGUGUUUAUCCUCAAGUGCCUUAAUUUCCUUAGUUAUUGCUUCACACCAGUUAGGGUCCUUGACAGCUUGAUCAAAAGACCGAGGCUCAGUCAUAUUUGUGAUAGUAAAAACAUAUGCUCGAUGGGAAGAUGAGAGCCUAUCAUAAGCAAGAUAAUUUUGGAUAUCACAGCUGGAGCUUAAGCUUGAAAGGACUUUACUUAUGGACUGAUCAGAUCUGGUAAGAGAGUUUUGAGCCAAAUGACAAUGAUAUUGCUGAAGAUAAGAAGGGGUUUUUUAAUUCUUGUGGAUCUUCUCAGAGGAGGAUUUAUGUUCUAUGUAGUUGUAUGAUUUUUUGGUGGAUAGAGAUGGCAAUUUAAACCAUUAAAAUUGAAAAUUGCGGUUAACUGAACUGAAUGAGGCGAAAAAACCGAACCGAUGGUGUAAUAGGACGGAUGUGGUAUUUGAUCUUAAUGAAUUGGUUCGUGGCAGUGCAGGUAUGGUAUUUAUGCAGUGGAACUGAUUACCCACUUAAAAAAUCAUUCUUUUAUUAGGGAUGACAAGGUUUAGUGAGGAGGAAGUUGACGAAGAUGUACAUUUUUUUAUUUAAAUCUUAGUUAAAUCCAUUCUGGAUUAGGUAGUAUCGUUGUAUUCUCUACUUACAUUUCUUAUUCACUAUAUAGGAAUCAAUUUUGAGUGCUGACCUAUACUAAUAAAAGUUGUGGGAAAGAAUGAAGAUUGAAUAUGAUUUAAGGUUGAAGCUUUUGAAUUAUUGAGCAUGAAUCAAAUAACUACAAUGCACAAGAAUUAAGAAUGAAUGAAAAGUUUAGUAUUGUUAUAUUCAUAAUAUUGUUUGUUAAAUUUUUAUUUUGCAAUUAGAAUUUGGGAUAAUGUUUGCAUUUUUGUUUGGAAUAUUGUGUUUUUAUUUUCAUUGGCUCUCUUUUCAUAAAUUGUUUUAUAUCAAUUUGACGGAUGAACCUAUAUAAAAUAAUUUAUUUUCGAGGUUAUUAAUCUAACUGAACCGAUUUACAUGGUUAUGGUACGGUUAUGGUAAGGCAAAAAAUUUGACGGUUCAGUGAUGGUUUUGGCUGAACCAAAUCAAAACCUAACCGUUGCCGUCCUUACUGGUAGAAGGAUAGUGGUAUUUUGGAGAUCUGGUGAUUGGUGAUCUGGUAAAGUACAUGGUGAAAUAGUUUCAGCUAUAGAAGACACAUGGGAAGGAAAUAUGGGAAAUGAAGACUCUGGAAUUGGAUUGGGUAAAACAAAUGGACAUCCCUACUGGUCGAAGGAUAGUGGUAUUUUGGAAAUCUGGUGAUUGGUGAUCUGGUAAAGUACAUGGUGAAACAUUUUCAGCUAUAGGAGACACAUGGGAAGGAAAUAUGGGAAAGGAAGACUCUGGAAUUGGAUUGGGUAAAACAAAUGGAUUAUUAUGAUUUAAAGGAAAUUGUUUGUAUGGAAAGAUGUUUUCAUAGAAUAUGACAUUUCUUGAAAUGAAUAUAGCCUUUGAUAGAAUAUGGAUAGCCAAGAAAGAUACAUUUAGUUGCUCUAGAAUCAAAUUUUGAUCGAUUUUUAGUGAGCGUGUAAGCAAAAUAUAAGCAAUUAAAAAUCCUGAAAUGAGUAUAGUCUAGUUUUUGGGAGAAAAGAACUUCAAAGGGAGAUUUUCCAUGAAGUAAGGGAGUGGGAAGUUUGUUAAAAAGGUUGAAUUCCAACCUUAAGGCCCCCACCGCCCCACCCCUGGAGUAUCGUGAGGGAGGUAAAUCGUUGAAUAUGCCUCAGUAGGCCAGGGAACAAGAGCUUGCUGUACACUGGUGCCUACAAAGAGUCCAAUUCCAUAUCUCAGGAAUUGAAGCCUCACACUGCAGCUGCCAGCAAGGCUAAGACUACCUCACUCCUGUCCUUUGCACCACUGGGAUAUGCCAUGGGGGCAAGGGAGUGGAAAGUCUGUUGAUUAUGUAAGUGGCAGUUUGUAUACAUUCAUCCCAGAAACUAAGGGGUAAAUUAGAUUGAAAACAAAUGACUCUAGCAACAUUUAAUAGAUGUUGGUGCUUUCUUUCGACUACUCUAUUUUGUUAAGGUGACUCAACACAAGUCUUUUGAUGUAUAACACCCUUAGACGUAAAAAAAUCUCUAAGGUGAAAUUUUGGACCAUUAUACGAAUGAAUGCACUUUAUCUUGAGAUUAAAUUGUGUCUCAAUUAAAGUGAAGAAAGUUGGAACGACAGAUUGCGUUUGAUUUUUAGAAUUUAGUAAUCAAGUCCAUGUACAUCGAGUAAAGUCAUCGACAAGAGUUAGAAAGUAUUUUGAACCAUCAAUAGCAGUAGUAGAUAAAGGACCCCAUAGAUCAGCAUGUAUUAGAUCAAAUGGGGUUGAACUAUUUAUUUCACUGGAAACAUAGGGUAAUCUGUGUAAUUUAGCAGUAGGGCAAACAUCACACUGAUGUAUAGUAUUUACAUUCAAAUCUAAAAUGGUAGAUUGCAACAUUGUAGGCGCUGCAAAGAUGGAUGCCCUAACCUAAGAUGCCACAAAUUAGAAACUGUGGAUGUUAUAGAAUUGGCAAAGUGUUUGUGUUGUGUAGGAGUGAUGUUCAGCAUAUAGAACAGGCCGUUUCUCUCUUUAGCCAGACCAAUCAUCUUCUAUAAACGUAGGUCCUGUAUAAAGCACACACCAGACAAUAAGAUGAGAUUACAUCUAACUAUUUUAAGCAACUGAUUGAAAUUAGAUUGAAUGCAAAAGACGGCACGCAUAGAACAUUCUUCAAAAUGAUAAGAGUCUGAAAGUCUAAUUGAUCCAACAUGUGUAACCUCUGUUAAAGUACCAUUUGGAAGCUUAACAAACCGAGAUGCUGAAGCUGUGAUUUCAGUGAGUGAAUGGACUGAACACACCAUGUGAUCUGUAGCACCGGUGUCUAAAAUCCAUUUAUAAUUCAUAUUCAAAGUUUCAGGACUUUCAAAUGACUUAGAUAUUGACUUACACGAAAAACAUUGACUAAAUACUGAUGCAUUGUGGAGGCAAAUAACUUGAUAUACCUGCCAGAUUUGCUAAGGCAUGCUUCUGGGAACCAGAGAUGCUUGCAUUCUGAAGGUUAAUAGUACGGGUACUUGUGAAUGGCAAAGACGUUUCAUCGAUAGGUUAAAUCAAAGCCAGCAGCUAUUCAUAUUGAUCUUUAGUGAAGGGGAAUUUUGAAAGAUCAGUGGUGAUAUUAGGAACAAAUUCUACUUGAUUUGUAACUCCAUGGACCACAGGAUUCUUGUUCUUGAACUUAUAUCUUGGUGGAUAUCCGUGUACUUUGUAGCAUUUGUCAAUUUUGUGGCCAAGAAGACCAUGGUGGCUGCACUGACGACACUCCUUUUUAUUGUUCGGUCCAGUGUAGUUGUUUAUUCCCUCGUUAGUAUAUUGAUUCCUAUUGAAAUUUUUAGCAACCAUAGCUACGGAAUCUAGAUUAUGUGUGAUUCUAGCAGUUAUUUCUCUUUGCUUUUCCUCUUGUGCAACUAGAGAGAAAACUUUGUUAAUUGCUGGUAAUGGAUCAAUCAAUAGUAUUUGACCUCGAGUCUGAGAGUAACUCUCAUUCAGCCCCAUCAGAAAUUACAUGAUAUAAUCCUCCUGCUGAAACUUCAUCAAGGAGGCUGGAACACGUCUAUAACGUCCAAGUUCAUCCCAAAAACGUCUUCAGUUUGGUGAAUUAGGCACUUACUGAACACUGAUUUUGUGUUAAAGAGGCGAUCCCCUUCCUCAGUUGAAAGAUACGAGGUCCAUUUGUUUUUGAAAACCUCUUUAAGUUAUGGCAAAAAAAACUUCACUUCCUUCUCACAAUCCUCAACAUGGUGUAAUAGCUUACAACUCCAAAGCCAGAAGAGACAAAAAAUGAACCAUUGGAGAUACAAGACCUAGACAAAAAUGAGAUCAAGAUGAUUACAUAUGCGAGGGUCACAUUUAACAUGCAAUGUCUCAUAAUUCUCUUUUUGAUCAGUACCACAAGAAGAAAAUCGCCAAGGAAAUAUGGGAAGCAUUGGAAGCCAAAUGCAUGUUGGAGGAUAUUACAAGUAAGAAAUUAAUUGUAUCUAAUUCUUUCAAUAUCGAAUGGUGGACAACGUGAAGAUAAUUGAGCAAUUUCAUAAAACCACUCAUAUACAUAACCAAUUUCUUCAAUACCACAUCAAUAUGGAUGUGUCCAUUGACAAACUACCUGCAUCUUGGAAAGAUUAUAAUAGAAGUCUAAAACACCAUAAAUAAGAUAUCCCUAUUGAAGUAUUGGGUCGUAAUCUCUGAAUGGAGAAAGAGUUCAAAAUGAUUAAUUUUUUAGGAGCAUAGUGUCCAAUCUUCUAAAGUUCAUGUGGUUCAGGAUAAGGAAGGAUCGAUGAAAAGAAGAUGAUGCAAAUUAACAAAACAACAAAAACAACAUGAAGAGGAAGCACGAUUCAAAAGACGAGGGUUCCAAGAAACAGAGUAGGUCUUGUUACAAUUGUAGCAAAAUGUGAAAGUGUCGCCAUUUGAAGAAGCAAGAUGACAUGGAUAACUUUGUAAUUUGAAUUUGUUUUAAGUAUGCUUUCAAGUUUGUUUUGAGAUUUUUGAAUAUGUAUUGCCAAAGAGUGGUAUUUUUUGGAAAAAUAUUUUUGUUUGUGUGCGUGUUUAUAAUUAAAUAAAUUAUUGUUAUAGGUUGAUUUAUUAUUUGAUUUCAUAUUUGCUUACGAGAUGCUUGAAGAUUACUUUGAUAUAAAUACGUUAGAAUAAGUAACUUGCUAUUAUAUUGAGCUAGUAUCAUACGUAUUUUCUAAUUUAUUAUUAUUAUUUUUUUUAAUGACAGGGGAACCCGUAGUCGCAAAGCACGCCAGCCUGGUAAACCACACUAGACAAGCCCUGUGCGAUAGUCUCGAUCGAGAAAGUAUUAGUAGAGAGAAUCGAACUCGUGACUAAAGACCACCGCACUCACUUACUCCACUACUCUGCCACCCAAUGAGGGGCAUGUAUUUUCUAAUUAUUAUCAUGAAUGUUUGCUAUAGUUAAUAAGGAAAUUUAAAGAUAUUUUUUGUCAAGUUACUUGUAAUAAUAUAUAUAUAUAUACAAAUUUUGAAAUAAGCUUCUAUACUUUUAAACAUGAAAUUAGUUUUGUGCUUAACUAGUAUACCAUAUAAUCUUCAUAUGAUAUAACAUCGAAUUGUUUAACAUAAGUGUCAGUAUAUAUCUUCCCCAAAGGCUUCGGUUUUGGAAAAGGAACUAGCAAAAUAAAUCCAUUGGUUUGGGACCUAGUUGAUCUUCAACGAAAUGUAAAACUCGAGUCCAAUAAAGUAAAGGAAAUUAAAUGGAUUGAUUAAUUCAAAGGUGUUGCAAAUCUCUAUUCUUCCAUUAAAAGAAUAAAAUAUUGAUUUGUCAAUUAAGUGAUUAAAUGUCCUUAUUAUAAUUGACAAAGUAGAUAUGACUUAACUAAAUGAUCUUGGUUUAAGUAAUUGAUUAUACAAGAUCAAUGGAUUGAAUUAGUCUAUGACUAUGGCAUGUUAAAAUUUACAUAAGGCCUUGACUCGUUAAAUGUCACGGGAUUGAGACGGGAAAUACAACUAAUCACCAAUGAUGAAAAGUCGAUCUAACACUUGAAACAUCAAGUUCUUAGGUUCAAAGAGUAAAGUAUUUCAAAUAGGUGAUCAUAGGAAAUAUUCAUUUUUUCCCAUGUAAGUGUGCUUAGUACACUUAACAAUAAGGGAAAAGAUCAGUUAUUGAGCUUUUAAUAGAUUUAAAAAAAGGUUGAACUCCAACCUUGAGGACCCCUACCGUCCCGUCCAUGGAGCAUCGUGAGGGAGGAAAAUCGCAGGAUAUGCCCUAGCAGGCCAGAGAACAAGAGAUUAUCCAUAUACUGGUGCCUACAAAAAGUCUAAUUUCAUAUCUCAGGAAUCGAACCCUCACACUGCGGCUGCCAGCAAGGCUGAGACUACCUCACUUCUGUACUUUGCACUACUGGAUUAUGCCCCCGAAGGGCACUUUUAAUAGAUUUAUAUAGAAUACUCUAGUUACGUUAGUAUUAUUGAUAAGUGUCAGAAUUUGGGUGUGAUCCAAUUUUUUUUUUUUCAAAGAUAAUUGUGAGUUCUAAUUAAAGUGCACAUUAAGAAUAAUCCUUUUUGGAAUGCUAUUAUGCAAUUCUAUUCAAGUUUACUUGACGAAUUCUAGUUGAAGUUUUACUUAGAAGUCCAAUUGGGAGUUUAAAUUUGUAUUGGACUUAAAUGGGAUAUUGGGAUGAAGAAAAUCAAGUUUUUGAAGUAAAGGACUGGAGAAUGGGCAUCACAAUGCCAAGAAGUUUUUGGUUCGGCGUCGAGGUGCACAUUGUCUGUUUCUCCCUAAGCGAUUUUUUCCUACUCUACUCCAUUUUGGACUCUCUCUUUUUUGCAUUCAACUUCAACUACAACUCUACUAUUAGGGUGUGGACAUUCACUACUAGUUAAAUAUAUAGUUGGCUCUUCAUUAUGACUUAGAAGAAGUUAUAAACAUCGUAAACACAAAUUUUUGUAUUCUUUCUCCAUAUUUCCAUUCUUUGCAAAUUAUCUUGUUUUUGCGUUAUAUUAAUCAAUUAUUUCAUAUUAUGGCUAUAAUAUCUUAUUUUUCUCCAACAAUUUGGUAUAAAAUUAAUCCGAAUUAUUUUCAUUUCACAAUAAACGGGUAUCAGAGUGUUUGGUGUUUAAAUUCUUGGGAAUAUUGAGGUUUUGAUCAAGUUAAUAGCUCAACUUGAUCUUUCAUCAUGGAAACAAUGAAGUAUGAUAUUCUGCUAUUAAAUCGCAAUACAAGAUUAUCUUUAUGACAAAUAAAGAUGGGAGCAGUAAUCGAUCAGAUGGAUUCGGAUGACGAAAGUUAUUAGAAUUUGACAAGAUGCCUACAACUUGAACUCCAGAGGAGAAACAUCAGAUGGACCGAAAGAUCCUAUCUUAUAUACAACUUCAUCUUUCAAAUAUUAUUCUUUGGGAUGUUUUGAAGGAGAAGUUAGCUACUGCAUUAUUGUUAAAAUCAGAACAAUUAUGCAUGACGAAAAGUCCUAUUAGCAAAUUGCAUUUGAAGCAACAUAUAUAUUCUCAUCAUAUGACAGAAGGUAUAUUUAUUGAGGAUCACCUAGCUAUUUUUAAGGAAAUUAUCGCUAAUUUGGAGACCUUGGAAGUCAAAUAUAAUGAAGAAAAUUUGUGAUUGAUUUUAUUGUGUUCAUUGUCCACUUCAUACAUGUCUUUUAGAGACACAAUUUUAUAUAAUUGUGAUAUUCUGACCAUCAAAGAACUCUAUGAUGUUCUAUAUUCAGAGGAGAAGAUGAAGUAUCUUGUUGCAUUUGAGAGUCUUUGAGAUGGCUUCAUUGUUGAUGGUGGUCAUUCAAAGGAUAAGUCAAAAAUCUAACUUCAAAUUUUAUAAUUAUUACAAAAAAGGGGGGCACUAGAUAAAUGAUUGUUACAAGUUGUAGAAUAAAUCAAAAUUGACUGCAAAUAAACAAUCAGAAAUUUUAGGAAAAACAAGUAUUGCAAAAAAAAUCCUAACAAUGAUGGAGAGCUUUUACUUAUGUCCAACUAUAACUCCAAAUUUGACAAGGCUUGGAUUUUUUAUGCUGCUUGCACUUUUUAUAUGACUCCUAAUCGAGAUUUAUUCUCAACAUAUGAAGAAGUUUUAAAAGGUAUUGUAAUGAUAGGUAAUAAUACACAUUGUCAAAUAGCUUGUAUUUGUCGAAUUAAAAUAAAGAUGUUUGAUGGGAAGGUUAGAACACUUAAUGCAGUGAGGUGCGUUCCAGAUUCGAAGAAAAAUCUUAUCUCUUCAAGUACUUUUGAUUCAAAAGAGUACAAUUAUAUUGUUAAAGGUGGAGUCCUGAAAGUUAGUAAAUCAGCAUGUGUUUUGUUAAAGGGAUAUAGAAAAUUCCAUUUAUAUAUCUUGCAGUGUUAUAAAGAAUUUUUGAGCAAUCAGCAUAUUUUAAGAACUCAAGUGGAUUUGGAGUUGGAUUCUAUAUUGUUGGAGCCUAAUUUUAGGGAUUUUUAUUUUUAUUUAUUUAUUUUUUUUUUUGUAAAAAAGAAUACAUCUCAGUAAAUUUAGAAGUUAUAGGUAAAUCCGGCUUACCACCAUCAUCGAUGGUGUCAUUGUAUUUAGUUGCUUGUAAUAAACCUAUUUUUGGCCAUAAUAUUUCACAUAGAUACAAUUAUGCUGAUUUAGUUGAUAGUUUGAAUGUGAUUAAAGGUGUUGAUUCUAGCCAAGAUCCUUCUUUUAAUGUAUUCAGUUGUAAUUCUAUUAUAGGGCUUGUUUCAACUUUGUUUGGUGGUCAUUAGAUCACUUUUUCCUUUAAUUGAGGUAGUAGAGGUGGAGAAUGUUUCGGUUGAAUUUUUUUAUGGAUAAGUUCGUUUGUGUCCUUUAGUGAAGAUUUCAAGUUUUUUUUCCAUGUAGUGGAAUUUGUCUUCAAGUGGAGAAUUUUUUCUUUUGAAGUUUUAUUCAUUUUAGUGGAAUUCGUGUCAAGGUAGAGAUUGUUAGAAUUUGGUUGUGACCUGAAUUCUUUGUUGAAGAUAAUUGAAAGUUAUAAUUAAAGUGCACAUUAGGAAAAAUUCUAUUUGGACUGUUAUUGUGGAAUUCUAUUCAAGUUUACUUGGCGAGUUCUAGUUGAAGUUCUACUUGGUAGCCCAUUAGGAAUUGAAAUUUGUGUUAAACUUGAAUAGAAUAUUGUGAUGAAGAAAAUCAAGUUUUUGAGGUAAAGGACCUGAGAGUGGAAACCACAGCACCACGACGCUACCUACUCUGUUUCGUCCAGUGUGAUUUUUCUUUCUCUACUCCAUUUUGCAUUCUACUUCAACCACAACUCUACUAUUAGGUUUUGGACGUGCCCCUAUUUAUUCUUUAUAUAUAGUUAGCUUUUCAUUAUGAUUUAGAAGAAGUUAGAAACAUUGUAAACACAAAUCUUUGUAUUAUUUUUUCAUAUUAUAAUAAAAUUUCCAUUCUCUACAAAUUAUUUUGUUCUUGUGAUUAAUUACUUCAUAUUAUGGCUACAAUCUCUUAUUUUCCCCAACAGUUUGGUAUUGGAUUAAUCCGGUAUCAUCUUCGUUUGAUAACAAUAAGUCUAUCUCCAUGAGCGUCGAUGAUGGUUUAUCUCCAAAGUGUCUCGACUCGCUACUUAAGACAUUCUUGAAAAUUAAGGAUAUGGGACACGUGGAGUAUUCACAUGUUGAUUUAUAUGAACACGGGAGGAUAUGAAACUUGUAUAUGAAGUUUUUCGCUUAGCCAUAUAGGGUUUUUGGUUCAAAGCUUGUCUACCAUAUCGCUUUGGUUAAUAUUGUUAGAGUUGGUGACUCAAAUUGGAAAGGAAAUCUUGAAGAUGCGUGAUUGAUUUGGAGAAUCAAAUAGUAUUUGAAAAAUAAAGAAACAAAGUUUUUGUCUCGUUUUUUUUUUCUUUUUCACGUUUAACCUAGAAUUCUUACCUUUUUAUGACUCUUUUAGUGCUACACUCUUGUGGUAUAAAUAUGAGUCUCAUCUUUUAGUAUUGUUGAAACAUCAUUACUGUCCAGUUGUAAUUCUCUUCAUAUUAAUAAAAUUCGUCGUUCCUAUGCUUAAUUCAUCUUUUACUUUAAUCUUGUUCGUGGUAUUUUGCAAUCUUGUAUUAUACUUCAAAUUGGUGUCCAUUAAAUCUCAAUUCUUGCGUUUCAUUUCCACCCGGUCCCAACAAGUGAUAUCAGAGCGAGGUUGUUGGUGGAUUUCUGGCCUGAAACUAAUCAAAAAUUGGUCUGAAAAUUACCAGAAAAUCAGAAAAUGAAUCUGUCCAGUUUUUUUCGAUUUUCUACUGGAUCUAUUUGUGCAUUUUUCGAUAAAACUACUUACCUUUUGGAGAAACGAACACCACCAGUGGACUCAGCAAGCAGAGACGGUCCAGAAAGGGUCACAGGUCGUCGGCGCGUUUCUGGUUAGUCGCCGGCGGUGGGAACUUUGACGAGAGAAUGGUGGGGCGUGCGGUGAUUUUCGACGAUGGUGUCUUCAGGCAGUUUUCUCCGAACGACGAGACAGACCUUGUGGUGGUGUCCAAUUUCAGUUUUGGGCAAAAUUGUGGUUCUGGACUGUUUUGCCCCUUGUACGUUCCGAAGUUUUCAGUUUUGGAUGUUGCAAGUUGCAGGCUCUUUGUGAUUUGGUUGAGAUUUUUCAAGAACGAAUUCGUUGAAGUAUGAAAUUCUGCUAUUGGAUCACAAUACAAGAUUUUCGCUGUGGUAAGUAAAGGUGAGAGCUGUGUUGACGCAGAUGGAUCUUGAUGAUGCUUUGCUGGGUUUUGAUAGGAUGUCAGCAAACUUGUCUAUGGAGGAGAAACAACGAAAGGAUCGAAAGGUUUUAGCGCAAGUCCAACUUCAUUUAUCCAACAAUUUGCUGCAAGAUGUUUUGAAGGAGAAGACAGCGGCUGCUUUGUGGCUCAAGCUGGAGCAGUUGUGCAUGACAAAGAGUUUGACGAGCAAACUGACUCUAAAGCAAAGAUUGUAUUCUCAUCGUAUGGUGGAAGGAGGGUCACUAUAGGACCACCUUGCUGUGUUCAAGGAGAUCGUUGCAGAUUUGGAGACGUUGGUGGUAAAAUAUGAUGAAGAGGAUCUAGCCUUUGUCCUAUUGUGUUCGCUACCCAAUUCUUUUUCGUCUUUUCGUGAUACUAUAUUGUAUCAUCGUGACACAUUGUCCAUUGAGGAGGUAUACGACGCCCUAUUCUCAAAAGAGAAGAUGGAGUUAUUGGUUGGAGAUCCUACAUCUAGGAGUGGGAAUGCUCUGGUUACUCAUGUUGAUCGACGGAAGGGUAGAUCGAAGGUGAGGUACAACAAUGUGUAAUGUUAUUACUGCAAGAGGAAAGGACACAUCAAGAAAGAUUGCGACAAGUUGCAGGGUAAAGGUGAUUUACAUGUAAAUCAUGUGGGACAAUCAGGUAAUUCAAACGAGACUAAUAUUGCUGAAAAUUUUUGUGAUGAUGGAGAUGUGAUGUUGGCUGUAUCUAACAGGGAAUCUAAACCUGAGGAGUGGAUUUUGGAUUCUGCUUGUUCGUAUCAUAUAUGUCCCAAUAGGGCUUUGUUUCAAACAUAUGAGACGGUGAAGCAAGGUGGGGUUGUCAUGGAAAACAACCAAUCUUGCUAGGUUGCAGGAAUCGGUCGGGUCAGAUUGAGGCUACAGGAUGGAACAGUGAGGACACUUGAUCAGGUUCGUCAUGUUCCAGACUUGACAAAGAAUCUCAUAUCACUGAGUACCUGGGAUGAAAAAAGGUACAAAUUUUCUGGUGGAGGUAGAGUCUUGAAGGUUUGAAGGGGUGUCUGGGUUGUACUGGAGGGACGGAGGAAAUCCCAGUGUACAUCUUGCAGGGGAGCACAGAACCAGUUCAGAGACAUUUGGACAAGUUCAGUACCGUGGUGGACAUUCAAUUUGGUACAGUACCUCUCGGGUUUGGCUCUGAGUUAGUUAAGAACUUUGCUCAAGGGAAUAUUGGUGAUUCUGCUUUGCCACCAAUUUUAGCGGGUACACUGUGUUCUUGUAAUGCCAAUGGACUCAUGGAGCGUAGGUAUAGUUUUGGAGAUGUCUAUAGUGCUUUAGAAAUCAUUGAAGGUGACAAUAUUGGCAAGGGACCUUCUGAUUGUGCAUUUGGUGUGGUUUCUGCUACAGGGUGUGCUUCGACCCUGUCCAGUGAUUGUUAAUUCCAAGAGGAAUUUUGAGAACCCAAGUUUUGGGUUCGGGUGUCGCUUGUGGAAGCUGGGCGGGGUAAUGUGUUAUCGUGGAGAGUUUUGGUUACUGUGUUGAAGAGAUUGGUUAUUCUGAUGCAAAUGGAUUAUUUCUCAAGGUGGAGAAAUUUUGGAGUUUCGUUCGUUGCACCGAAAUUUGAGUCAAGGUGGAGAUUGUUAGAGUUGGUGAUUCAAAUUGGAAAGGAAAUCUUGAAGAUGCGUGAUGGAUUUGGAGAAUCAAAUAGUAUCCGAAAAAUAAGGAAACAAAGUCCUUGUCUCGUUUUUUUCCCGUUGAACCUAUAAUUCUUACCUUUUUAGGACUCUUUUAGAGCUAGACUCUUGUGGUAUAAAUAUGAGCCUCCUCUUUCAGUAUUGUUGAAGCAUCAUUGCUGUCCAAUUGUAAUUCUCUCCAUAUUAAUAAAAUUCAUCGUUCCUCUGCUUAAUUCAUCUUUUACUUUAAUCUUGUUCGUGGUAUUUUGCGAUCCUGUAUUAUACUUCAAAUUGGUGUCCAUUAAAUCUCAAUUCUUGCGUUUCGUUUCCACCCGGUCCCAACAAAUAUUUGCAACAACUUCACUACGUGAAGGUUGAAGUCCAAAAGCACCUUCGUCUAUGCAUAAAGUUUGUGAUGUCUAUAUGGUAGAUUGUAAAACUAUCACUCAUUUUGGAAAUUGUAGAGAAUUGUUGGAAUAAUUUCCAAAAAAAUGUCGUUUAGACAUUGGUAGUUUAAAUCAAGGAAAUACUUCAAGAAGCGUUGGAUCAAGAUAGGACAAGAACAAGAGAUGACCAAACGGACCAAAACUUGCACUAGUUUGCAACAUAAAUUGGCGCAAGUACGCCCAAGGCUAGUGCACCUACGCUAGUUGAGUAAUUGAAGCACAGGUACUCUGCCUUGUUGAUGCAAGUGACCUGUUGGCUAGUGCACCCGCGCUGCCAAGCGACAACAAUGGUGUCUUUUCGUUCCUAACUGAUGUUUGAUAGUUAGAAUUCAAUUUUUUUUCAGUUUGUAUUGAUGUAGUUCAAACUCUAAUAAUUAUCUUGAAGUGUUGUAACUCUUGGGAAGAUGUGUAAAAUAAUUUUAAUUCGUUUUUACUCUACCAUUUUCUACACUUUCUUGCAUCCAAAAUACCAACUUUAGUGCAUUCUUAUCUUCUUGAGUAUUGUUUGUAUUUAUCAUACUGCAGAUAUAAAGUGGAAAUUUUGAGUGGACUUUCCAUUGUUCGUGUUGUCUUCGUGAGAAAUCCCAAACAACACUAAAGGGCUUCAUUAUAUCCUAUAGACGUAUUUGCAUUCCAUGUGCAUCAUAGAUUGGUGGAAACAAAUAUCAUCUUAAGGAAAGAGAUAUUUGUUAUAUGCCUUGAAGCCGGUAUUGUUUUAAGUUCGAGUUUUUGCGAUAUUCCAACAUCUAGUUUCGUCUAAUUGUCAUCUCUAAACUGAUCUCACCUACACCUUCGAACCUCGUUUCAGUAAUCUACCUAUAUAUAUUCAUCUAAUUCAAUCCGUCAAUUUGUUAAAAUUUGGAUGAUCGAAAAGGUCUUACAGAUGUUUUAAAUUGACCAGCUUCCCUAGUUCUGCUGGAAUGGUCCCGUUUAACCUGUUACUCCCCAAGCCCCUGAAAGUUGAAUAGAUUUUCAAAAUUACAAUUAGAAUUUCGGGAAAAUAUAUCCACUAUCAAACAAAACAUUCAUGGUGUUUGCUUGUUUAUGUAGGAGUGACCAUAUGUAGAGAGAGAGAUCUAUGGGUCAGUUGAUAUGUAGAGGGGGAGAUAGCUAGAUAGGAACUCACAAAUACGUAGUAAUGUUUCCCAGGAAUUUCGGUAUGGGUCCAAAUAGGCGGUUCACCAAAAGACUUCUAUAUCACACGUACUUUUUCGAUAUAACAAAGGAUGUAGACAUUACAUCAUUGCCAAAACUCAAUUAAAAGCUACAGGCAAGGCUCACAUGGACUCCAAUUUGGUUGCUUCCCAUUCCAUGGGUAUUGUACCAUUAAGGUAGUUGCCACUAAGAUCUCUGUAGCCAAUAGAUUCAGAGUGAGAUCAAUGUGGCCAAUAAAUUGUCUCAACCUUUCGAAGCAAAAAGCUGAGUAGAUUUAAUAAAUUGAAAAUAAACUUGGAACAUCUUGCUACAUUGUCUUGAGGUAUGGUAACUUUGCCUGUGAGGGCGGAAGGACACCUGCCAAAUACUGUCCAUUUAGAAAUCUGUUUGUAAAGAAAAGCGACAAUCUUUAGCAUACUCUGAAUUGAAAAGUUUUCAUCUAAAUUUUACAAGUGCGACAAUUAAAAUUUCUUGAGAAGUGAAAGAAACAAAGCCAAAAAAAAAAAAAUAAUAAUAAAAUAAAUAAAUAAAUCAUUCCGAAGGGAUUUUGAAGGAAACAAUACAAUAUAUUAAGCCCAUGUUUGGUGGGGGAUUAUUUUUAGCAAAUUUUGAUAAAAGUUGAUGAAAUGUAUAGUUGAAAAGUUUUGGGUCUAUAAAAUAUGAGGCUAAAAUUAAUUGUUGAUGUUUAUUUAGAUUAAGAUCUAUAUUUUAGUCCUAGGAAAUAGGGGCUAAAUGUAUAGAGUGUUUCAAGUAAAACAACUUGUUAGAGUGGCUUCUAGAACACACUACAAACGUUAUACGAUUUCAUUUUCAACUCUAACUUAACAAUCAAGAAUGUAACUUGAAAACAUGGUGAAAUAAAGUUGUAUGCUUGACUGAAUGGAAAAAAAGAACUAUAUUUAUUUUUUAUUUUUUUAUGGUUAUAAUACUAACACAGCUUAUUGCAGAAACUUCUAUACAUAUGUUAAGUGCAAAUCGUGGUGAAAGAUGAUGAAGAUAGAGAGUCUAGCAAUAUAAAAUGAAUAAUGCUAUUUAGCACCACUGGUGUUAUAAUACCAGUUUUGGUGACACAAAGUGUCAUUAAAUGAGUCACUACCUUUCAUUUAGCCCAUUGCAUGGCGACAGUUAUACUGGUCUUCGAUGACAUUAUUCAUAUGAAAUAAGUCAUAAAGGUCAAGUUUGAUUACUAGGCACCAUAAGUUCUAUUGAGGUCUAAGCAUGAAAAAAGUACAAUAAUUCCCACUUAAAAUACCAUUUUAAGAAUCGACAAACAGAUUUCCAACCAUUAUAUGGUAUUCCAUGCCUCAAAAUCAAAUACUGAAAACCCCAUAUUUAGCUGCUUGAAGGAUCAAUAGAAGCAGAAUAUAUUUUCUGUGAUUCCUGAUUCCUUGCAACGUAAUAGCACAAAUGGCUAUUUCGAAAUCAGUUUCAAACUAAUGAUAAAGAUGAUAAGUUUUCAGCAAGAAAACCUACAUUAAUUUUACGUGGCACACACCACCAGGGAAAUUACAAUGGCAGAUGAUGGAAUUGCUGUACCAUUGAAUAUCUUCUCGUUUUGGUGUAUUCCAGUUUGAGUUAUUAUCACAAGGAUUCAGGUUGAAGUCCCAGUCCUUUUUGCCCAACUGAUCAGCUAUUUCACGAAGAGCAUUCUCUGCAAAAAUCAGAACUCUAUUCUAAAAUAUAAAUGUGAUCGGAUUCAUGUUGAUCAAAGUGAACUUUUAAGGAGUUUAAUGGAAGGCUAAAAAGUGUAGUCCCUAAUGAGCUAAACACGUGAAUGGAAAAGAAAUAAAUGGUUUACAUGUGCAAUGACUAGCGAUCGUGGCAUAACACAUUGGAAAAAAUAGAGAUAUACAAAACUACUACAGCCAAUUAUCUUUGAUCAUCUAGUUGUUUUGCCUCUUAUAUUAGAUGUAAUAAAAUAAAUAGACCAGAGUGGUUCGUGGUCUCAAAAUGAAAGUUAUUAUUAUCAUUUUUACUUUAAAAUAGCACAGAAGGUGUUUUAAGGCCACUAUGUUUGCAUCUUCGUAAUCAAAUUAGUCUUGUGGGUAGUCCGUGUUUGUAUUAAAUCUAUUCCCAUUUUCAGGUAUUUCCAUUUUUUGCCAAUUUCUUGGGUAAAAUCUCCCACCUAUCUUAAAGAUAAAGAAAGCUUUCUUGGAUACUUCUUGCACUAAAAAUGAAGGACGAUCCAAUUUAUUAACUAUGAAGCACUAAUAUUUCUUCGAAGCAUAAAACAACUAAAAAAUUAGUAAAAAUGAAUGAAAACCGCUUCAGGCUACUUGUUUUCAAUAAUCUCUGGUACAUAACUGAUAAAUUUACUAAAGAAGAAGUAUUUCAUCAUCAUCUACUAACUUUAUCCUUAUUGCAUAUCUAACUAUAUAAUUGUUGUGCUUGUUAAUAUAUUCAAAAUGUGUUGGAUAAUUGCCUCAGAAGUCAAAAGUUGGAGUACUUCUAUUGCAAAUAAUAAAAGGUAAUAAUUGUAUGGAAGACUUCUAGUUAAAGUUGAGAGAAAAAUCCUCGCAGAAUUUGAUUUCCAAUUUUACAUCCGCUUUUGAAGUCUUGCAUAUAAAGGAGUCCUUGUUUGAGUUGAAAUUGAACUCUUUUACUUAAUUAUCGAUCCUACAAAUAGUGGAUGUAUUUAUUAUUUCAUGGGUGUGGCCUGAGAGUUGAUCCGAGAGAUAAAUAUUGUGAGCCUAAUAUCUUGAGAGUUUUCAUAUAAAGAGUAGAAAAGUGGGUAUGGUAAAGCUCAAGAUUAUUUUUCUUUGUAAUACUUAAGAAUUGGGUUGGUGAGUAAAAUUUUAUAUGGUUGUAACAAUUUUCAUAUAGUGAAAGGCUUUGAAGGUCUGCUAGUGAUACAAAUAGAUUAGUAAAUGACAUAUCUAUUCAAUUAAAUGGAUAUCGACAUUUUACCUAGAUAUUUAUUGUGGUGCGGCAAAAAAAUAUCAUGUCAAUUUUAUCAAUGCUAUGCCCGCAAUAACAUGACCCUGAUCAUUUAUUUUACUUUCUUUCAUCAAAAGACAUUUAUUUCGGGACAUCAUAAAUAUUUUCUAUUUCCUCCCUGGCAAAAGAUAAACAUAAGUGCAUUAACUUUCUAGGUCCUUAAUGGAAACUUGGGAAUUAGACCUUCAACAUGGGCCACCUAAUCUGAAUAUUCAAAUAAAUAUUUCUUUCAUUAUCAUGUCUAUGCACCUCACAGUACAAUUGACUCCUCCGUAUUCCAUUUCAUCAGCAUUAAUCACUUGUUUAAUGCAUGUUCAUCUUCUUUUUCUGAACGAGUGAACCUAAAUCAGAUAAAGAUAACUGCAUGAGCACAGGGCUAACCUGUAGAAUUUUCUAUCAGGCUGUCUUUUAGUAACCUGAAAAUGAAAUCAGAGACUUAGCAAAGACUUGCUAGGUUAGUCCAUCGCGAAGUCUUUUUCAUCUGUAUUUACAUUAAGAUAAAAAGAGAAUUUUAUAAAUGCAUGUUCAAAUAUUACAAAGCUAGACUAUUAUGAAUCAAUUAUUGUUUCUUGAAUAAAUAUUUCUUUUCCAAUUGUAGAGAUAUUUACAAUAUCAACACUAUUUUCCUAGAUUUCGUUGCCUUAUUAGAGUUUUGAUCAAAACAUUGACCAACUAGAUAAUAUUGUGCAUGUCCAUUGACUCAAUUUGAAGUGUUUUGAUUGUAAGCUCUCUCCCAGUCGCCAAUAAAAUCCAUACUUUCUUAAAUUAUGUUUAUUGGCGCCAAUAUUUUUUUUGCAAGCGAUUGCGGCACAGCACGUUGGAAAAAGUAGAGAUAAACCAAAACUACUAUAGCCAAUUAUCUUUGAUCAUCUAGUUGUUUCGCCUCUUAUAUUAGAUGUAAUAAAAUAAAUAGACCCGAGUGGUUCGCGGUCUCAGAAUGGAAGUGUGUGUGUGUGUGUUUUUUUCCUUCACUUUAAAAUAGCACAGAAGGUAUUUUAUGGCCACUAUGUUUGCAUCCUCAUAAUCUAAGUGAUCUCGUGGGUAGUCUGUAUUGGCAUUAAAUCUAUUCCCAUGUUCUGGUGUUUCCAGUUUUUGCCAAUUUCUUGGGUAAAAUCUCCCAACUAUCUUAAAGAUAAAGAAAGUUUUCUUGGAUGCUUCUUGCACGAAAAAUGGACAGUCCAAUUUAUUAAACUAUGAAGCACUAAUAUUUCUUCAAAGCAUAAAACAACUAAAAAAUUAGUAAAAAUGAAUGAAAACCUGCUUUGGGCUUCUUGUUUUCAGUAAUCUCCGAUACAUAACUGAUAAAUCUACUAAAGUAGCAUAUCAUCAAAUUUCUUCCUCUGCUAACCUUAUCCUUAUUGAAUAUCUAAUUAUAUAAUUGUUGUAUUUGUUAAUGUAUUCAAAAUAAAAUUUCCACAGUGAACAUCUCACUACGUCAAUGACAUGGUUUGCUAGUGAUACAAAUAAAUUUUCAUGUCAAUUUUAACAAUUUAUAGGCCUCAAAUCCCUAUUAGAAUUUCUUUCAGUUGUGCUGGAGCAUCUUGAGUUUAAACCUAUUAGGUUCCCAAACACCUGAGGUCAAGUUCCUCUCCUCUGCAAGAUAUUUAUAGACAAAAUGAAGUAUUCUAUUUAAUAUUUUAUUUUACUUUUAACAAGAAAGAACGGUAAAACUGUUUUAGAACGUGCGCAUAAGCUAUAAUUAGGACUAAUAAAGAUUUGUUAAGUAAGCCCGACGUCAAGAGGUAUUUUAAAUUCAACCUUAGUAAUUUGAUGCUCUACAUCAAUGUCUGAAUGAUAUAAUGUAACCAUAUGUUAAGAAUUAUGUCAACCAUUAUAUUACUGUAGCAUGAUUCAUAGGGAAAUGGGUUAGGAGAAUCUUUUCUCGCUAGCAAUUGUCGUAUCUUUAUAGUUGACAACAUAUUACUCGGUAUUUCUCAAUGUACAUGCCCUUGAAUAAAUGGACUGAAAGUACUAAGAAAGAGAAAUAAAUUCUAAUUCAUAAUUCAUUGAAGGUUGUCUGAGAAGGAAACUCGAGCAGAUGUAGAGGAUAAGCCAGUUUCUGGCGCAUCAGACAAAUGAAUGAGGAUUGAGUUUUACUUGAAUUAAGUUUCAAGUAUUAGAACUUCUCUCUGACUAAUUGAAGAUUCACUAACGAGUUGAGCUGACUCCCUCCGCCCCAUUAACUAGUUGAGUUGGCUACGGAUGAACUGUAGGAGCGAGUCGAUCAAUCACAUGAGUCGGAUCGCGAGACUAGAUGAUUUGGAUUUCCAUCUUAAAAUGUCAACCUUGUUAGAAGGAAUAAUCCAAACCCUUAUAGGUUGGUUUAUAUAUCUUUAUUCGAUGUGUGAUUUUAUCACUUAACAUGCCGAGUAAGAUGGUCGAACCAAUCUUGAAAUUCAUGUGCUCAUUUUUUUUAGUCUUAAUAGGAUCGAAUCGCUCAUUUGAGCUUAAUAGACUCUAAUAUCAUGUAAAGAUUUGAAAUUCCAUCUUAAAAGGUCAACAUUGUUAAUAGAGGUAGUUCAAACUCUUAUAAAUUGUAUUAUAUUCUUAUCUUUAUUCUAUGUGAAAUUUUAUCCCUUAACAUCUAAGCUUGCAAAAUAGCAAAUUGCUUAGUAAAUGAUGGACCCGAUCAAUUAAAUAGAUAUCAACAUCUUACCUUUGUUUAUGGGCAUUGAGUUGGAAUGCUUUGAACUUUAGCUUGAGAAUAGACUACUCAAUUGAAGUGUUGUAAUCAGUAUUAAUAUUCCGUCGACUUUGAAUACAAUUUACAAUUUAUAACAUUCACAGAAGGUAAUAUGUAACCUUUUUUAUAAUUUUACGUAAAGAAGAAAGUUUUGUCGAUAAAAUAAAUUUAUUUCCUCCAAAUCUUCAUUACCAGUUUGAAAAAUAUAUAUAUACUAGUCUUACGCCCCUGCAAUGCAUGGGCUUUGUAAUUUUGAAGAUAAUGUUAGUGUAUCGAAUGUUAAGGGUUAACGGGAAAAUGUAUAUUAUAAAAUUUCCAUAUACACGUUCAUAGAAAAUACUAAAUAGAGUUCACAAAGAACAUAAUUAUCAGUCUAUAAGUAAAUUUGGGGUCCAUACAAUUAGAUAGAAAUCAGGAUUCUAGUGAAACUAACAUUCAUUUUUAUUUCAGUUACUUGAAACAGCUAACAUGUAAUCAAAUCAAUGUACCAUAAUUUUGUUGUGAAAUCAAAAGUCAUUGCCUCGUGUUCAUGCUCAGGUCAUCACUCGCCUAAUCACUUUGACAAUUACUUUUGUGGUGGGACAUGGUAAAUGGUGGUGCCAGUAACUAAGCUUACCUGUUACAAAGGAAAUUGUAGAAAACCAUUUUAGGACCAAUGUAUUACAAAAGAAGCUAGUAAAACAAAAGAACUCUUACGAAAAAGCAACACAUGAAACAUAAAAAAAAACAAACGUUUUGAGAGGAAUGCUAAAGACAACAUUUAUACAAUUCAAAUUCUACUGAAAAAUUAAAACGAGCUCAACAUGUGGAAGCUUUUGACAAUCCAACAGUUGCAAUUAUAUAAUUUCUUACAACCUUGUACAUAGAUCAGAAGGGGCCAUAAUUACAUAGUUGAAUUAGUUGAAGUUUCAAAAAUAAAGAACCAUAAAACAUAGAAUGCUCUUUGAUGUGAACAAAUUUCAGAGGAGGCAAUCCCGAAGUCAAAUGCUUAAUGGAACCAAAACAAUAGAUGAAUACAUCCUGAAAAUUAUAAUACGUGAAUCUAAUAAACGAUUAUUUUCAGCCAUGAGAUAUUAAGCUUUAUUUUCAUACUUGCUUAUUAAUUUGAGCUUAUAAGUUGCGACAUGUAGCAUUCCAAUAGUCCUAACUUCCUUAAUAUCGAUAUGUAAAUAGAAAUAUGCCAUUGAGACAAUUAACACAUAACAAUAAUGUCAUAAGGAUUUGUUCACUAUCCCCAGUCCUGAUCAAUUAUCAAUUGUUUGCGGCAAAACAUUUGAGCAAUGAGAAACCUGUCCAUGACAUUCUAAAUUAUUAGAAUAAAAACAUGGUUGCAGGCUUUACCUCUUCAUUAGCUUGACUUUCCGUCACCGAGGUUCAUGAAAAAGGAAAUUGUUAAUUGAACAAAGAGAAAGGAACCUAUUACACAGAGUUGCACAGGCUCAUUUCAUAUAAUAAGGGUUAAACCUGUGAAUACACGCCUCUCGACAACUUUCACGAUACUCUCGAUGGAUGUUUUGUCUUAAAGCCUAUAGAAAAUUAUUAUUAAGAGAUAAUGAGAAAUGGAAAGAAGAAUUGGAAGAAAUUCAAACCUUUCCAUUAUAUCGUGUAUCUAAUUUACCUGGAACUCAGAUAUCUUGUUUUUGAACUUCUUCAAAACCCUACAUUAAAAUAUAAUCACUUCCUUCACAUGUUCUCACAUAAUGCAUGUCUUCAAAUUAAGUCCUGAGAGAUAUUUAAAUCAAGAAAAGAGACUGACAACCCCAUUAAGUGACUUCCUUGACCACCUUACUGACAAAAUUGAACCAAAUUUCUCAAAAAUUCUAAAGAAAACCGAUAAAGGAAAGGCCAAAAGGGCAAAAAAAAGAAAAAAAAAAAAAGAAAAAAAAAUGCAACCUUAACACAAAAAAAAUUUAAAAAAUAAUCGAAAGAAUAGCCAUUGGGUGAAUAUACAGAUCUCCAUAAAAAAGAAAAAAAGGGUAUUAGAAAAAUUCUCUUUCAUUGAAAUUCCAAUAGCAUUGCAACAUAAGAUUUUUACAAAAGGAAAUUUAAAAGUCAUACCUGAUUGUCUUUCGAAGAUAUAAGAAAAUGAUUAUAUCAGAUUCUAAGUCUGAAAAGGAUAAUUACAUUAAAAAAAUUUCCAUCCAAAAAAAGGAAAAGAGGGGAGAAAAUUGAGUUUUGAAGGGAAAAUGAGAGAGGAAAAAAAAAUCUAUUUCUAAAUAAUGCAGCAGCUUGUAAGCAAAUGAGUGAGUUUCAUAUUCAUCAUAAACAGUUAUAGAAUGUUUAUUCUCUUUGGCUAAGAAUUACUGGCUAGAACUAUGCAGCGAAUGCAUGGAUUUGAGAUACCAUAGAACCAAAUCCUUAGACGAAAAUUGAUUCAAAAAUCUAUCCUUUGUAUGUGGCGUAAUGAAAUAGCAAUUACCUCAUUGACAGAUGAAUUUGGACAAUUGAUGAAAAUUCUGGCAGAAAAAUAGAAAUCCAAUCUCCUACAUAAUAUGAAAAAACUUGAAAAUUUCUAAAUAAUUUCCCAUUCUUUCUUAACUUCUUAUCUUUUCUUCAUAAUCAGACGGUUUGGUGUCAAAAUCCUUCCCAUUUCUAACACAAUGCAAACCCAUUUAAAAUAAAAAAAAUAAAAAAUAAAAAAUAAACCAUCAAUUUUCACUUUUGGCUUUUGGCACAAAUGAUUGCAUAUGUAUUUAAAGAUAAAAUAAGGUCAAAAAAAAAAAAAUCAAUCAACACUAAAUUAAUCAACAAAAUAACUGAAAUUUAAUUAAUUUAUUACCAAAAAAACAUUAAUGGCAAUUUGAUUCAAUUCUUUCCUUCUGAAUUUGCUACUUUUGCUUCUCGAUAGAGUCAUCAGUCCUUUGUUGUUAGGGAUCACAGAGGAGAAUGUGAAUAGUUUAAUCACUUUCAUCGCUUUCUCCUCUCCCUAUUCAUAAUUACUAACUAAAAAAUGAAAUAAUAUUACCUAUUUACUAGUACAAUAUUCUUGUUAUGGUUUAUUUGUACAAGUUGAGACGAACGCCGAACAAGUUAAACAACCAACAAAAAGCAAUAAAAUGAAAUAGAGAAAUCAAAUAAAAUACAAACAGAUAACAAAAAGCGAGAAUGAGUUAUUUGAAAACAAAAAAGAAAAAAAAGGCAAAUAUGAAAUCGACAUACCUUAUUUUGAUACUCUUCAAUUUGUACGUGAAUCUUUUCUUUCCUUGCAAAGAACUUCGAACAUAGAUGAAAAAGAACGAAAACUUCAGAGUAGAUAUGAAGAUAAUUCAACAAAAAAUACACAGAAAAAUAAUAAAGGAAGAUACUCGAGGUCCUCGAAGUCCAAUUUUUGUCGAAAUUUUCUGGUAUUUUGGGAACGGUUUGUUAAAUUUUCUGAAAAGAGAAAACAAAAAAUUUGAAGAUUGACAACAAAAAAUAGAAACUAACAUACCUGAAGUAAUCAAACUCGAAUUUCUUUCAAGAUUCUAUGGUAUUUUGGAAAGCUCUCAUUUCCCUAGUGAUCUUAUUGCCUGCAUCAGACAAUAAGAUAUAUCAUAACACAGAGAAAGCACUUUAUUAAUUAAACACCAUGUAUGGUCUUUUUCAGUUCUUUCGUUAGGUCAAAGAAUACCUCUGUCUAUUCACUCUUUAUCCCCUUUUGGCCCAAUAAAUGCAUUCCUUCAAUUUCUCUAAUAACAUCAACUCUCUUAAAAUGAACGUGUUGUAAAAUAAUAGUACUUAAUAACUGAUAAACAUCACGAAUUAACUCCAUUCUAUGUUACAAAAUUAAUAUUUCUUACACCUUGUAACUAAUUGCUUUGACAAAAGAAUUUAAUAUACAUUUAAUUAUAAGAGAAAACUAUCUAAUACAUACAUUAUGUGCAGUUAUAGAGGUUAUAAGAUAGAUCUAAAUUUCGAUCCAUGUAUUCUAAUGAAACAUUAAGUAAAAGCUUUUGUCCUACUUUAACCAUUUUAGUUACAACUCUUAGUAUUAGCUACAAAAAUGAUUCUACCUAAAUAUGAAAACCUUGCCACUUCAACCAUGCAACAUCAUCUUUGGCUAAGUUUUAAAGAACGGCCAUGUAAAAGAAUGUUAAUGAAUCCAAAUGUACCUAAAUAUGAGAACUUAGCCACAGUAUACCAAACACCAUGUACCAUAAUAUCACUAAAUUAAAAUUAAACCCGAAAUGAAAUAAAAUAAGAAAACAAGCAUAAAUGGCAAAGAAAGCAAAUAAUGACCAUUUGUGUAGAAUUGAGCAACAAAUUCUACUGUCGUAAGGAAAUCAUCUACACUCGAAAAAAUAGUAUUAUUCAUCUACAUAUAUAUAGAUAUCUUCAACAAAACCAGUGAAAAAUAUCCUAGGGAAUGCAAAAGUUAUUAACGAAUAUUUUAGGCGUUGGGAUUAUCCUAAGAUCCAUGAAUUCCACAUGUAUGAGGAGUACAAAUAACAAAUUAUUUUUUAGGAAGAAAAACGAAGGGAAGAAAGCUGACAACAACUUAUCAAGUAAGGAAAUAUCAAAAGGAACGUUUGGUUUUUCUCCGUAUGCUAAUGGCUUAAUGCCCAUUAUUUGCAUCACCGUAUGCCUUGGGUUUCUUGCUAGGAUAAUGCCAUUUGUACAAUGACUUUUGACAACAUUGUUGACGAUGUUGUAUAUGUCAUAAAAGUGUUAGUAGGAAAUAUAAAUUGUUUUUUAAAUUAUCCAAUGACAACGUGACCCAUUGCAUGUUGUCAACAAUAUUGUAAAAAUGAUUGUACACCAAGCAUGAUUGCGCUUGCUAUCGCUUGAUUGCAGAUGAUGCAAAUGACAAUGAGAAAGUUUUUCCAAUUUAUCCCCUUCACUUGAAUUUUCUGGGGAAGCAAAUAUUAUUAGCUAAUACAUGCAUGUACAAUAAUUAAACAUGCAAUAAUUAUACCAUUGCAGUCACACCAGCUCAAUCCCAGAGUAGUACUAAAAGAAAGUAACAAAAGAAACACCAAAGUCUCGAUACUCUUAGUAAGUCAAAUUGUAGCAUGCACGUCAAAUGUUAUUAAAAACAAAGUUUAAUGUAUACAGGUCCAAAAUAUGAAGUAAAAUGAGGCCAAAUGAACUUCUGGGUAGCUACUUACUAACUGUACAUGCAAAACCAAAGAAGCUUCUCCCUACCCACCAAAAGAAUACAAAAAGAACGAAAAACGAAAAAGAAAGAAAUUACCAUUUAUUUAGAAGUAGACUUGGCAGAGACACAGAGUUUCAUUAUCAACAUGCCAGCCACUUGAACAGAGUAACACACAUCAACUUUUAAGUUCUAUCGUGUUAUGAGAGAGCAAAUGUCAUGACAAUGAGAUUCAGGAUUAAUAAAAAUUGCAAUCUCAUCCUAAUGAGAUCAAUGAAUAAAAUCCAUCCAUUUAAUAAUUUCUGACAUUGUUUAGCUAUCAAUAAGAUAUUCUUAUGUUAAAAAUUUCACUUCCAUUAUUGAAUUUUUAUUUCUUAUAAUCACAGCAGCACAAAUUUCGGUGAUAUUUGUCCUAAAUUCUUUACAUGAAUCAACAAUGCCGAAAUCUUGUAAAGCUAGCCUCUGUGACCUGAUGUAUAGAUUUUCUAGACCACUUUACCUCCUAACGUUGACUAUUCUGGUGAGACUCAUGCCAAUUGUAAAAAUGAGGUAUUAAGACUUGAGUUUAACAAGGAUGUGAUUCUGUCAAUCUUUUCUCUUUUCUCUUUUCUUUUUUUUUUCUUUUUACAAUUUCAAGUUUUGAUAUCAUACUUGAUUUUGGUACACUAUUUUCAGCACGAGGAAAUGUCCACCAUGCUUGUAGUGUUUUAUUGACAAAGCUUUCUUCUGCAUAUGUAAAAACUUUGACAUAACACUAUCCAUUUGUGAGGAUUAUAAUAUUUGAAAUUGACUCCACCAAGCAAUAUUUCCUGAAAUCAAAGCAAUAAGUCGUGUGUUAAUAAUUUGUUCAUAUAAGAAUUGAAGAGUUUUUGAACGGAUGCAUUUCGCAAUUAAAGAAGCUUUAAGCAUCUUCAUAUUCUGGUAAGAAUAUUUACUACUCGGGUAACAAUCAAUAACUAUCUUCUUUGCACGACUUGCAUGAUAGUUGCAACUGACAUUUUCAAUAGGUAACAAGCAGUAGAUUCAUAUAUAAUAUUGGCACUCUGAACUCAAUAUUCGAUUUGAAUGAUUGACUCAGUGCAUGUAUUUAGGGCUGUGCUGUGAUGAGAAAUUGUAAUAUCUUGAAUGAUCGACAAUGUGUUUUUUCUACAUCAGUAUGUUCAAUAUAUCUAUGUCGCAUACUCCAAGUGACCAAUUGGAGUCUUCAUUGUUUAGACACGGAAGUUGAUUUCUGGUAUUGAACAAAGAAUAGCUUUUCCUUUGUCAGAUAACUGUUAUAGUGAUAUUUGAACUACUAAAAUAACUUCAUCAAGUGCAGAAUGGUCACAUUUAAUCUGGUGAAGAAGUUCAACAACUUUCUUUUCCCUGGAGAUCGGAUUUUCACUGAUGGACUUUUGCUCAUUUAAGAACUUAAUUAGGUUGUGCCAGGUAAAGUGAAGUUGGCAUUAAAUUUAAGUACAGGAAAUGCUUGAUUGGAGGAAGCGAUAUGGAAGCAUCGAAGGAAAACAAGUCCAAGAAAUUUAAGUCUCAUAAAUGCAACUUUUUCUUACAUGGGAGCAAAGAACAUAACAUUGGAGGUUAUAUGAAAAAAUGGAAUAUGCAUUUUUAAUAUGGGGUUCUGAAUGCUACGAAGUGUUGCUGACAAUUCAGUACCAGUGGAUAACUAAUAGAUAAGGACUAAGUGCAUGAUUGAGCCCCAUUUUUGGCUAAUAAUGGAUUUUGAAAUAGUAGAUUGAUGGAGAAUGUGUAGUUAAAAAAUAAAGAAAAGUUUUGAGUUGUGUAAUAUUAUUUUAUUGAAAAAUACGUGGUUGAAAAAAAAAAGAGCAAAAAAUAUAUUUUAAAAAUAGUGGAAAUCAAACAAGGACUAAAAUGAUUUCGAUUAAAGAAAAUUGAUAAUUUUUCGAGAUUUCACUUCAAAGAUAAUACCUUAAAGGUUUGUUGUCCUUGAAUGAAAGAAAAAAUAUAUUAAAAAUAUAUUCACGUAGUUUUCCUUAUUAUAUAACUUAAAUGACAUGAAUAUAGAGGAAAACUUUAGACUAAAAGAAGAAAACUGUGAAAGAAGUGUGUUUGUCCAUGUGGUAAAAAAUGGAAGAUUGCUACACUAAAUACAAUUAAAAUUUUUUUAGAAAUAACUGAAACUAUAGCCAUUUGCUUAUGUUACCUUGCAUCAAGACUCGAUUAAGGAUGUGAAUAUAAUGUGGAAUCUUGAGCUCUUUGAAUUUAUAAUUGUUGCUUCAACCUUUAUAUUUGACACUCCCUAUGGCAUUAAGUAAUUUGAAGUUAUCCUAAAAAAUAUAGAGGAGAAUUGUUGAAAGCAUAUAUUGAUAUGGCACAUAACAUAAACACCAAUGCAAGUAGUGAAGGCAAACUAAAAAUAUAUAACUUUCACACCCUCUUGUUUGCUACCUUGAUCAAAAUUUGGGUGACAUCCUCAUAGAAGGUGACAUACUCUUUGGUCAAAUUUUGAACAGGAAAUCCAAUUUUUUCAUCCUCUUUUAUCUGGAACAGUUCGAGCAUAGCGGUUUAACCAUAAAAUAUACACGAAAACUCAAACACUAUCAACAGAAAAACUACUGACUUACAGAAUUAGUUCAAAUAUUGAAAAACACAUAAAAAGUAGUCACAUUAAUCCAUUUUUUUUAUGUCUUGAUUUAUAUAGGAUCUCCAUUGUAAUUCUUACAGGCCUAAAUGUAUCCAACAUCACUCUUCAUGGUGUACGGCACCAUGUCAUCGAUCAACUGAUGCUCAUGUCUUGGGGAAACAUAUAUGUUUUAGAAAACAAUGUGAAUGGGCACGUUAAUGUUCUAUACAUCAAAGAUAUAAAAGCAACCUUAGUGAAUGUUCUUCAGAUUAUUCCUUCCACUUCUCUUCAUGUACCUCCUAAAAUAUAUCUGUGAACCUGAAAUAGUGAAAUAUUAAUGUAAAUGUUAGUAUACAGACAUACUUCAUUUUAUUAAUAUUAUAACAAUUGACCAAGGUUUUCCUAAAGAAAUCACAGCCAUCAUACUUCUUAAGAGUUGUACUCUUUGUGCUCAAGUAAAGACGCCGUUUUUUGCAAUGUCAUUGCCAUUGAUGAUUCUGCAAAUGCUUGAAUAGACUGAAAAAUUUUCACAAAAAUUCCAGAUGAUGAGGCAAAAGAAUAUAAAAGUGCCAUUAGAAAAAUUUCAAUAUACAAGCGAGUUGUGUAAAGACAAACUUGAUGAACAUUAUACAUGGCCAGGGCAACACCAGAUCCUUUAAAGUCAUAGACAUCCAGUACUUCCAUGGGUCUCUCCCCAUUUUGUGGCUCUGGGACUGAACAGAGAAUGAGCAGAAGAAACAUGUAAAGAAUGGUUUGUCCAAAGAUAUGCUAAAUUUUCUUCCAAUAACUACAAAAAAGUGAACUGAACAAAUACCAUUCUAAGGUUUUCAGAUCCUUUUAUGAUUAAAUCAAUGGAAAAAUAUUGAUUGCCAAAGGCAUUUCUGCGAAUACAAAUAGGUUUCUUCCAGCCUACAGAAAAAAGGAUCAAAGUAAAUAAUUGGUGGUUUCAUAUAUUGUAAAUAUAUACCAAGGGGAAGAAGCAGGAGUACAAGGAACAAUUUUGGGAAUGUUGUUGAACAAGAUUGGCAAACUUAACUUCUAUAAGAACUUUCAAAUAAAAAUACAAAAAUUAAGAAAUGACCAAUGGUGGGAGAAUAAACCUUGAGGACAAAAUUCAGGUUUAAACAUGGGAGCCCAUGGUAGUACAGUAUUCAUCAAAAUCUGUCAAUCACAAACGUCAAAUUAAGCGCUCAUGUGUAUCAAUUGUAGCAAGUGAAAAGCAAUGAUAACCUUUUUCGGAAUUUGCAUUUGGGUAUUUAAUAAAUUAUCCGACUUGAAACAUUUUGUUCUCCUUCUUAAAGUUAAAUAUAAUCAAAGAGCCAAAUAUGGGAAGAACAAAUUUUAAGUCUUUUCAGUUCAGUUUCUUACAAAAAAUGAGGAAAAAAACACAGAUUGAACAAAAAAUCUCAUAUUCAAUAUGACGGCUGCAGAAAUAAAAAACUUAUACACAACACGAAGAAAUUGAACAAAAAAUACAAAAAAAAAAUAAUAAUAAUAAUAAUAACAACAACAUGAAAAUGAUAGACUUUAGGUAUUUUGGGUUCGACCUCUCAGAAGAAGGAAAAGGGGGAACAAAAAAAUGCAAAUUGGACAAGAAAUCUCAUAUUCAACACCACAGCUACAUAAAUUGAAAAAUAUAUACACAACAUCCUAAACCUAACCACCCCUUGAAACAUGACUUUACGUAUUUGGGUUUGAACUCUUCAAAGAUCAAACUAAAAAUAAAAAAUAAAAAAAAUUGAAAACUAAGCAUAUAUUGAACAAUACAACUCGACAAAUUAGAAGCAAUAUACAUAAGAGAAAGAAAUCGUAGCAGUGAAGAUUAUACUUACAGGUAUAUGUCUCAGUUGCUUCAGGUUUUCCUGAAUUUCUUGCUACAAUGGUGCCUAUCGCGAGAGAGAGAGAGAGAGAGAGAGAGAGAGAGAGAGAGAGAGAGAGGGAGAGAGAGAGAGAGAAAAAAUAGAGAGAGAGAGAGAGAGAGAGAGAACAAUUAGGGUUAAGAGGCGGAGAAAAUGGGUAACCAAAUGCCGAGUCUUGCAUUUUGUCCUUUCUUUUCCCAAACGGCGUUGUCUAGGCCCAACUAAGUUAAUGAUCAGUAAAAAUCGGAUUGGUGCGUGCACGGAGGACAUGACGGAGAUUUACUACAUGUUGCGUCUUUUUUUUUUUCACUUAUAUUUUUGUGUUCAUUUUUAAACUCAUUAUGGGAUAUUAAACGAAAUCGAAAUAUUACAUUCUUAAUAUCAUGUUGAAGUACUCGCGACAUAGUAUUGCACGUCGUUAACGGUGCGUGAAACAGCUAAUCGUAGCAAAUGUUACUGGACGUCAAAAUAGGCAUUUUCAAACUAUUUUUCGAAAUUUUCGAUAAUAAGCUAACUCUAAAAAUUCAUCGACCAUUAUACGAUAGUCGAAUCGAUAAAUGUUUUACAUUCUCUCGAAACUCAUUUCGAAAAAUAUAUCAUAGACACAUCGAAUGAUGUAAGUUAAUAUCAAAAAUAGUUAAACGGACAUUAAACGUAUGUGUUAAAAAAUGCGUAUAAAUCAUUUUUCUUCAAGAAAUCAAUUAUUUUAUUACUAUUUAUUAUUUUUUCGCAACAAUUCUCUCAAUAAAUCAUUUUGUUCAAGAAAAAUUAUGUGGUAUGACGUAAAUUUUUUUUUUCAUGCACGGAGUGAAUAUUUUUUUUUUACAUUUUAUUUACAAUAAGUUUUUUUAUUAAUAUAAUUUUAAAAAUUUAAAUAUAUAGGAUAUGAUUGAUAGUUAAUAACGUGAGAAUUAAAAGAAAGAGCAUGGUGUAUUAGAUUCAAAGUAAAGGAGAAAUAUUGCAGUAGACGUGAUAUUGCACUCAAAUGGCAUGUGAGAAAAUUUCUACAGUGUUUUUGAAUAAAAAUUUUUCUGUUGCCAAACCAGUUCCCAAACUGGUUAAGUUAUUUAAAAGUAAAAGAAGAGAUUACACUAUCUAAAAGAUAAAAAAUUACUUAUAAGUAAAAAAAUCACUUGAAGUUAUUUAAAAUAAAAAAAACUUAUAAUUGUAAAAGCUACUGAUAGGUAAAAAAAAUAUUAAUCCCUCAUUCUCUUAUAAUUGCAAAAGCUACUUAUAAAAAAAAUGUGAACUUAAAAUUUUUUAAGUAUAAAUAUUUAUAUAUAUUUAUUUUUUAAAAUUAAAUAUUAAUAAAAAGAUUAAACUAUUUAGAAUGUAAAAAGUUACUUAUAAGUAAACAAAUCACUUCAAGUUAUUUAAAAGUAAUAAAAAAAUUAUAAUUGUAAAGGUUACGUAUAGGUAAAAAAUAUUAAUUUCAACAUUUCUAAGUAAAUAUUUAGAUAUAUUUAAUUUUUUUAAUUAAAUAUUAAUAAAAAAUGUACUACAAAUAAAAGUAAAAAAAAAAAAAAAAAAGUGCAUAUUGGUGCUUGAACUCCCCGCACGCAUUGCUAAAUUUUUUUUUUUAAACUUAUGUUUUUGUGUUCAUUUUUAGGCUCAUUACGGGAUAUCAAACGAAGUCAAAAUAUUAUAUUCUUAAUAUCAUUUUGAAGUACUCGCGGCAUAGUAUUGUACGUCGUUAACGGUGCGUGAAACGGCUAAUCGUAGCAAAUGUUACGGGACGUCAAAAUAAACAUUUUCAAACUAUAUUUCAAAAUUUUCGAUAAUAAACUAACUUUAAAAAUUCAUUGACGAUUGGACGAUAGUCAAAUCGAUAAAUGUUUUACAUUCUCUUGAAAUUCAUUUCAAAAACUAUAUCAUAGAUACAUCAAAUGAUCUAAAUGAAUAUCGAAAAUAGUUAAACGGACAUUAAACGUAUGUGUUAAAAUAUGUGUAUAAGUCGUUUUUCUUAAAAAAAAAAAAAAAAAUUAUUUUAUUACUAUUUAUUAUUUUUUGGCUACAAUUUUCUCAAUACAUCAUUUUGCUCAAGAAAAAUUAUGUGGUAUGACGUAAAUUUUUUUCUCCAUGCACGGAGUGAAUAUGUUUUUUUAUAUUUUAUUUACAAUAAUUUUGUUGAUUAAUAUAAUUUUAAAAAUUUAAAUAUAUAAGAUAUGGUUGAUAGUUAAUAGCGUGAGAAUUAGGAGAAAGAGCAUGGUGUGUCAAAUUCAAAGUAAUGGAGAAAUAUUGCAGUGGACAAUGGCGUUUGACAAAAUUCCUACUAUAUAUUUGAAUAGAAUUUUUUCUGACAAAAUUCCUAUAGUAUUUUUUAAUAGAAUUUUUCCUGUUGCCAAACUAGUUCUCAAACCGAUUAAGUGUGAAAACGAGUGAACAAAAAAUGAACAGUAAACCCUCAUUCUUUCUUUUAUGGUAGUGUAUGUAUACACACACAUGCAUGCAUGUGUCCAAGGGUGUACCGAAUGUAAUUAUGGUUGAUAAUUGUUGGGCUGUAAUGCCAUCACAUCUGUAAGUGGGGCGAUGAUAGUAUCAUGGGCUUGGCCCAUUUUGGGUAUUUGAUCCAUUACAUGGUAUUUUAAAUGUGGAGGCCCAAUACCCAUACCCAAUAUAUGGAAAAUCACAUUUUGGAAGAGCAAUUUUAGUUGCCAAUUAAUGCUGAAGUCACUAAUUGCCCUCGACCAUUGAUCAUCAUCCAAAAUCAAUGGUGAUGGUGUAAAGUAUAAAUGGGGUCUUACGUUGUUGCCCUAAUUCACUUGUACUUUGAUAUUUUUUGGUGUUUUCUGGAAUUCUCACUAAGUUAGGUUUGUUUCUUUUGUCUUCUUUCGAUCAUCUUUAACCUCUAUUUGGAAAGUUUCUUGUGGUUUUCUGAGUGAAAUUUGAGUUUCUGUGGUUGAUAGUGAGAGAAAAGUGUAGUUUCAAGUUCAAUGCCUUCUGGUCCAUAAAAGAAGUGUCUUCUAAUCCACUAACAGUUUAGGUUUGAGGUUUCUGGUUUGUAAACAAGGGUAUCCGAGAUACCUUAGGUUGUGUCUUGAGUUGUAAUCUUUGAUAUAAAAAUUUUGUAUAGUUUGGUUCGAUUUUUGUUCUAAUAGUAACUCGAUCGAUUGGUAAGUUAGAUUGAAUAAUAUUAGAUAAUCCCUCCUUAUCUUAAAAGAGAGAAUAUAAGGCUUACAGUUCAUUUUUGUCCCAUAGAUUUUCACAUGAAACUGGUUUGAAAUUAGGCUGACAACAGUAAAUUAUACCAUUCAAUGGCACUGUAGCAUUUUUUUCACACGUCAUUUCACUACAAUUAUUAAAAAAAGGAAUUGAGGGCAAAUAUAGAAAAAAAUUAUUAUAAAUUUUUUAAAUUAAAUUAAAAAUAAAAAUUAUUUAAUUUAAAUUUAACAAAUAACGUUCUAUCAUAAAAGAAUGGAUAAAUAUUAUGAUCAAUGAAAUAAAUAUUAUUUCAGUUCAAUUCCUAGUAUAAAAAUAUGGCUUGUAUCUGCCCAAUGUAAAUCAUCAAUGAAAUAUGAAUUCCUUCUUCAAGUUCCUUUCUCUCUCUUUCUCUUUCUUUGGUUAAUUUUCUCCGGUUAAUCUUGCAAUUCAACACGAAUUGUAUUUUUGUAACUUAUUGAAUUUAUUUCUUGCUCGACUUUCUUUUUUCAGUUUCCGUUUCCGUUUAAUCUUAAAGGGUUAGGGUUGUAGAGUUGUCCUCUUUUUCUUUCUGUCUGUUAGGGAUAUUAUACGGAUUUGUGUUUGUGAAAAUGGCCUUCGAUUUGGUGUUUUUAGUUGAUCGUAUGCUCAUUUUUUAGGGAUUUGAAUGUCAGUUUAUUUGUGAGUGUUGUAUAUCUGUAUUUGUACCUUUCGAGAAUUUGAUGGUGCCUCUCCCGGCUGGCUUUCUUGGAUUUAUAUAUUUUCAUAUUUUGUCAAUUUAUUUUUCCCCUGUACUCUACCAGCAAAAAAUUGAUAAAAGAUGUGAUAAAUUAAGUGAAAGGAGUAAUAGAUAUCUACAGGGAUAUUGAAGUUUGAAUGCAGAUCAGCAGUUGUUAAUUUUAUUGCUACAUUUCUCAGGGGUGGGGAAAAGUUGGAAAAUGUAGCUGAUUUCUAGAGAAAUCAAGAUAUAGAAAUUGUUGCCAAGUUCCCCCCUGCUUAUUUCCCCCAAUUGUGGGGUUGGGGAUGUGAGCGCAGAAAAGCUUGCCCCCUGAAUCUGUACUCGUAAUCAAUAGAGUUAUAAACCAUACUUUACCAUAUCCAGCUAAUUUUGUCGGUUAUAUUAUCAAUUUCUUUGAAACAACCCGAACUUUAUAUUUGAUUUUAUUAUUGUAAAUAUUAUCAUAGCUUCAUUGUCGAAAUACGAACUUCUUGUCUACGUCUUACAAUUGGCCAUAUAAAUCCCCACCCCCAACCUUUAUGAACAUAGUUUUUUCGUGCAAAAUUUGUAGUAUCACACGUCAGUUGUAAUCAGUGUAUGCUUUUAUUUGACUCGUUAGACCUUCACUUUGCUAGGCUUGCAGCGUAUACAAUAACAUUAACCAUCCAAGCAAGUUGACAGUUGGAGCGGACUUCCACUGUUUCAAGGAUAAAAUUGAGCCAAAAUGGGAAGAUCCUGAUUGUGCCAAUGGAGGAAAGUGAACUGUGACAGUGAUGUAUGAACGACUUACAAAUAAUAUCUUCUAAUGAGGAUUUGACUUGGAAACAUAAUCUUCCAAUAAUGUGUCAAUUGUCAGCAUGUGACACAAUAACGUAACACAUGGUUAAUUAAAUUCGUUCGGUGUUAAACUACAAGAUAUGUACAUAUUCCUUUUUGAAAGUACGUCUUUAAAUAAAUAUUUUUUUGUUAAUAAUCACGGUCUCUCGAAUACGGCAUGCGCCUUUGCAACUAGCAUGUUUCUGUUGAAUAGUGAUGGCCACUGUUCAUGCAUAGUGGAGAUUAAUUGGUAGAAAGUUUUCCAUUCACAUUUAAUGCAGAGGUUAUCAUGCAUGAGUUUCUUCUCAAAUUUCAAAUGCAAUUGGGAAUGACAUUAAAGUCACUGAAUGGAUAUGCGUGAAUAGCAUUUUGCAGCGAGUUAAGAGGGACAAAAUUGAAAGAUUAUCUCUACGUUGCAAAUAAAAUACAGAGAAUGUAUUUUUGCAUUGCUCUUCUUCUCUUGUUGAUAUAGUGAAAAAUUUGUGUGAGUUUGUGGACGUAGGCAUGAUUUUCGAACCACGUAAAUUAUUGUGUCAUACUUGCAUUUAUUUUUGUUAUCUUCAUUUGUUCUCAUUUUAAAUUAUUUUGCAUCCCACUGAUCUUGACAAAGUUAGUAGCUUUACACUUUCCACCACUAUAAUAGAAUCCUCUUUGCAAAUUUUUUAAUCAAGUUGUUCGGCUAACUUUUGAGUACUAGAAAUGAUUGUACUAAUACGUGAGAUUAUCGCUUAAAGUCUAAAAGCACAUUUUCUCAGUUCCAUACCCGUUGGAAGGUGCAAGACAAGUACAAGAUACAUAAUUAACAACUUUAUUAUAGGCAUGAAGCAAAACACAAUGGAGGAAAAAAAAAGGUUGAACCCCAACCUUGAGAGUCUCCCCCACCCGCCCCGACCCUAGAGUUUUGUGAGGGAGAUAAAUCGCGGGUUGUGCCCCAACAGGCCAGGGAACAAGAACUGUCUGUACACUGCACCUACAAGGAGUUCAAUUUCAUGUCUCAGGAAUCGAACCCCCUCACUGUGGCUACCAACAAGGCGUAAGAUAACCUCACUCCUGUCCUUUGCAUCACUAGGCUAUGCCCUCGGGGGAGGGGGGGCAAAAAAAAAAACACAAUGGAGAAUUCACACAUAAUAUUGAUUGAGUAAGGUCUAUGUCUAAUUCUUUUAGGACAUGUUUGCGCCCAAUAUUGGACAAGCCAGUACAAUGAAUAAGAUUUUAUUUAUUUUUUCUUAAUAUUUUACAGUAUUUUCUUGUUCACCCAAUACCGUGAGGUAUUUACUCUGAGGAUAAUGCAAUAGGACUUCUUCAUGAAUCCCUUCACUCCAACUAUAACAACCAAAUGCAAACUCAUUUUCCCGCAUAGGCCUCUUCACUACAACUGUUAUGUUGAAGCCCCUACUUUUCCGCUUUAGCGUUGAAGUGUAAUGUGGAUGGAGAUAUUUCUAUGGAGUAACCAGGAUUUUUUUUAAUCGUAACUGAGUAGAAGACUUAUUACCAACAUUUGUAACAGUUCGAGCGACAAAGUAUGAAGACUUACUACCAACAUUUGUAACAGUUCGAGUGACAAUCGUGGAUACUUUAAGCUUAGGCGCUUAGCAAUUGCUAGCCAUGGAUAGUUGAGAUUACUUGGCGAAGGAAUAACAUUGGGACACUUGAAAGAUGGAACGAGCAAAUUACAGUUAUUAGGACAGAGGAAGAGAUGAUAGUCAGUAUAAGAAGCAUUAUAAACAAGUCCUGAAUCAACUGCCUUUGAAGGUUGAAUGUGGCCCACGUUAUUAUGUAAAGGAAUAAAAUCUCAUAUCGCAUAAAAAUAAAAAUUUAGACUAACUUAUAAGAAUUUGGGAUAAAGUGUCUUUUUUUUUCUUUUCUAAAUAAAAUUUUUGUUUAAUGGCCCUUGAAUAUUUUGAGUACUCUUAAAGAAAUUUUUUCUUGCUACUUAGGUAACAGGCAUCUCUGCUGUAAGCCGGCCCGUAGUCGAAGCGAAAAUAUUCCAAACGAACAGUAUUUAUUGAAAUCUAAUUCGGGUAACAAGUAGGUGAUUUUCUUCUCCUUGACCAUAUCAACAUUUCAUAGUUGAUGGUUUUUUGUGUUGUGAAUCGAUGGUGAUAUACGCUGAUGUGUUGUUUUGGAUGAAACUUGUGUUAUUUUUUGCUAGGAUUUUAUUUCAUUUCUCUUGAAUGUUUAAGAAAAUGUAGGAAGACAUUUUAAAGGCCGAAAAGAAAGAACACCACUUUAUGGAAUAAAUAAAAGAGAUUCUGCUGGGAGAAUGAUUGAAUUUUUAUAAUUGCAUUCUUUGCAUCAUGACGCCUAAAUAAAUAUAUAUGUAAUUGCUCGCCUCACAAAGCAAAUUGGAACGGGCAGAUAUCUGGACAGUUUAUGGUUCACUAGAUAAAUUGAUAGCUUGUGACACUACGCGACUGCCGGCAAGCACAAAUGGCAAGAUAAACGCACGAUGUGAUCUGGAUAGGAAGCGAGUGAUCCAAGUAUGAGUUUUGCUCGAAUUCUCGUCCAGACAUUUUUGUUGAAGGCGAACCGGUGGCAAGAAGCUGAAACAUUAAAAAUUCUAAUUUUUUUUCUCCAUUUAUGUGGGCUAGUAAUGAAAUCCACUGUGUUCAUAUCUGUAGAAGCAUAUCACUUUUUUAUGACUUAGUCCAAAAGUUCCCAUGAAGAAAUUUACAAGCCAAUUUCCUUCUUACUACUGCUACUACUCUUACUACGUGCCUUUGUAAUACAUUUUAAUUAUUUAAUUAGUAAUAAUUGAAGAAAUGAAUUAAAAUAAAAUCACUUAAGAAGUUUUAAAAUAUAAAAAAAAUGAUUAUUUAAAGUUAAAACGAAAAUGUCACAACAACCAUAUAGACACGUCAUUCUACAAUUAUUUAAGGAAAACAUUACAUAAAACAAGUGAAUACAAUAUUUUCAUUAAUUUAAUGUAAUUUAUGCAAUUGUAAAGUAAAUGACUAAAUAAUUUUUCAGGUUAAUAAAUUGUUGAGAAUAAAAAAAAAUGAAGAAAAUAGUUAAAUACUGUUUAUUUGGUGUAGUGGAUUGGAGAUGAAUUUUAUUUUGGUACAAGAUUUUGGGCAAAAUAGUGCAAAACUCACCUUAAAUUUUGAUUUAGGGUUGGAGAUGGCCUAAGAACUUCAACAAUUAGAACAAAAAUAGAGGACCUCACGAAGAAAAAUAAGCACUUUAUACCUCGUAUGCAUUGAUUGUGGUGUUCAAUAUAGAUAGUUGGUGAUUGACCAGAAUAAGAUAAAAUGACAAUUGGUGAUUGAAAAUGAUAUAUUUAAUAUUUCUAAGAAAGUUGUGAGAUAAUUUAAUGAGAACUUGAACAUGUUUUUAAAUAGAAAGGUUUGAGAAUUCAUUUAUUCUUUUUUGAAAGUUAAAGACUGACCAAGGAACUUCAACACUUAGAACAAUAGUAGCAUACCCCACAAAGAAAAAUAAGUACUUUAUACCUCAUAUACGUUAACUUUGGUGUUCAGCAUGAACAAUUGGUGAUUGAACAAAAUAACAUAAAAUGACAAUUGACGAUUGAACAGAAUAACAAAAAAUGAGAAUUGGUAUUUGGAAAUCAAACAUAUUUCUAAGAGAGUUGUGGAAUAACUUAACGAAAACUUGAAUUUAUAUUGAAGGUCAAGAGUUCAUUUAUUCUUUUUUGAAAGUUAAAGACACACUAAGACCUUCAAAAAUUAGUGAAAAACAAUAAUAACGGACCCAAGAAGAAAAACUAGCACUGUAUACUUCGUAUACAUUGAUUUUGGUGUUCGGAACAUGGCCACAUAGCCCUGUUUUUCCAGGGUUUGUGGCCUUGUUUGAGAAGAUUUAUCCUUUGAAAGGCUCUGUUUGAGAAGAUUUAUUCUUUGAGCGCAAAUAGUUUGAAAAGGGGUCGAAUCUUCAACUUGUUCCUUUAUGUUUAGUAAUUUUUUACUAGUUCAAAUAUAAAAACAACACAAACAAAUUGGUUUGUCAGUCCGUUAUACAAAAGUUAGCCCUUGUUUGGUAGAGAUUAAAAUCGAAUUUUUAGUAAAUUUUGAUAAAAGUUGAUGAAAUAUGUAGUUGAAAAAUUGUAGGUUACAUGAAAUAUGCGGUUAAAUUUGGCUAUACAUAGAUAAAUUAAUAGAACUAGUGCAUAAUUAGUACGUAGGGUACUGAAUAGCCUUGUACAACCUGUAAAACACGAUUUCAUGUAGCGUGUUCACUAAUCAUCUGAAUUCUUAUAUUCUAUUACAAUGUUAAGUCCCUAUUUGAUUUAGCUAAAAAUCAGAUUGAUAAAAAUUGAUUAAAAUUGUGAGUAUCAUAAAAUGUGUGAUUAAAAUUAAUUAUUGAUUUCAACUUAAAUUUUUGUCAACUUUUUUAAUUAAAUGUGAAAGCGUAUGUGGCAUAUGAUCAUAAAAAGAAUAAAAAAGUACCUAAGUUAAAUACAGCCGGAGUAGUUUUGGGCAAAGAAAGAGAACAUUAAGUGCAUGUUUAUACAUAGAACUCGACAAAUUUUUUCUUUAAAUCUUGUCUGUUAUUUUACAUUUAACCUUACUAAACAAGCCAUAAAAAUAUGCACUUUUUCGUAUAUUUAUUUAGGGUAUAUACUGUAUGACACGAAGAUAUAUUUUCUGACAACUUUCAAGAGUACGACAAUUUGUUGAGAGAAUAAUUCUGCAAUCCUAUGUACCUGUUAAUAUCGUCACAGAGAUAUAAGGUUAGGUGGAUAGAGAUCUCUGGAAGAGGUAAACGAAGAGCCAAUUUCUAGUGCAUCAGAAGGAUUAGAAAGGGUCUGAGUUUUACUUGAACUAGGUUUCAAGUCUUCAAACUUCUCUCUGAGUGAUUGAAGCUUCAAUUCAUCUUCGUAGAUGCUUGGAUCUAUCUUAAAUUCCUGAACAUUUAUAUAUCCUUCAAGCAUGCCACAGACCAUGGACAUUGGAGGCCUUAGGGAUGGAGAUGGAUUGGUGCACAAUAGAGCAACUUUGAUCGUUCGUUUUGACUCGUCCAUAUUGAAAUUUGAACCCAACCUUGUAUCCACGAGCUCCAUCAACCUUCCUUCGUUCUGCAAAAUCGUAGCUUGAGACGAAAGGCUAUUGCGUGAGACCUUUCUUCGUGGACAUAAGAACGAAAAAUAGGUUAAUGAGAUAAAACUUCAUUAUCUGAUUUGGAGAAAAUACAAAAAUCUUACCCAAUCAAGAAGGCAAAUGAAACUUUCACUGGGUCGAUAUUUCAUGUUGCUCUUUCCAGAAACAAUUUCUAGUGCAACGACGCCAAAACUGUACACGUCUGCUUUGUAGGUUAAGUAACCCCACAUUGCAUAUUCUGGAGCCAUAUACCCACUACAAAAUGAAAAUGAUCAAAUGCAUAUUAGCACAAGCUUUCGCUCCUAUUUCUCAAAUAAACAAGCUCAAAUUUCAAAUGUUGCACGUGGAUGAUUUGAAUAAUAAUUUAGUGUUGCAAAUGUUGUGAUAGUAAAUAUUCCAAAAGACUUUAAACUGCUUUCAUCUUGUUCAAGUUUGUAUAAAAAGUUCAAUUGUAAGUAAAUAAAGUGAAUUUUUCAAUAAAUAAUUAUUUUAUUGGUCAACUAAAAAUGGUGAGAUGAAGAAAGAGAAAAAAUCUCACAUGGUCCCUGCAACUCUAGUGCUGAUGUGGGAGUUAUCAUCCUCAUCGAGCUUAGCUAAACCAAAAUCGGAAAUCCUUGGAUUGAGGUCUUUAUCAAGAAGAAUGUUGUUAGGUUUUAUGUCUCUAUGAACAAUUUUCAAUGUGGAUUCUUCAUGCAAAAAAGCCAAGCCUCUUGCUAUACCGAUACAAAUUCUUUGUCUGGUUGGCCAGUCCAUUUUUAAUUGCCUUUCCUCUGGUCCUGUACUUGAUAAUACGAUUCAAUUAAGUGUGUGCAUGGAUUUUAAAUACUAAAUUUGUAUAUUAGACAAGAUUUUAAAGAAUGCAUAACGCAGGUACAAAUUCCAAUUACCAUAUAAAGCGCGGGCAAGGCUAUUGUUUUCCAUGUAUUCAUAAACCAGCACUAAAUGGCUUCCCUCAAUGCAACAUCCAUACAAUUUUACGAGAUUUGGAUGCUGUAAACCAGAAAUCAUGCCUAUUUCAUUCACGAAUUCACGGUUCCCUUGCUUUGAUUUGGAAGACAGCUGCUUGACAGCAAUUACACUACCAUCCAACAGUAUACCCUGCAAAUGAAGCAUUUAUAGUAUCACAGACAUGCACGCAUAUAGAAAUGUUAGAAAAAUAUAAGCGCGAAGGUAUAGACAAAGUAUAAGAGAGAAAAGUUGGAAGUUAAUAUUUCUACAUACCUUGUAGACAGAUCCAAAACCACCUUCCCCAAUUUUAUUUGCAGCAUCAAAGUUGUUUGUGGCGGCUUUGAUUUGUCUAAAAGUAAAAAAGCCAGUCCGCAAAUCUAAUCCCCUUAGUUCUGGAAAAGAACAAUUUUUAGAUGUUGAAUUCAUUGUAAGCUAUAUAGUUAAGGAUUCCACCAUCUCUCUUUUUCUCUAUACAGUACACUAGAAUAUGUUCUAGUUUUUCUUUGAUCUAUUGCUUGUCCAUGGUCACAUCACCACGAGAAAAUUAUUUAUCCAAAAUUUGAGAGUAACUUCCAUAGAUGUCAUGUGAUGCAUUACUACUGUAAGACUAUCCAUAAAAUUAUAUACGACAAUUCAAUAUUUACAUUCUUGCUUAAAUACUAAGAAAGGUCUAUUUGUUUACCUUCUUCCCUUGAGAUCCUGCCUCCUAUAUAGCCUUUCCACCAAGAAAAAAUAAGAAUAAUGAGAAUGAAAAAAAUUGCCAAAGCUGUUACUCCUGUUGGGAUGAAAAUAUUCGUUCCUCCGGACGGAGGCUUAAAAUCUACAUAAUGAAAGAAAUAAAGAAUAAUUGUUACAUGGUGUUCAGUUUGCUAGCUAGCACCAGAAAAAAUCACAUAAAGGAAUUGGUAUAGGAAAUUUGAGAACAAUAACAAGUGAAAAAGAACGAUAAUAGAUUAAUUAAUAGAGUACUAAUUUAAGUGCCAACAACACCUGAGUUUUGUCGCUUAAGUUGCAAAAGAUUAGUGGUUGUGCAGAUAAAAUGUAUAUUUUCUCAAAUAAAUCGAUAAAAAAAAAUCUUAAGAGAGAUAGAGGUGUUUUGAGGAUAAAUUUAAUGGUAUUACACAGACUAUCUUACCAGAUUCCACAGAAAUGGCAGAUAUCAAAGGGCCAUAUACUGUUCUGAAAGGGAUGUCUAUUGAUCCUUUCCCAGAAUAGUAAAAUCGGAUAUCCAAAGUUAUAUUCUUAACCGUCGCAUUAAAUGGUUUUUUCACAGCUUUAGCAACUCCUUUCGCUUCCUUCUUAAUAUCAAAAUCUUUCAAUUUCAGUUCAUCCUGUAUUAUGUUGAAUAAGUUUGAGUCAAAUCGCAAUAGUAAAUAGCACCAAAAAGAACUGUUUAUUUAUUACUUGACCUGGAUAUAAACGUCAAACAUCCGUCUCCCAAGACUCUGGAAAGAGUUAUCAUCUCUGAAAACUAUCUCUGCAAAGUGAAGUGUCACAGUGUAGUUUCCAUUUGCUAAGCAACGCCCGUAAUAAGUGAGAGAUAAAGGAGAUAGACGCGCAUCUGUAUAGAGUUCAGAGUCCUUCAUUUUCAGCACAGAUACAUUGUUGGCAUUAUAGUGAUUCUUGAACGAGGGAAACUGUCCUGUACUACUAGCUCCCCAGUUCUCUUUUGAGUGAACAAAUUGAACUGAACCUCCUAUUUGUACAUCAGCUUCAAAUCUUUUGUUGCCAACAGUAACUUCCCCUCCACCACAAUUUACAUAAAAGGAAUACCAAUCUGUGAAAAACCAAAGCAUAUUAAGUUUUUUAGAACAUUUCCAAAAGAUUCUUUAAACAUAAAAUAUUCUCUAUUUUAAAGAAUCAAGCCUUAAAGUUAUGUUUCAAGAGACUCUUUAAUUUAACAUUUUAAUUUAUAGAGAGUUUGACUCUCCAAAUUUAGAGAGUCAAACACGCUCUUUAUAAUUUAAUGCAUUUAAAAUAUUUCAAUUUUCAGUGAAAAAUAAUAUAAUAAUUUAGAGGAAAGCUAGUGAAAAUAAAAGACAAGAAAAAAAUAAUAAAUAUUUUUUUGAAGUAGUAAAAUUAAGUAUUAUAUACAAUGUUUUGAAAACUGGCCAGGACAUCGACCCGGAAAAGAAUAAGGGUCAAGGGUAGAAAGGUUGAACCGGGGUCGAACCGGGAUUGAAGCGUAUGCUAUAACUAAGUAAAUAAAUACACCUAAAUAAUAAAAAUAUUAUAACAAUUUUGUUAACAAAAUUAGUAUCACUAAUUCAAACUAAAUAUAAAUCCACAUUUGUCAAUUAGAUUUAUUAUCUUAUAAUUUAUUUUAAAACUUCAAAAACUAAUUAUUAAUAUGUCCAAAAUAAUUUGCUUUGUUCAAUUGAAAUUGUUUGUACUUUGGGGACCAUGAUUUUCAUAUAAUGUAGAAUGAAGUAGAUAAUUAAACAUUUUUUAAGAAUUCAAUUGGCCAUAGACCCUGUAACUUUUAUAAUUAUAAUUUAUCUCACAGUUGACCAUAGAAAAUAUGGAAUUUUUUGAAACUAGCUGACCACUUAUCCAACGGCCCAAGUCCUAACUCUAUCCCACAUCGGUUGAACAAUGAAAAGGUGCGAGAGGAUUCACUUUUAAAAGUAGCAACAUGCUGUGUUCAAUAAAACAGGCCUGCUACCAUUGCAAUUGGGCCCAUUAAGCAAACUUAAAAUCAAUUUUUGAAUAAUAAAAUAUAUAAAGUGCAGCUUAAAGGAACCGGUAAAAUCGUGUCCGGUUUUACGUUUUGCAGUUAACCGGACGGUUCGAAGGUUUAUUGACCGGUUUUUAGUUAAUAGGGUUAAUAUGUAGUGACCGGAUCGGAUUUGAGGGCGGUUCAUGAUUUUUUGGGUUGAACCGACCGGUCAGGUCCGGUUUUAAAAUUAUUGAUUAUAUAUAAAAAACUUGUUGAAGUACUCAAAAAUUUUUACUCCCUAAAUUUAAAUGUUUUUUUGUCGUUGGAGCUCAUUCCAUGAUCUUAGAAAUGGUGAAUUUCGGGCUCAGUUUUUAAUUAUAUUUCUCUACCAAACAACCAAUCUGCACUACUCCAACCCACAAUCAGUAUAUUCAUCUCGAUUUCUCCUCAGUCUCACCUACAAAGAAUAAGGUAAUGGUGAUGAUUUGUAGGCCACGAAGGCAUGGGAAAAACAACGAAAAAGGCAAGAGAAUGGACCAAAAUACACAAGAUGAAGGCACUGAUUUUCUCUCUAUAUGGCUGCUGACUUUUCCAGGAAGAAGCAACCAUAUUUUUCCUCAUUUUCAUAAACAAAUCAUACACUAAUGGCAAGGGGAAAAAGCAACAUAUAUAUAGGGUUAGGUUAGGCUUUAGUUAGACCAAUAAGGGUUAAAUGAGCCAAAAUUCAAAGUCAUCCAAGAGGUAAUAUCUAUGGGCUGUGAGUAGCUUUAAUUUCUUAAGCUACUUCCUACGGUCCAUAUGGUUUUUAGGUCGCGCUUUUAGACUUAAUUGUUGGUAACAAUUUCACUCAUCGGCCAAUACCUAUGAAAUUCAAUCUGACAUUUACAUCAUAGUCAAAGAUUUAUUAGGUAGCAAAACUCAACAAAUCUUCACCUUUAUACCCAAUCAACUUACAAGUAAUCAAAUUACAAAGUUAGUACUUACACAAUCAAAGUAACUAAUAAAAUUGGAAUCACAGGCUUUACCUCGUGUUUUGGACCCAAAACACAUACCAUACCAACUUUAUGUACUCGCCAGGGCUAUGGUCUUAAACAAAUACCCAAGUAGAAGUAUAUAAUAACAGUAAACAAUCAAGAGCAAAUAAAUAUACGAUGAAGAUAUAACAUAAGAUAAUACACAGAUCUUUUCAAAAUCAUAUUCGCACAGAACAAAAGAUUAACACCAAGUUAAUCAACAAACGAUCAACAUAUAUACAACAAAUGCAUAAAUGACCACAUGAAAAGAUCUUACCACACUUAUCCUAUCCCAUUUUUGUUCCCCUCUCAUUGCUCACCAUGUUUACUAAAUUGAUUAUUCAACUCAUGUCUAACAAGUAAAUCACAAUAGGUCAUAAAUUCGUGGGAUAAUCCUAUAUCGCCAUAUCAUUUUUCCAACCUACGUGGGGUGGAUAAAUGAGUAUCCACCUAACAUAAGUGAUAGAAGUGUAUCUUUUACACUCCACAUGAUCAUGAUUUUCUCAGAUAAAGAAUUCCAACAUUUAAUCACAUUUUCACUCGUGAUCAAAAUGUCACAUCUCACAUUCCUGGUACAAACCAUCAAUGCACCCCUAGUCAUCUAUACUUCACCUCACCAAUAGACACACAACACAAUUAUUGCUAAUACAUCCUAACCCACUAUGCAUGCAAACAAUUAUACCAAAUAAUCACAUUGCUCUCAAAUUCAUACAAUGGCACAUAUUAAACACAUAGAAAUGUCAUAUAACUAUGCAACAUAAUUAAGCAAUCACACACACAUGCAGAAAUGAUUACACACAUAUGCACAUGCAAUAACUAGGUUUACUCUCAAUAAACCUCACUACGAUUAUCACUCGACCUUAUAGCCAUAUUCACCUCACCUCACCUCUCAUCUUACCCUUUUGCUUAUCCCUUUUUUGGGACAAUCUCUCACAAAGUGUUCCGACUUACUAAAGCUGUAACAUUGGUUACCACUAGACUUAUCCGAACCUUUAACCUUUUUUUUACCACCCUCAUCACUCGAGUCACCACUUGAAUCACAACUGUCUUGAUUUCUUCCCAAAUUUAUUUGUUUAAACUUCAUUUUACUCUUCAUUAUAUAUAACUCACAACUCCUCUUAUCCUCCUUUUCAGUCUUAAUCUCUAUUUUCUUAUUGUUAAGAGAAUCUAUGGCAAUAUCGGGUGUAAAGAUGUCCCUUCCAUAUUUAAUUGCAUUCUUAACCUCUCUAUAUGAAUCAUGUAUUGAAUUAAGUAAAAUAAUGGCCUGAUACGUUUCAUACACCUCCUAUCACAGUUAAAAUUAUAUUGAACGAGCUUCUUAAAAACAUCUAAAAAUAUAUUGAACGAGCUUGGCAAGGAUUCAUUUUAAAAUUGAAAAAUCUUUUGAGCAGACACAAUUUAUUAGGAGUAGACUUAAGUAAAUAUAAAUCCUCCAACUUUUUUCAAAGUUUUUUAGUAGAAUCAAGUUUUUCAUUUUUUCUCAAAAUAGUGUCAGAUAGGUGUAAAAUAAUUGAUGUGUAAGUAAAUUUAUCCUAUUCUUCUUUUCGUGCUUCCAUCAAAUUUGCUGAAAAUUUGUCAUUUAUGACUUUUGAAACUUUUUGUUGAACUAAACUUUCCUUCAUUUUUUGUUGCCUAAUAGAAAAUUCCCCAUUCUUAUUGAAAAUUUCAACUUCGAAAUGUGAUGACAUUUUGAAAAAUAGAACAACUAAAGUGCACAAAUAUGUCACACAAAGUAAUCAUAAGGGCGCACUAUAUAUCAUUAUAGAUUCCCAGGGUUUCGUGAGACUUGAGAUCUCCGUAUCAAGGAAAUGUUCAAAUGGGUUAAUUCUAGGCAUUCUAACAGAAUAACCAAUGUAACACGAAGGUAUAUCAACAAAAAUUUAGUUUUUCACACAAUCCAGUCUCACACAGUGACUAAAUGGCAACUAGAGCACAAGGAUAAUUAUCAACUUACUAUCCAAUUCAACACUUCAAAUAUGGCAAGUAAUGCCUAAAUUUCUAGCACAAUCAAUGGUUAUCGACAUGGUAACCCCUAUCCUGAAAUAGAAAUUUAAAUUGGGAUAAGCCAAUAAAUCAGAAUGAACCAAUCUCAGUCCAUAAAUAGUGAGAGAUGCGAAUUUACACUUUUGGGCCACCACUACUUGCCAUAAAGUCUCCAUCAAUCGCAGAAAUCAAUCAACCAUGAUCGAAUCCCGAACACACGAAGGAUAAAUUUAUCCAGAUUCCACUGUAUAAACGGAAACAGAAAACUAAUAACAUCAAAAUGUUAGGAUUAAAUUACCUGAAGAGACCUCUAUCUGAAACCUUCGCAUGCGCCCUCAAGCGCCACCAACAGCCUCUGUGCAUGGGAUUCAUGCACUAGCCACUCUAGCGCGCCUUCACUUGCACGUCACACUAGUAGUCUCCAUUUCACCAAACUCAUUCUGGUUUGAUCAGAAAUCAUGAAAACAGCCUCAAUUUUUGUGUAAUUUUCUAGACAGUUUUCCAAUCUAUUUUCUGCUUCGUUUCAGCCAAUUUUCCGUCAAAUUUUCGAGCCAAAUCUAUUACUUGAAGCUUUGAUACCAAUUUUUGAGGAAGCUUUCUCCAAGAUCUUCGAAACAGUGAUUUUCGGGCUCAGUUUUACAUUACUUUUCACUACCAAUCAAUCCACACACUCUAACCCACAACCAAUUUAUGCACUCGGUUCCUCCUCAAUCUCACUCAUAAAUGACAAGAUAACGGUGAUGAUUUGUAGGCCACAAAGGCACGGGAAAAAUAACGGAAGAAAGCAAGAGAAGGGACCAAAAUACACAAGAUGAAGGCAUCGGUUUUCUCUCUCCAUGGGAGCCUAUUUUACAUGAAGAAGCAACCAUGUUUUCCCUCUUUUUCAUACACAAAUCAUAUACUAAUGGCUAGGGUAAAAAGUAACAUACAUAUAGGGUUAUGUUAGGCUUUAGUUGUGCCAAUAAAGGGUUAAAUAGGUCAAGAUUCAAAGCUAUUCAAUAGAUAAUAUAUAUAGGUCGUGAGUAGCAUUAAUUUUUAAGCUACUUCCAAUUGUCCAUGUUGUUUUCGGAUUGAGCCUUUGGACUUGAUUGUUGAUAAUAAUUCACUCAUUGACCAAUGCCUAUGAAAUUGAAUCCGAUGUUUACAUCGUAGCCCUAAAUUCAUUGAGUAUCAAAAUCCAACACUCUAAAUUGUAGAAUAUGCUCUUGAGUGUAAAAAGACAAAAGUGCUAUAACUAUAUACGAUAUAUAACAUUACUAUUGCAUUCUUUUUGUUUUUAGUUUUCAACUUGAGUACAAAAAAUGAUAUUGCAAACGUGAUGGUAUACUACGCUUGGAUGAUGAGAUUCGAGUAAACAAUCAAGGCUGAGCUUGUAAAACGAAGUACUUACCCUUUGAACAAGGAGUGAGGCACUUUCCAUGUUCUCUGUAUCAAGUCAUAUGGCAAGGGAGCAUAUUGAAUAAUAUGAUAUACAAAGUUAUGUUUAGAUUACAAUAAUCUUAUCUACAUAAGAAGCAACUUAAAAACUUACAAACUGUUUUCUCCACUAAAGCUUCUGAACAAGUUUCUGAUGCAGAAAGAAAGGGAAAAAACAAAUUGAAGCUAUGAAAAAUAUACAGAAAGAAAGCAUACAAAGAAAACGAAGAAAAAUUGGGGCUUACAUAUUGUUCCUGCAAAUUGAUGGAUCAGAAGUCUCAUUGAAGUUAUUGUAAGAAAGAUCUACGUGGCUGCAAAUGCAUUUAAUAUCUCUUUAAGAACUUAUUUCAAUCCUCUAAAAUCAAUGAAAGAAAAGAACCCAUAAAUUACAUAGUGAUAGAUGUCCAACAGUAUGUAGUAACUAAAGUAAAAAUGAGAUUCUUUUCGAACUUAUGAGACUAGUCCUAUAUCUUAAGGUGAGCUUCAACAACAAGAUGGCAAUUGUAUAUCUGGCUAUAAAGAUGUCAAUAGAGGUUCUGAGAGAAACGGAGAAAUUUCAUUUCUGUAUAAAUUUGAGGACAUCGUCAUUUAUGAUGGACAAUGCUACUAUUAAAUCACAUAGAUAAUUUUAUAGACGUUAAAUAAUAAGAAAUAUAGAAGUGAACUUACAGUUCUUCACUUAUGCUUUGGAUCCACUUUAGAAUUUGCCCACUAAGAAAGUUACUAGUCAGAAACCUAAUCACAAACAUAAAAUCCAAAUGAAAUCAAAAUUAUACAUUUAGAUUACAGAACAAAACAUCAUGAAAGAACAGAAGUAUAGCCUAGUAGAGUAUAUGAAUGACGCUUGAACACUAAGGAUUGAAUAUGAACUGGACAUCCUUAAGUUUGGUUACAGUAGUCCUUAUUACUUGUUUUGGAAAUAAAAAGUAGGAUUUAGGAUAUGAACACGAACAAAGUCUUCCAUUAUCACGCUGCAAUAUAUGACAGGUGAAUGACAGACCAAAGCUUUUGUACAAAUCAAUUGAAUAAUAUCAUACUAAUUCACUUACAAGUUCGUUAGAAUUGGUAGGCGAUCAAAAUCUGGAACCUCUCCUUUUAAGUUGUUAAAGCUCAGAUCUCUGUGAAUACACCACAUGAACAUCUUACGACCAAACGCAUAUUUUCUCAGCUUAACAAUAUAGCAGUGCAUAGUUAUCAUAACAUAGAAAAGUAUACCUAAAUUUUGUAUGAUAUCCAAAAAGAAAGAAAAAAGAUGGGCACAAAAGCAAUGGAAGCAUAGGAAAACAAACAAAAAUUACAGGAUUUUGUAAUGUAGGUCUUGGGAAAAACUAAUGUGGCAAGCUCUUGGAUGGUACAAAACUUCACAAUCUGAAAAUGCACAUGGAACGUCCUCUAUAUUUUUCCAUAGCUAGGUCUCCACCACAAGUACAUAUUUUAUUACAAGCAGUAGGUUUUUGUGGCAUGGAGUACAACAAAUUCGUGUUUUUGGUCACUAUCUUCAACAAGUAUCAAUAUAAGAGUCAAAUAUACUCAAUGAUAAUCAAUAAUACUCGAUGUCCUUCAAUGUGAGAUGUUCUCUUAUUAUAUAAAAUUAAAUUCACAAAUAAAUAUGGUAGUUAUCAAUUAUAAUUAUUCAUUAAUGGUAACUUAUUAAAUAUGGUAGUUUUCCUUAUAUUUCACUGACAUCCCCUCUAAAAUCUCAAAUUGAUGCUUAUUAAUUUGCAAUCAUAAGUUGACGGUGGCGACAUUGCUCGUGCCCACGAAAAAGAUAUCCAAAUCAAAGUAAUCAUCUACGAAAAAUUGUUACAACGAGAGAGCAAGAACAAUAAAUAGUACAGAAACAUCCAAAAACUACCUCAAGAAUAUUCCAAAACCACUCUAGAGAGUUCACAGGCCAAGAAGAAUUUCAAAAAGAAAUUCAUGAAGUGUACCGAUCACAUAAUGAGAUCGGGAGAACUCAGUCAAAUACAUAAUUAGUAUUCCAUCAAAAUCUCUAAUGGACAAUAUAUCGGCCAAAAAAUUAGUAAUAUAUCGUUGUCGGGACGCUAUAAUUGGAAGAAAUAUCAGAAAACAGCCUACACAAAAAAAAACCCCAAAGAUGAUCUGAAAACCCAAAACUCUUGCUCGUCACUCGAGCAACCGAAGCUCCUCCCAUGUCUCUCUCAUCCCAAUGACCCAUCAAUAUGAUUGCCAAGUUCCUUAUUGGAAGCAAAUCAAGCCACAUCCAUGUCGCCCACAAAGAGAAACCGCAAUUUAUAGCCCAACUGCUCACAACCCGUAAUUACCUUAGCCCAUUUUUAAUCAAGUUAUACCCUCACGUCCAAAAGUCGAGCCUACUUUCAACAAAUCCCUAACCUAUUCAAAAAGCCUAGAAUAAAAUACUCCUUAUUCAAAAUUGUUGAGGCCCAUAAUCAUCCAUUAAAGUCUUCAAAACCUAACCCAUUCAUCAAAUAAUAACGACGUCCAAACGAACAAAGCAACAGGCCCACCUACAAAUCCAUGACUCAGUGUCUUUUUUUAUCCCAUUCACUUAAGAAUCUUCAGAUCACUGCUAAAAAUCCAUGAAUUUUACUCUCAAUAGUAACACUUCCUCUCUUUAAUCUGACAGUCUUGGAUUGAACUGAUACACAUUUUUUGCGCAAAUCUACAUAGUCACAUUCACAGAAGUGUGAUUGUGUGUGAAAUGGCGUGUGAAGGAUUGUAGAAAAGUAAUGGGGUCUAGGAUAAAAAUCAAAUUCCAAUAAGAAUUCUCUCUGCUUCUGAUGAUAAAGAUAUGUUGGCUGGUGCUCCACCUCAGAAUUCCCAAUCAUUGAUGAGCCUCUGCACCUCAGAAUUGCUAGCAUUCAACGAGAAAUAUGGUGCUCCAUGGUCGAAUAAUAGCUCUCUCUCAUCUUCAGCAAUUUCUCUGCAUUGAGAGAUCCGACCCUUGGGUCGUCUAGUGGACUACUGGACUCAAAAAUGGUGACUAAAAUUUCCAUUUCUUCUAGAAUCAACUGUUCCUGAAAUCCCAUUGCCUAUGACAAAUUGGAGGUGACGCUUUACAUGUCAGCAACGGCUGCGAGUAAGCUUGGUUCUGUUCAGUUCAUAGCAAUUUACAAGAUCGAACACAAGGAAUAUGGAUAGGGUCCAUAGCAGCGGGGGCAAACUUUUCCUAAUCUUUCUCUUCCAAUUAACUUUUCCCCCUAUAUUGUUGGAAUUAAUUGAAUUUGAUUUGGGUUUAAAAUAUUAAAUGUAAUAUUUAAUGAUAUGGGCCAUUGCAAUUAAUUUGGGUGAAUUGGAAAAGUCUCCAAUAUAGGCCCAUAUGUUGAUAAGCCCAUUUUAAGUGUUUUUUAUAUGGAAAGGAGUCCCACAUCGAAAGUUUACAAGAAAACAGUCUUGUUUAUAUAGUGGGUUGUGUGAAUAAUAUAUAAUUUAACAUGUUACCUACCACUUGGCUAACUUUAGCUAGCCAAAGGCUAGCAAACUAGCCAAAGGCUAGUCACCACUAGAGUGGUGCUUCGCACCACUAGCACUGCUCCCCGGACCCGGUCCCGGCACGCGCACGUGCACGUCGCAAAGUACGCAUUGGGCACUUUAGAGGUGCACUUGGUACUUGGCACGUACGCAUCGUCGGAGGAGCUGGGGAGCCUUAUAGUUUUCAAAAAUGGACUCGUGGUUCGAUGAGGUGGCAGCACAAGGCUCGGUGAGUUGGCAUUCUAGGUGGCGCACUAGUGGUCGGCAUUCUAGGUAGCGCACGAGUGGUAGGUCGCGUCCCUUCAUCCUGCAUGGCGGUUAGAUGUACGUGUGGUAUCCGCAUGGCUGUGACUGUUCAGAAAUUGGUGAAUAGGCAUGAUGAAUGGACACUUCACUUCAUGGUUCAAUCUGGGCCGUCAGAUCAUAAAAAUAGUGCGAUCCAAUGGCUAAGACGAAUCAAACCAAGUGGUGCACCAGUUCCUGAAAUGUCACACACCUGUUCCAUGAGACACUUCAAUCUCUAUAAAUAGGGACCCCCAGAUUCGUUUUUUGAUACACCAAAUCAAUUACGAAUUCAAUUGAUUUCUAAAUUCUUCUCUCUCCAUAUUCUUCUCCAAAAAAAAAUCUCUUAUACUUCCGUGGUUAUUCCGUUCAAGUAUGAUCAUUCAUUGGUUCGACCGACAAGGUUGGUAUUGUGUAGUAUCGACUUUGGAAGGAGCGUUGUAUCUUGGGAGACAGACGUUCAUAAUCCCGUUUGCACUUUAUUGUGAGGCGAAAUCUGUCUUAAGGAGAUUUGCUCACUUUAUUAGCAUACCUCGCUUCAUUUACUGUUUAUUUUUCUACUUAUUUUAUUUCUUCUUUUGAUUGCGUUCGUCGAAUUUUCGACAACAAUCUUAAGACAGACUUUUUAUUUUCUCAUUUCUUCUACAUUUCUAUUAUUGAUUAUUUUCUGUAAGUGUGGUUUUACAGAAAAUGGCUAGUACAUCAAAUAAUAAUACUAGCGCUGUGAUUGGUACUGUUGAGAGCAAUACUAAUGCGGUGAUUGCGCCAAAUUCAGGUUCCAAUCAAUUUGUCAUGCCGCCGGCUUCACAAUAUGAGAAACCGAAAAAGUUCAAUGGCACGGAUUUCAAACGUUGGCAACAGAAGAUGCUAUUCUAUUUGACAACAUUGAACUUAGUAAAAUUUCUGCGUGAAGAAUGUCCUGCACAAACAUCGGAGAAUGCUACUGCUAAAAAUACUCAGUUAGCUAUUGAAGCAUGGAAACAUGCAGAUUUCUUAUGCCGUAAUUACAUUCUCAAUGGAUUAGAUAACACUUUAUAUAGUGCGUAUUGUAAUUACAAGACGACUAAAGAACUGUGGGAGUCUCUUAACAAAAAAUACAAAACUGAAGAUGCCGGAAUGAAGAAAUUCAUUGUCGGCAAAUUUCUAGAUUUCAAGAUGACUGAUUCAAAGACAGUUAUGAGUCAGGUUCCAGAGAUACAAGUUCUACUUCACGAUAUUGAAGCUGAAGGUAUGACUUUAAGUGAAUCUUUCCAAAUAGCUGCGAUGAUCGAGAAACUACCUCCACUAUGGAAAGAUUUCAAAAACUAUCUCAAGCAUAAACGCAAAAAGAUGACGAUGGAGGAUCUAAUUGUUCGACUUCGCAUUGAAGAAGACAAUCGGGCUACAGAAAAGAAGAAUAAUGUCCGCAACAUGGAAGCAAAGACUAACAUGGUAGAAGACUCGGGGUCUAAGAACAAGAAAAGGAAGUGUUCUGGCUCAUCUAUGGACAAAGAAAAAGUCAACAAUACAAAACGAUUCAAAGGCAACUGUUAUAUUUGCGGGAAGCCGAGAUAUCAAGCUAAAGACUGUCGAAGCAAAAAGAAGGAUACGCAGAAAAGGAAACCGCCCCAAGCCAAUAUAACCGAAGUGGAUAAAAUUUCUACGGAUGUUGNNNNNNNNNNNNNNNNNNNNNNNNNNNNNNNNNNNNNNNNNNNNNNNNNNNNNNNNNNNNNNNNNNNNNNNNNNNNNNNNNNNNNNNNNNNNNNNNNNNNNNNNNNNNNNNNNNNNNNNNNNNNNNNNNNNNNNNNNNNNNNNNNNNNNNNNNNNNNNNNNNNNNNUAGAUUUGUACUUACUAAGGGGGGCAUGUAUGUUGGGAAGGGUUAUUUACUUGAUGGUCUAUUUAAGGCCAAUGCUGUUGUAGUGGACAAAAAAUCCACAUAUCUGUAUCCACAAGUUAUCAAUAAAACUAAUGCUUCUGUUUACUUGCUUGAAUCUUCAAAUUUAUGGUAUAGCAGAUUAGGACAUGUAAAUCGUGCUUCCUUAAGAAAACUUGUAGGUUUAGGUCUUAUACCUAAACUUGACUCCGAAAAUAAACAUAAAUGUGAAAUUUGUGUUGAAGCAAAAUUUGCUAAAAAAACCUUUUAACACAAUUGAAAGGAGUAGUGAACCGUUGUGUUUAAUACAUAGCGAUAUUUGUGAUCUAAAAUUUGUUCAGACUCGAAGUGGUAAAAAAUACUUUAUCACAUUUAUAGAUGAUCACAGUAGAUAUUGCCAAGUUUAUUUAUUAAGUAGCAAAGACGAAGCAUUGAAUGCAUUUGUUACUUACAAAAAAGAAGUUGAAAAUCAACUUGGAAAAACAAUUAAGGUAUUAAGAUCCGAUAGAGGUGGUGAAUAUGAUUCGUCCAUGUUUGAUGAAUUAUGUGCUCAGUUUGGUAUUAUUCACCAAACAAUAGCCCCGUAUACUCCGCAGCAAAAUGGGAUUGCUGAGAGGAAAAAUAGAACUCUAAAAGAAAUGGUUAAUGCUAUGCUUAUAAGUUUUGGAUUACCACAAAACUUGUGGGGGGAAGCAGUGCUAACUGCUAACUUUAUUCUGAAUAGAGUUUCCCAUAAGAAAAUGGUUCAAUACCUUAUGAGUUAUGGAAAGGUAGAAUGCCUUCCUAUAAAUACUUAAAAGUGUGGGGGUGCCUAGCUAAAGUGGCUAUUCCACCUCCCAAAAGGAUUAAGUUAGGUCCUAAAACUAUUGAUUGCAUUUUUAUCGGAUAUGCAAUAAAUAGUAGUGCGUACAGAUUUCUUGUGCAUAAAUCUAAUAUAAGUGACAUUCAUGUCAAUACAAUUUUUGAAUCUCGAGAUGCUGAAUUCUUUGAAGAUGUGUUCCCUAAUAAAAGAGAUAUUCGUGAGAAUACUCUAAAGAGAACACGAGAUAAUGCUAUUGAAAACAAUAUAGAACCUGAAUCAAGAAGGAGUAAAAGAGCAAAGGUCGCUAAAUCUUUUGGUCCAGACUUUAUUUCUUUCGUAAUUGAGAAAGAGCCCCAAACAUUUAAAGAAGCUGUGACUAGUCCAGAAUCCGUAUUCUGGAAGGAAGCUAUAAAUAGUGAAAUUGAAUCUAUUAUGAAUAAUAAUACUUGGCAAUUGGUUGAUCUUCCUAAGGGAACUAAACCAAUAGGAUGCAAAUGGAUCUUUAAAACAAAGUUAAGAUCUGAUGGUUCAAUAGACAAAUACAAGGCUCGACUGGUUGCAAAAGGAUAUCGUCAGAAAGAAAGAAUUGAUUUCUUUGACACAUAUUCUCCAGUAACAAGAAUUACUUCUAUUCGGGUUUUAAUUGCUACUGCAGCCUUGUACAACUUACAAAUACAUCAAAUGGAUGUUAAGACUGCAUUCCUGAAUGGUGAUUUAAACGAAGAAGUAUAUAUGGAACAGCCAGAAGGUUUCAUAGUGAAAGGACAAGAAAACAAAGUUUGCAAACUAGUUAAGUCCUUAUACGGUUUGAAGCAAGCUCCUAAACAAUGGCACGAAAAGUUUGACAGCGUCAUGAUUAGGAAUGGAUUCGUCAUAAAUGGAUGUGACAAAUGCGUAUAUUCGAAAAAAUUCGAAAAGGCUUACGUACUCGUCUGCUUGUAUGUUGAUGACAUGCUUAUAUUAGGGACUAAUAUUGAAGUCAUCAAUAGAACAAAGAAUAUACUUACCAAUAACUUUGACAUGAAAGAUAUGGGUGAAGCAGACGUGAUUCUAGGAAUAAAGAUAUCUAGAACAUCAAAUGGAAUAGUCUUAUCUCAAACCCAUUAUGUUGAUAAAAUAAUUGAGAGGUUUAAGACUCAUAAUAUUAAAGAGACGAGUAACCCAUUUCUUCCACAUAUAGUUCUUCACAAGAAUAGUGGAAAUGGGAAACAGCAGUUAGAAUAUUCCCAAAUUAUUGGUAGUUUAAUGUACCUGAUGAAUUGUACAAGACCUGAUAUAGCUUACUCGAUAAGUAAGCUGAGUCGUUACACAAAUAAUCCAAGUAAUCAACAUUGGGAUGCAUUACUUAGAGUUUUGGGAUACUUGAAACGGACCAGAGAGUAUUCAUUACAUUAUGGAAAAUAUCCUCCAGUAAUUGAAGGAUAUAGUGAUGCCAAUUGGAUAUCAGAUACAGACGAGUCAAAAUCUACCAGUGGCUAUGUAUUUACUCUCGGUGGUGGCGCUAUAUCAUGGAAAUUUUCUAAGCAAACGUGUAUAGCUCGAUCUACUAUGGAAUCUGAGUUUAUUGCUUUAGACAAAGCAGGAGAAGAAGCAGAAUGGUUAAGACAUUUCAUAGAAGAUAUUCCUAUAUGGUUAAAGCCUGUACCGGCUAUCUGUAUUCAUUGUGAUAACCAGGCCACAAUAGCCAGGGCUGAAAAUUUUGUGUAUAACGGUAAGUCGAGACAUAUACGUCGCAGACAUAACACCGUUCGGUAGUUGCUCUCAAAUGGAACAAUAUCAAUUGAUUUUGUUAAGUCAAAAGAAAACCUAGCGGAUCCGUUCACUAAAGGAUUUUCUAGAGAGCGUAUAGACUGCGCAUCGAGGGAAAUGGGUUUAAAGCCUAAAACCCAAUGAGUCAUCUUAGUGGAAACCUAACCUGGCAACUGGAGAUCCCAUGGACUAGGUUCAAUAGGAAAACUAAUUAUGAAUGACUCGAUAAGAAGCACUUAGGAGUUUAACUCCUUCCCAUUUCUAUGAUGCAAAAAGUGCUAUGAAGUGUAUUAAGGAUAAGCUUUGCUUUUAAUGAUGACUAUAAAUGGUACAAAUAAUUACAGUAGGAUACUCUUUAUAGUGCAUCACCUAUGUUAGUGCGAACUUGGCCGGUUCUAUGAGAAUUUACUUAGGCGAAUUCUCUAAAGCACUCGCAGAACCCAAGUAGUUCAGGGCCGAAAUAAUGAACACAAUAGAGAACCAAGUUUGAUAUGAGAGAUAAUGUGUUUGGUCUGUUGUCUGAGCUUGCAAUAACGGCUGACAGUUCAAAACGUUACGUUCACUGAUUAGCCAAGUGAGUUCGAUAGAUUCUUACUAAAGAAGGUUCAAAGCGAAAGCUACCUAUCUUGAUGCGUUAUCUUUCAGAUAGUACUCUUCUUUCGUCUUCCUUGAUCUGAGUCGACUUCUUCCAUUCAUGUGGGGGAUUGUUGGAAUUAAUUGAAUUUGAUUUGGGUUUGAUUUGGGUUUAAAAUAUUAAAUGUAAUAUUUAAUGAUAUGGGCCAUUGCAAUUAAUUUGGGUGAAUUGGAAAAGUCUCCAAUAUAGGCCCAUAUGUUGAUAAGCCCAUUUUAAGUGUUUUUUAUAUGGAAAGGAGUCCCACAUCGAAAGUUUACAAGAAAAUAGUCUUGUUUAUAUAGUGGGUUGUGUGAAUAAUAUAUAAUUUAACAUGUUACCUACCACUUGGCUAACUUUAGCUAGCCAAAGGCUAGCAAACUAGCCAAAGGCUAGUCACCACUGGAGUGGUGCUUCGCACCACUAGCACCGCUCCCCGGACCCGGUCCCGGCACGUAUACGCGCACGUCACAAAGUACGCAUUGGGCGCUUUAGAGGCGCACUUGGCACGUACGCAUCGUCGCGAGGAGCUGGGGAGCCUUAUAGUUUUCGGAAAUGGACUCGUGGUUCGAUGAGGUGGCAACACAAGGCUCGGUGAGUUGGCAUUCUAGUGGCGCACGAGUGGUCAGCAUUCUAGGUGGCGCACGAGUGGUAGGUCGCGUCCCUUCAUCCUGCAUGGCGGUUAGAUGUACGCGUGGCAUCCGCAUGGCUGUGACUAUUCAGAAAUUGGUGAAUAGGCAUGAUGAAUGGACACUUCACUUCAUGGUUCAAUUUGGGCCGUCAGAACAUAAAAAUAGUGCGAUCCAAUGGCUAAGACGAAUCAAACCAAGUGGUGCACCAGUUCCUGAAAUGUCACACACCUGUUCCAUGAGACACUUCAAUCUCUAUAAAUAGGGACCCCCAGAUUCGUUUUUUGAUACACCAAAUCAAUUACGAAUUCAAUUGAUUUCUAAAUUCUUCUCUCUCCAUAUUCGUCUCCAAAAAAAAAAAAUCUCUUAUACUUUCGUGGUUAUUCCGUUCAAGUACGAUCAUUCAUUGGUUCGACCGACAAGGUUGGUAUUGUGCAGUAUCGACUUUGGAAGGAGCGUUGUAUCUUGGGAGACAGACGUCCAUAAUCCCGUUUGCACUUUAUUGGGAGGCGAAAUCUGUCUUAAGGAGAUUUGCUUACUUUAUUAGCAUACCUCGCUUCAUUUACUGUUUAUUUUUCUGCUUAUUUUAUUUUUUCUUUUGAUUGCGUUAGUCGAAUUUUCGACAACAUAUAUUGCUUGAAACUCUUCGCAGAUUAAUUGCUCCACUGCUUUGGUGAAGUACUUAACUUAGUUUGGUGGCAGGCACACAAUUCAUCUUUUAUCUCACCGUGAAUGCCUAAAUAUCAAUAGGAGCGACAUAACCUAUUUCUUCUGUGCUAAACAAUUGAACUAAUUAUUUCUUAGGGUUAAGUGCUCUCUCCCAGUCUUCAGGUCGCUAUUACUUUGGCUGCUCUACCUCCGCCCACUGUUGAGACGGUUGUCGAUGGUGUAAUUAGGGAGAAAGAAUAGAAAAAUCACUUGAGGAUGAAUUGAGUUCUAAUCUAUAUGAUAUUCGAAUAUACUCAGUCAUAAUCAGUAAGGCUUAAUGCCCCUCAAUAUAAGAGGUUCUCUCGUUAUAUUGAAAUAAAAAAAAAAACUAAAUAUUCUAGCUAUCAAUUACAAUUAAUCAUUAAUGGUAACUUAUGAAAUACGGUAGCUUCCUUAUAUAUGAGCUUUCCUUAUAUUCCACUGACAGAAAUUUCCGAUGCCUCCCAAAUAAAUGGUUAUUUCUAGAAUGAAAGAAGAUGAAAUAAGAACUGUAGUUGUGUUAAAAGUUUACACAAUUCUUUAACUUUAAAUCUCAUAAAAAAUUAGCUCUUCUAAAUGUGAAAAGAAAACAACUAAAAUGCUAGAGGGAGUCCAGGACUACGAGCUGCUGGGUAUAUUCUUUUUAAGUAACUCAUAGAGUUGGCAUUUAGUCACGAGAAUAUUGAAACAAUUAUGAUGUGGAGUGUAAUUGUAAAAAGAAGAAAAUAGGUACUACUACUAGAAUCAGUACUUACAUAGCCUUCAUUGAUCCAAUGUCUGCAAGGUAAUUAGGAAUGCUUCCAGUUAUGUUACAGCUACUUAACGUCCUGCUAGCACGCAACAUAUGUAUAAAAUAAUAUGGUUCUAAAGGAAAUUAUCACAAUCUUCUAAGUUCUUUAUUGAUUUAGUGUGACAUUUACUCACAAAUACGUAAGGUUUCUCAUGUCUUUUAGCAGUGGGAACUCUGAAGCACCUCCAUUCAAGUUACUAAUAAUUCUGUAGAGAUAUCACAUUACAUCAGUUGUCAUCUUUACCAUCAAUGUAUAGUAAAUGAACAAAAUAUUGUUAUUGAAGUAUUGACAAACUGAAAUCUGACUGAAUAGGUUUCAACUCACAGUUCCUCUAAAUUUUUUAAGAUGGAAAUACUAGGAGGUAUGGGUCCUUCAAAACCACUGCCUUUUAUCACUCUGUUGAUAAUAAAUUAAUAAUGUCACGUAAACAAAAGUCGCAACUGUAAAUAUUGCAUUUUGGAAAAUGCUCAUUCAGGAAAGGACUUACAAGCUCUUAAGGUUUGUCCAGCUCCGAAAAUUAGGUAAUUUUCCAGUGAAGUUGUUACUGAUUAGCCAACUGCAUUGGCCCCAAAAGACAUGUUAUCAUUAAAAUAGCAGAAAACUGUUUGCACCUUUCCAGAUUAAAAAACUUUAUGCUUUGAGAAAUGUGUGGUAAAAUACUUACAGGUCUGUCAACAUUUUUAGAUUAUUUAAUUCAAUCGGCAACUCACCAGUGAGAUUGUUAUCAUAUAGAUAGCUGCAGUGACCAAAAAAGACAAGUUACACGUACAUAAAUGGGUAAAUUACAGCCACUAUUUCUAACCUUUUGUUGGAGUAAUUUUCAAAAGAAUGUCGUUUAGACAUUGGUAAAUUAAAUCAAGGAAAUACAAUUCAAAAAGCACUUGAUCAAGAUGUGACAAGAACGAGAGACGUAGGAACGGACGAAAACUUGAGCCAGUUUGCAAAGCAAACUAGUGCAGGUGGGCAACAUGGAAGUGCUCUUGUGCUUCCUGGUUCGCGCAGGUGCGCUACCAUGUUGUCCACCUGCACUAGUUUGCUUGGUUGGCGCAGAUACGCUGCUUGUGCUGGGCAGCCUUGAGAUUAAGCCAGCAGCUGUAAGAACUUACAUUUUUAGAGAACGUAAAUAGCAAAAAUGAAUAGGAAAGUUUCUGUGUAUUGAAGAUAAAAGUCUCGCUAAUUGUACGUUAUGUGGUCCUUAAAUAUGAAUGGAAAAAUGCAGCACUAAUUAUAGUUGUUUACAGCUGCACACUUUUUGAAAAUUUCAACUAAACUAUCUAAUUCUUCAGCUCACUUCCAUGUCAGCUUCUUCUGGUAAUCUCAACAGCCCCCUUCAAGGUGGAGUGUAUAUGUUGCACAUAUUCAUCUUGCACAGUAGAGAAUGAAACAGAGAUACUCCCACUGGUUUUGUCAUAAUAUCUGCUAGUUGAUUACCUAAAGAGACAUGCAUGGUGUGUAAAAUUCCAGCCUUAAUCUUGUCCCUUACUAAGUGACAAUCUAGUUCGAUAUGUUUUGUUAUCUCGUGAAAUAUAGGGUUGACAGCGAUGUGUAAUGCAGCUUGAUUAUCACAAUAUAACAAUGCAAGCUUCUUAUGUUUGAUUCCCAAGUCAGCUAGUAGGUAUAAAAGCCAUUGAACUUUGCAUGUAGCAAAUGCCAUAGCACGGUAUUUAGCUUCUACUGAAGAUCUGAAAACUAUACUUUGCUUAUUAGACUUCCAGGAUAUUAAAGCAUUUCCUAAAAAGGAACAAUAUCUAGUUAUAGACCUCCUUAAAUCAGGGCAACUUGCCCAAUCUGAAUAUGAAAAGAUUUUCAACCGUAAGUCAUUUUCUUUAGGGAAGAAAAUCCUCUGUCCUGGCAUGCUCUUGAUAUAUCUCAAUACCCUAUAAGUUGCAUUCAAAUGAGGUUUCCUUGGUUGGUUUAUAAACUGACUUAACACUUGAACCACAUAACUCAAAUCAGGCCUAGUAAUGGUUAAGUAUAAUAACCGUCCCACCAGCCUCCUGUAGAUUGAUGCAUCAUUCAAUAAUUCUUCACUUUCUUUGUCCAGUUUAAUGUUCAACUCCAUUGGUGUGUUUGUUGGUUUAGCACCACUGAAGCCAACAUCUUCUAAAAUGUCUAUGGCAAAUAUUUUUUUACACAAAGAAAUUCCCAUCUUAGACCUAGCCACCUCCAGUCCUAGGAAAUAUUUCAAUGCCCCUAGAUCCUUUAUCUUGAAUUUCAUAUCAAGAGAAGCCUUCAAAUCAUUCAUGCCUUGCAAAUCAUUUCCUGUCAAGACAAUGUCAUCCACAUAUACUAGAAGAGCAACAAAAGAGCCAUUUCUAUUUCUGGUAAAGAGUGAAAAAUCUGAGAACUUAGUGAACCAUUGCCUUGAGGCUAGUUUUAAGCCGUAUAAAGACUUGUUCAGCCAGCAUACCAUAUUGUGCCCUUUGCCGAAUUUUCAUGUAUAUUUUCUCAUUCAAAUCACCGUGUAAAAAAGCAUUGUUGACAUCCAAUUGUAAGAGGUCCCAAUCUAUAGCAGCAGCUAUAGCUACCUUUAAGGAAAUCAUCGCUAAUUUGGAGACUUUGGAAGUCAAAUAUAAUGAAGAAGAUUUGUGAUUGAUUUUAUUGUGUUCAUUGUCCACUUCAUACAUGUCUUUUAGAGACACAAUUUUAUAUAAUUGUGAUAUUCUCACCAACGAAGAAAUCUAUGAUGUUCUAUAUUCAAAGGAGAAGAUGAAGUCUCUUGUUGCAUAUGAGAGUCUUUGAGAUGACUUCAUUGUUGAUGGUGGUCAUUCAAAGGAUAAGUCAAAAAUCUAACUUCAAAUUUUAUAAUUAUUACAAAAAAGGGGGGCACUAGAUAAAUGAUUGUUAUAAGUUGUAGAAUAAAUCAAAAUUGACUGCAAAUAAACAAUCAGAAAUUUUAGGAAAAACAAGUAUUGCAAAAAAAAUCCUAACAAUGAUGGAGAGCUUUUACUUAUGUCUAACUACAACUCCAAAUUUAACGAGGCUUGGAUUUUUUAUGCUGCUUGCACUUUUUAUAUGACUCCUAAUCGAGAUUUGUUUUCAACAUAUGAAGAAGUUUUAAAAGGUAUUGUAAUGAUGGGUAAUAAUACACAUUGUCGAAUUAAAAUAAAGAUGUUUGAUGGGAAGGUUAGAACACUUAAUGCAGUGAGGUGUGUUCUAGAUUUGAAUAAAAAUCUUAUCUCCUUAAGUACUCUUGAUUCAAAAGAGUACAGUUAUACUUUUGAAGGUGGAGUCCUGAAAGUUAGUAAAUCAGCAUGUGUUUUGUUAAAGGGAUAUAGAAAAUUCCAUUUAAAUAUCUUGCAGUGUUAUAUAGAAUUUUUGAGCAAUCAGCAUAUUUUAAGAACUCAGGUGGAUUUGGAGUUGGAUUCUAUAUUGUUGGAGCCUAAUUUUAGGCUUUUUUUUUUUUUUUAAGAAUACAUCUCAGUUGAAUUUAGAAGUUAUAGGUAAAUCCGCCUUACCACCAUCAUCGAUGGUGUCAUUGUAUUUAGUUGCUUGUAAUAAACCUAUCUUUGGCCAUAAUAUUUCACAUAGAUACAAUUCUAUUGAUUUAGUUGAUGGUUUGAAUGUGAUUAAAGGUGUUGAUUCUAGCCAAGAUCCUUCUUUUAAUGUAUUCAGUUGUAAUUCUAUUAUAGGGGCUUGUUUCAACCUUGUUUGGUGGUCAUUAGUUUACUUUCUCCUUUAAUUGAGGUAGUAGAGGUGGAGAAUGUUUCGGUUGAAUUUUUUUAUGGAGAAGUUCGUUUGUGUCCUUCAGUGAAUAUUUGAAGUUUUUUCCUUGUAGUGGAAUUUGUCUUCAAGUGGAGAAUUUUUUUCUUUUGAAGUUUUAUUCAUUGUAGUGGAAUUCGUGUCAAGAUAGAGAUUGUUAGAAUUUGGCUGUGACCCGAAUUCUUUGUUGAAGAUAAUUGAGAGUUCUAAUUAAAGUGCACAUUAGGAAAAAUUCUUUUUGGACUGUUUUGUGGAAUUCUAUUCAAGUUUACUUGGCAAAUUCUAGUUAAAGUUCUACUUGAAAGCCCAUUAUGAAUUGAAAUUUGUGUUAAACUUGAAUAGAAUAUUGUGAUGAAGAAAAUCAAGUUUUUGAAGUAAAGGACCUGAGAGUGGGAUCCACAGCACCACGACGCUACCUACUUUGUUUCACCUGGUGUGAUUUUUCUUUCUCUACUUCAGCCACAACUCUACUAUUAGGAUUUGAACGUGCCCCUAUUUAUUCCUUAUAUAUAGUUAGCUUUUCAUUAUGAUUUAGAAGAAGUUAGAAACAUUGUAAACACAAAUCUUUGUAUUAUUUUUUCAUAUUAUAAUAAAAUUUCCAUUCUCUACAAAUUAUUUUGGUCUUGUGAUUAAUUACUUCAUAUUGUGGCUACAAUCUCCUAUUUUCCCCGAUAGUUUGGUAUUGGAUUAAUCCGGUAUCAUCUUCGUUUGAUAACAAUAAGUCUAUCUCCAUGAGUGUCGAUGAUGGUUUAUCUCCAAAGUGUCUUGACUAGCUACUUAAGAUAUUCUUGAAAAUUAAGGAUAUGGGACACGUGGCGUAUUUACAUGUUGAUUUAUAUGAACACACGAGGAUAUAAAACUUGUAUAUGAAGUUUUUCGCUUAGCCAUAUAGGGUUGUUGGUUCAAAGCUUGUCUACCAUAUCGCUUUGGUUAAUAUUUGGUCUAUGCAUAGAGUUUGUGAUGUCUAUAUGAUAGAUUGUAAAACUAUCACUCAUUUUGGAAAUUGUAGAGAAUUGUUGAAAUAAUUUUCAAAAAAACGCCGUUUAGACAUUGGUAGUUUAAAUCAAGGAAAUACUUCAAGAAGCGUUGGAUCAAGAUAGGACAAGAACAAGAGAUGACAAAACGGACCAAAACUUGCACUAGUUUGCAACAUAAAUUAGCACAGGUACGCCCAAGGCUAGUGCACCUGCGCUAGUUGAGUAAUUGAAGCGUAGGUACUCUGCCUUGUUGAUGCAGGUGAACUGUUGGCUAGUGCACCCGUGCUGCCAAGCGACAACAAUGGUGUCUUUUCGUCCCUAACUGAUGUUUGAUGGUUAGAAUUCAAUUUUUUUCAGUUUGUAUUGAUGUAGUUCAAACUCUAAUAAUUAUCUUGAAGUGUUGUAACUCUUGGGAAGAUGUGUAAUAUAAUUUUAAUUCGUUUUUACUCUACCAUUUUCUACACUUUCUUGCAUCCAAAAUACCAACUUUAGUGCAUUCAUAUCUUCUUGAAUAUUGUUUGUAUUUAUCAUACUGCAGAUAUAAAGUGGAAAUUUUGAGUAGAUUUUCCACUGUUCGGGUUGUCUUCGUAAGAAAUCCCAAACAACACUAAAGGGCUUCAUUAUAUCCUAUAGACGUAUUUGCAUUCCGUGUGCAUCACAGAAUGGUGGAAACAAAUAACAUCUUAAGGAAAGAGAUAUUUGUUAUAUGCCUUGAAGCCGGUAUUGUUUUAAGUUCGAGUUUUUGCGAUAUUCCAACAUCUAGUUUCGUCUAAUCGUCAUCUCUAAACUGAUCUCACCAACACCUUUGAACCUCGUUUUCGUAAUCUACCUAUAUAAAUUCAACUAAUUCAAUCCGUCAAUUUGUUAAAAUCUGGAUGAUCGAAAACGUCUUACAGAUGUUUUAAAUUGACCAGCUUCCCUAGUUCUGCUGGAAUGGUCCCGUUAAACCUGUUACUCCCCAGGCCCCUGAAGGUUGAAUAGAUUUUUAAAAUUACAAUUAGAAUUCCGAGAAAAUAUAUCCACUAUCAAACAAAACAUUCAUGGUGUUUGCUUCUUUAUGUAGGAGUGACCAUAUGUAGAGAGAGAGAUCUAUGGGUCAAUUGAUAUAUGGACUUUGCUUGAUGUAUAUAAUUUUUGUACAUCAAGGUGUCCAUGCCUCUCACAUGGGGUGGGGUCCACACUUUUGUAGGCCCCACCCCAUGUGAGAGGCAUUGAUACCCUUAUGGACAAAAAUUAUGUAUACCCUUAUGGACAAAAAUUAUGUACAUCUAGAAUUUUCCUUGAUAUAUAGAUGGGGAGAUAGCUAGAUAAGAACUCACAAAUAUACGAGCGUGGUAAUGUUUCCCAGGAAUUUCGGUAUGGGUCCAGAUAGGCGGUUCACCAAAAGACACCUAUAUCACACAUACUUUUUCGAUAUAACAGAGGAUGUAGACAUUGCAUCAUUGCCAAAACUCAAUUAAAAGCUACAGGUAAAGCUCACAUGUACUCCAAUUUGGUUGCUCCCCAUUCCAUGGGUAUUGUACCAUUAAGGUAGUUGCCACUAAGAUCUCUGCAACCAACAGAUUCAGAGUGAGAUCAAUGUAGCCAAUAAAUUGUCUCAACCUUUUGAAGCAAAAAGCUGAGUAGAUUUAAUAAAUUGAAAAUAAACUUGGAACAUCUUGCUACAUUGUCUUGAGGUAGGGUAACUUUGCCAGUGAGGGCGGAAGGACACCUGCCAAAUCCUGUCCUUUUAGAAAUCUGUUUGUAAAGAAAAAGAGGCUAUCUUUAGCAUACUCUGAAUUGAAAAGUUUUCAUCUAAAUUUUACAAGUGCAACAAUUAAAGUUUCUUGACAGGUGAAAGAAACAAAGCCAAAAAAAAAAAAAAAAAAUCAUUCCGAAGGGAUUUUGAAAGAAACGAUACAAUAGAUUAAGCCCAUGUUUGGUGGGGAUUAUUUUUAGCAAAUUUUGAUAAAAGUUGAUGAAAUGUAUAGUUGAAAAGUUUUGGGUCUAUAAAAUAUGCAGCUAAAAUUAAUUGUUGAUUUUUAUUUAGAUUAAGAUCUAGAUUUUAGUCCUACCAAAUAGGGGCUAAAUGUAUAGUGUUUCAAGUAAAACAACUUGUUAGAGUGGCUUCUCGAGCACACUACAAACGUUAUACUAUUUCAUUUUCAACUCUAACUUAACAUCAAGAAUGUAACUUGAAACACUGACAUGGUGAAAUAAAGUUGCAUGCUUGACUGAAUGGAAAAAAAGAACUUCUUAUUUAUUUUUUAUUUUUUUAUGGUUAUAAUACUGACACAGCUUAUUCCUAUACAUAUUUUAAGUGCAAAUCCUGGUUAAAGAUGAUGAAGAUAGAGAGUCUAGCAAUAUAAAAUGAGUAAUGCUAUUUAGUACCAUUAGUGUUAUAAUACCAGUUUUGGUGGCACCAAUUGUCAUUAAAUGAGUCACUACCUUUUCAUUUAGCCCAUUGUAUUGUGACAUUUAAACUGGUCUUAGAUGACAUUAUUCAUAUGAAAUAAGUCAUAAAGGUCAAGUUUGAUUACUAGGCACCAUAAGUUCUAUUGAGGUUUAAGCAGGAAAAAAGUACAAUAAUUCCCACAUAAAAUACCAUUUUAAGAAUCAACAAACAGAUUUGCAACCAUUAUAUGGUAUUCCACGCCUCAAAAUCAGAUACUGAAAACCCCAUAUUUGGCUGCUUCAAGAUCAAUAGAAGCAGAAUAUAUUUUCUGUGAUUCUUGAUUCCUUGCAAUAUAAUAGCACAAAUGGCUAUUUCUAAAUCAGUUUCAAACUAAUGAUAAAGAUGAUAAGUUUUCAGCAAGAAAACCUACAUUGAUUUUACGUGGCACACACCACCAGGGAAAUUACAAUUGCAGAUGAUGGAAUUGGUGUACCAUUGUAUAUCUUCUCGUUUCGGUGUAUUCCAGUUUGAGUUAUUAUCACAAGGAUUCAGGUUGAAGUCCCAGUCCUUUUUGCCCAACUGAUCAGCUAUUUCACGAAGAGCAUUCUCUGCAAAAAUCAGAAUUCUAUUCUAAAAUAGAAAUGUGAUCGGAUUUCAUGUUGAUCAAAGUGAACUUUUAAGGAUAACCUGAAGUUUAAUGGAAGGCUAAAAAGUGUAGUACCUAAUGAGCUAAACACGUGAAUGGAAAGAAAGAAAUGGUUUACAUAAAAAAACGAUCCUUACUUUCCUCAUCAGGGAGAUAUCCACUCCGUGCAGAAAUAAUUGUUGCUUUGAAGAGAAGUAAUAUCGUCAAGGUGAACAUAAAGAUGAGAAUAGCUUUAGACAUCUUUGCGCCUCAGUUUAAUAUUCAUCAGGCCGAAACAAGUACAUGUAUAUAUAUGAGAGAGAGGAGAUUAGAACUUCGGUUAACGACUUUAGCAUUCGAUGAGAUGUUAAACAAGGUGGGACCUUCAAUGUCACGCCUGUGAUAACAUGGAACUAUGAUUGCAAUUAGUUCUUUAUUUUUUUUAAUUUAAAUAGAAGGGUAUAUUAGUCAUUUUAUAACUUUUUAUUGAGAAAAAUGAUGAAAAGAAUGUUUUCCACAGGAAAAGGUAAAGGUAGGGAUGAAAUGCGCCAAAAAGGGAAAUGUAGGGACGUUUUCCACAAAAAUCAUGAAAGGUAUGGACAUUUUGUGCUAAAUACCCUUUAUUUUACUUUCUUUCAUGAGAAGGCAUUUAAGACAGGACAUCAUAAAUAUUUUGUAUUUCCUCCCUAGCAAAAGAUAAACAUAAGUGCAUUAACUUUCUAGGUAGAUUGAAAGGACAACAAUGUAAAGUUAGGAAAUAGACAAUCAACAUAGGCCUCCUGAUCUGAUCACUAUCACAUCCAGCUCACAGUACAAUUGACUUCUCCUCAUUCCAUUUCAUUAGCAUUAAUCUCUUGUUCAAUACUUGUUCAUCUUUUGAACGAGUGAAUCUAAAAAUACCAGUAGAAAAAUUGUGAAAAAGAUAACUGCAUCAGCGUGGGGCUCAUUAGUAGAAUUUUGUAUCAGACUGUGCAAAGACUAGCUAGGUUGGUCAAUCACUAAGAAUUUUUCAUAAAUGCAUGUUCAAAUAUUACAAAGCUAUACUAUUAUGAAUCAAUUAAUGAUUCUUGAAUAAAUAUUUCUUUUCAAAUUGUAGAGAUAUUCACAAUAUUAAACACUAUUUUCCUAGAUUUCAUUGCGUUAUUGGAGUUUUGAUCAAAACAUUGACCAACUAGAUAAUACUUUGCAUGUCCAUUGACUCAACUUGAAGUGUUCUCAUAGCAAGCUCUCUCUCAAAGUCGCCCAUAAAAUCCAUGCUUUCUUAAAUUAUAUUUAUCGGCGCUAAUAUUUUUUUUGCAAGCGAUUGUGGCACAACACAUUGGAAAAAAUAGAGAUAUACAAAACUACUUCAACCAAUUAUCUUUGAUCAUCUAGUUGUUUUGCCUCUUAUUAGAUGUAAUAAAAUAAAUAGACCUGAGUGGUUCGUGGUCUCAGAAUGGAAGUUAUUAUUAUUGUUUUUACUUUAAAAUAGCAAUGAAGGUGUUUUAAGGCCAUUAUGUCUGCAUCUUCGUAAUCAAAUUGGUCUUGUGGGUAGUCCGUAUUCGUAUUAAAUCUAUUCUCAUUUUCAGGUGUUUCCAUUUUUUGCCAAUUUCUUGGGUAAAAUCUCCCACCUAUCUUAAAGAUAAAGAAAGCUUUCUUGGACACUUCUUACACUAAAAAUGAAGGACGAUCCAAUUUAUUAACUAUGAAGCACUAAUAUUUCUUCAAAGCAUAAAACAACUAAAAAAUUAGUAAAUAAUUAGUAAAAAUGAAUGAAAACCCGCUUCACGCUACUUGUUUUGAAUAAUCUCUGGUACAUAACUGAUAAAUUUACUAAAGAAGAAGUAUUUCAUCAAAUUUCAUCAUCUACUAACUUUAUCCUUAUUGAAUAUCUAACCAUAUAAUUGUUGUUCUUGUUAAUGUAUUCAAAAUGUGUUGGGUAAUUGCCUCAAAAGUCAAAAGUUGGAGGACUUCUAUUGCAAAUAAUAAAAGGUAAUAAUUGUAUGGAAGACUUAUAAUUAAAGUUGAGAACAGAAUCCUCGAAGAAUUUGGUUUCCAAUUUUACAACCGAUUUUGGAGUCUUGCACAUAAAGGAGUCCUUGUUUGAGUUGAAAUUAAACUCUUCUACUUAAUUAUCGAUCCUACAAAUAGUAGAUGUAUUUAUUAUUUUGGAGGUGUGGCCUGAGAGUUAAUCCGAGAGAUAAAUAUUGUGAGCCUAGCAUCUUGAGAGUUUUAUAUAAAGAGUAGAAAAGUGGGUAUGGCAAAGCUCAAGAUUAUUGUUCUUUGUAAUACUUGAGAAUUGGGUUGAUGAGUGAAAUUUUAUAUGGUUAUAACAAUUUUCAUAUAGUGAAAGGCUUUGACGGUCCAUUUAAUUUGUGCGUUAUAUUCUUCUUCUUCUUCUUCUUCUUUUGGCUAAUAUUUUCUUGAACAACAAUAGAUUCUGAGGGUAAAUAGAAACAAAGGAAAUUAGCGUAAAAUUCCUAACAAAAUGAAAUUUCCAUUUCCAUCAACAUCUCACCAUGUCAAUAGCAUGGUUGGCUAGUGAUACAAAUAGAUUAGUUAAUGACAGAUCCAAUCAAUUAAAUGGAUUUUGACAUUUUACCUAGGUAUUUAUUGUGGCGCAGAAAAAAAAAUUUCAUGUCAAUUUUAUCAAUGUUAUGCCCGCAAUAACAUGACCCGAACAUUUAUUUUACUUUCUUUCAUCAAAAGGCAUUUAAUACGGGACAUCAUAAAUAUUUUCUAUUUCCUCCCUGGCAAAAGAAAAACGUAAGUGCAUUAACUUUCUAGGUAGAUUGAGAAGCACCUUAACGGAAACUUGGGAAUUAGACAUUCAACAUUGGCCUCCUAAUCUGAAUAUUCAAAUAAAUAGCUUUUUCAUUAUCAUGUCUAUUCACCUCACGGUACAAUUGACUCCUCCUUAUUCCAUUUCAUCAACAUUAAUCUCUUGUUUUAUGCUUGUUCGUCUUCUUCUUCUAAAUGAGUGAACCUAAAAAAUAUCAGUAGAUAAAUUAUCAUUAUCAGAUAAAGAGAGCUGCAUGAGCAUGGGGCUAACUUGUACAAUUUUCUAUCAGACUGUCUGUAGUAACCUGAAAAUGAAAUCAGAGGAUUAGUAGAGACUUAGCAAAGAUUUGCUAGGUUAGUCCAUCACUAAGUCUUUUUCAUCUGCAUUUACAUUAAGAUAACAGAGAAAUUUAUAAAUGCAUGUUCAUAUAUUACAAAGCUAGACUAUUAUGAAUCAAUUGUUGAUUCUUGAAUAAAUAUUUCUUUUAAAAUUGUAGAGAUAUUUACAGUAUUAAACACCAUUUUCCUAGAUUUCGUUGCCUUAUUAGAGUUUUGAUCAAAACAUUGACAAACUAGAUAAUACUGUGCAUGUCCAUUGACUCAAUUUGAAGUAUUCUGAUUGCAAGCUCUCUCUCUAAGUCAGCCAUAAAAUCCGUACUUUCUUAAAUUAUAUCUAUCGGCACUAAUAUUUUUUUGCAAGUGAUCACGGCACAUCACAUUGUAAAAAAUAGAGAUAUACCAAAACUUCAACAGCCAACUAUCUUUGAUCAUCUAGUUGUUUUGCCUCUUAUAUUAGAUGUAAUAAAAUAAAUAGACCAGAGUGAUUCGUGGUCUCAGAAUGGAAGUUGUUACUACUACUACUUUAAAAUAGCACAGAAGGUAUUUUAUGGCCACUAUCUUUGCAUCCUCAUAAUCAAAUUGGUCUUGUGGAUAGUCCGUAUUGGUAUCAAAUCUAUUCCCAUGUUCUAGUGUUUCCAUUUUUUGCCAAUUUCUUUGGUAAAAUCUCCCAACUAUUUUUAAGAUAAAGAAAGCUUUCUUGGAUGCUUCUUGCACUAAAAAUGAAGGACGGUCCAAUAUAUUAACUACGAAGCACUAAUAUUUCUUCAAAGCAUAAAACAACUAAUGAUUAAUAAAAAUGAAUGAAAACCCACUUCGGGCUUCUUGUUUUCAAUAAUAUCUAGUACAUAACUGAAAAAUCUAUUAAAGAAGAAGUAUUUCGUCAAAUUUCUUCCUCGACUAACUUUAUCCUUAUUGAAUAUCUACCUAUAUAAUUGUUGUGCUUGUUAAUGUAUUCAAAAUGAAAUUUUCAUUUCCAUCAACAUUUCACCACAUCAAUAGCAUGGUUUGCUAGUGAUACAAAUAGAUUAGUAAACGACAGAUCGAGUCAAUUAAAUGGAUAUCGACAUUUUACCUAGGUAUUUAUUGUGGUGUAGCAAAAAAUUUUCAUGCCAAUUUUAUCAAUGUUAUGCCUACGAUAACAUGACCCGAACAUUUAUUUUACUUUCUUUCGUUAAAAGGCAUUUAAUACAAGACAUCAUAAAUAUUUUCUAUUUCCUCCCUGGCAAAAGAUAAACGUAAGUGCAUUAACUUUCUAGGUAGAUUGAGAAGGACCUUAAUGGAAUCUUGGGAAAUAGACCUUUAACAUUGACCUCCUAAUCUGAAUAUUCAAAUAAAUAGCUUUUUUCAUUAUCGUGUCUAUUCACCUCACGGUACAAUUGACUCCUCCUUAUUCCAUUUCAUCAGCAUUAAUCUCUUGUUUUAUGCUUGUUCGUCUUCUUGUGAACGAGUGAACCUAAAAAAUAUCAGUAGAUAAAUUAUCAUUAUCAGAUAAAGAUAACUCCAUAAGCAUGGGGCUAACCAGUAGAAUUUUCUAUUAAACUGUCUGUAGUAGACUGUCUGUAUUACCCUGAAAAUGAAAUCAGAGACUUCGCAAAGACUUGCAAGGUUAAAGCAUCACUAAGACUUUUUCAUCUGUAUUCACAUUCAGAUAAAUAGAGAAUUUCAUAAAUGCAUGUUCAAAUAUUACAAAGCUAGACUAUUAUGAAUCAAUUAUUGAUUCUUGAAUAAAUAUUUCUUUUCAAAUUGUAGAGAUAAUCACAAUAUUGAACACUAUUUUCCUAGAUUUCGUUGCCUUAUUGGAGUUUUGAUCAAAAUAUUCACCAACUAGAUAAUAUUGUGCAUGUCUAUUGACUCAAUUUGAUGUGUUUUGAUUGCAAGCUCUCUCUCAGUUGCCCAUAAAAUCCAUACUUUCUUAAAUUAUAUUUAUCGGGGCUAAUAUUAUUUUGCAAGUGAUUGUGGCACAACAAGUUGGAAAAAGUAGAGAUAUACCAAAACUACUCUAGCCAAUUAUCUUUGAUCAUCUAGUUGUUUCGCCUCUUACAUUAUAUGUAAUAAAAUAAAUAGACCAGAGUGGUUUGUGGUCUCAGAAUGAAACUUUUUUUUUUUUUUUUUUUACUUUAAAAUAAAUAGCACCGAAAGCAUUUUAUGGCCACUAUGUUUGCAUCCUCAUAAUCAAAGUGGUCUCAUGGGUAGUCCGUAUUGGUAUUAAAUCUAUUCCCAUGUUCUGGUGUUUCCAGUUUUUGCCAAUUUCUGGUAAAAUCUCCCACCUAUCUUAAAGAUAAAGAAAGUUUUCUUGGAUGCUUCUUGCACUAAAAAUGGACGGUCCAAUUUAUUAAACUAUGAAGCACUAAUAUUUCUUCAAAGCAUAAAACAAGUAAAAAAUUAGUAAAAAUGAAUGAAAACCUGCUUCGGGCUUCUUGUUUUCAGUAAUCUCUGGCACAUAACUGAUAAAUCUACUAAAGUAGCAUAUCAUCAAAUUUCUUCCUCUGCUAACUUUAUCCUUAUUGAAUAUCUAAUUAUAUUAUUGUUGUACUUGUUAAUGUAAUCAAAAUAAAAUUUCCACAGUCAACAUCUCACUACGUCAAUGGCAUGGUUUGCUAGUGAUACAAAUAAAUUUUCAUGUCAAUUUUAACAAUUUAUAGGCCUCAAAUCCCUAUUAGAAUUUUUUUCAGUUGUGCUAGCGCAUCUUGAGUUUAAACCUAUUAGGUUCCCAAACACCUGAGGUCAAGUUCCUCUCCUCUGCAAGAUAUUUAUAGACAAAAUGAAGUAUUCUAUUUAAUAUUUUAUUUUACUUUUAACAAGAAAGAACAGUAAAACUGUUUUAGAACGUGCGCAUAAGCUGUAAUUAGGACUCAUAAAGAUUUGUUAAGUAAGCCCGACUUCAAGAGGUAUUUUAAAUUCAACCUUAGUAAUUUGAUGCUCUACAUCAAUGUCUGAAUGAAGUUUGCAUUUGCAUGUGUUUGAUAUUGUUUAAAAGUUACUUUUCUAGUCAGCAAGUUUUUUAGCAAAAUAGAAAAUCACUUUUGACAAUAUAAGUAACGCAACAACAAAUUUAAUAAAAUCCAAGUAAUGUUAUAAAUGACACAAGUUGGCAGUACACAGGAAUCGGGGAAGGGUAUAGCCACCUUGACAGAAAAAUGUUUCGGCAAAAUAUGAUUGGAUGAAAGAGUUAACAAUGUUUCAGAAAGUCUAAUAAUAUGAUGUCAUGUAACCAUAUGUCAAGAAUUAUGUCAACCAUUAUGUUACUGUAGCAUGAUUCAUAGGAAAAUGGAUCAAAAGAGUCCUUUCUCGCUAGCAAUUGUCGUAUCUUUAUAGUUGACCGCAACAUAUUACUUUGCAUUUCUCAAUGUACGUGCCCUUGAAUAAAUGGACGGAAAGUACUAAGAAAGAGAAAUAAAUUCUAAUUCAUAAUUCAUUGAAGGUUGUCUGAGAAGGAAUCUCGAGCAGAUGUAGAGGAUAAGCCAGUUUCUGGUGCAUCAGACAAAUGAAUGAGGAUUGAGUUUUACUUGAAUUAAGUUUCAAGUAUUAGAACUUCUCUCUGACUGAUUGAAGAUUCACUAACGAAUUGAGCUGACUCCCUUCGCACCAUUAACUAGUUGAGUUGGCUACGGAUGAACUACAGGAGCUCGUCGAUCAAUCACAUGAGUCGGGUGGCGAGGCUAGACGAUUUGAAUUUCCUUCUUAAAAGGUCAACUUUAUUAUAAGGAAUAAUCCAAACCCUUAUAAGUUGGUUUAUAUAUCUUUAUUCGAUGUGUGACUUUAUCGCUUAACAUGCCGAGUAAGAUGGUCGAACCAAUCUUGAAAUCCAUGUACUCAUUUUUUUUAGCCUUAAUAGGAUUGAAUCGCUCAUUUGAGCUUAAUAGACUCUAAUAUCAUGUAAAGAUUUGGGAUUCCAUCUUAAAAUGUCACCAUUGUUAAGGAGAGUAGUUCAAAUCCUUAUAAGUUGGACUAUAUUUUUAUCUUUAUUUUAUGUGAAAUUUUAUCCCUUGACAUCUAGGCCUGCAAAAUAGCAAAUUGCUUAGUAAUUGAUAUCGACAUCUUACCUGUGUUUAUGGGCAUUGAGUUGGAAAGUUUUGAACUUUAGCUUGAGAAUAGACUACUCAAUUGAAGUGUUGUAAUCAGUAUUAAUAUUCCGUCGACUUUGAAUACAAUUUACAAUUUAUAACAUUCACAGAAGGUAAUAAGUAACCUUUUUAUAAUUUUACGUAAAGAAGAAAAUUUUGUUGAUAAAAUAAAUUUAUUUCCUCCAAAUCUCCAUUACCAGUUUGAACAAUUUCUUUUAUCUAUAUAUAUACACACGCGUGCGCAUGCAUGCAUGUGUCCAAGGGUGUACUGAAUGUAAUUAUGGUUGAUAAUUGUUGGGCUAUAAUGCCAUCACAUCCGUAAGUGGGGCGAUGAUAGUAUCAUGGGCUUGGCCCAUUUUCGGUAUUUGAUCCAUUACACGGUAUUUCAAACGUGGAGGCCCAAUACCCAUACCCAAUAUAUGGAAAAUCGCAUAUUGGAAGAGCAAUUUUAGUUGCCAAUUAAUGCUGAAGUCACUAAUUGCCCUCGACUGUUGAUCAUCAUCCAAAAUCAAUGGUGAUGGUGUAAAGUAUAAAUGGGAUCUUACUUUGUUACCCUAGUUCACUUGUACUCUGAUAUUUGUUGGUGUUUUCUGGAAUUCUCACUAAGUUUGGUUUGUUUCUUUUGUCUUCUUUCGAUCAUCUUUAACCUCUAGUUGGAUAGUUUCUCGUGGUUUUCUGAGUGAAAUUUGAGUUUCUAUGGUUGAUGGUGAGAGAAAGGUGCAGUUUCAAGUUCAAUACCUUCUGGUCCAUAAAAGAAGUGUCUUCUGAUCCACUAAGGGUUUAGGUUUGAGGUUUCUGGUUUGUAAACAAGGGUAUUCGAGAUGCCUUAGGUUGUGUCUUGAGUUGUAAUCUUUGAUAUAAACAUUUGUAUAGUUUGAUUCGAUUUUUGUUCUAAUAGUAACUUGAUCGAUUGGUAAGUUGAUUGAAUAGUAUUAGAUAAUCCCUCCUUAUCUUAAAAGAGAGAAUAUAAAGUUUACGAUUCAUUUUUGUCACAUAGAUUUUCACAUGAAACUGGUUUGAAACUCAUUUGACAGCAAUAAAUUAUUCCAUUCAAUCACACUUUAGCAUUUUUUUUCACAUGCUAUUUCACUGCAAUUAUUAAAAAAAAAAAAAAAAGGAAUUGCAGGCAAACAUAGAAAAAAAUUAUUAUAAAAUUUUUAAAUUAAAUUGAAAUAAUUAAAAUUAAAAAUAAAAAUUAUCUAAUUUAAAUUUAACAAAUCACGUUCUAUCAUAAAGAAUGUAUAAAUAUUAUUAUCAAUGAAAUAAAUAUGGCUUUAUUUCAGCAGUUCAAUUCUUACUAUAAAUAUGGCUUGUAUCUGAUCAAUGAAAUUAAUCAAUAAAAUAUGAAUUUCUUCUUCUAGUUACUUUCUCUCUCUUUUUCUUGGUUGAUUCUCUCCGGUUAAUCUUGCAAUUUAACAUUAAUGGCCCUCCUAAAUUCCCGGAAGUCUCCUCUGUGUUGGAGCUGGACGUCGUUUGAGUUUCUGGCUACCUCCGGUACUGGUAGCUCCGGCGGCUGCAUGAGGUCGCUUCAGCUGUAUUGCUCAGUUCUAAUGAUCAUGUGAUUGCCGUUUAUUAACAAAUUCUUGAAUUUUACUUUUUCUGAAUAGGGAAGGAAUGCUAUGAUUUUUCAAUUCACAGACAAUCAAAUGAAUGUGAUAUUAUAUGGUCUUCUGGGUUCGUGGGGAUAAGGAUCUUUUUAAUCAUUAAGUUUAUUUACGUGUUCAAGAAUGGUGUCUUUUUUUUCUUGGCAAAUCUUUCGUGGAAAUUGUUCUUCUUUCAGUCUUCAGUUGAUUUCGACUAUCUGAUCGUUGGCUUGUCUAAUCUAAAAGUCAUCCAAAGGCUGUCGCAGCAAUUUUUAGGGAAUUUACGAAGUGGUUCUGGAGACGAGAAAUGCCGGCGGAGUAGUAGAAAAGAGUUCAAGACGUAGUAUUGGAUAUAAUUUGAUAAUGCAAGAAGCUGCACCACUGCAAUCAAGUAAUUAUCUAGGAAUCAGAUGGAGAUCUCCUCGAAAAAUUAAAGAAAUUACAGUUGUUGGCAGUGGUCAAUUUGAUUAUUUUCUCCAAUGAACACUUGGAAGGGCCACUUACGCCAACUAAAAUUCCUACCCUAAUUAUAGGCUUCUGGGUUGUUGGGGACAAGGAUCUUUCUCAAUCAUUACUUUCCAGGAUGGUGUCCUAUGUUGUGGCAAAUCUUUCUGUGGAAAUUGUUUUUCUUCACUCUUGACUUGCUGCCAAUGGAGGAAAGUGGACUGUGCUAGGGGUAAAUCUGAUACGUGUUGGCUUUACCCGGUACAUUAUAACAUAUUCUGUUCAACUUGUUAAUCUCUUAAUAUUAUGCUUCGACUAAUUUUCCAUAUUGAUUUCAUAUUAGCUGCUGGCAAUGAUUGGAGAACAAUUUGAUCAUGGAGAUGAAAUCUGUGGAGCAGUGUUCAAUGUCGGAGGGAGGCAGGAAAAAAUUGCUUUAUGGACCAAGAAUGCUGCAAUGAAGCUGCUCAGGAAAUUUGUUUGAACAAAUAACUGAAGCUGUUCUUACUAGAUUUUGUGACAUGUAGUAGACCAUUUUCCUUUCCUUAAUUCUUAUGCGAGACUUGUUUCUCUGGGCAUUUUAUGGUUUGUUUUCGUGAUAUUAAUAAUGAAACUAUGCAUGUGACACUGGAUUUGAUGAAGAGUAGAGGGCGGUGACCACUCUCCUAAACUUUUAACAAUCUUUCUGAGUUUUUCUAUAUAUAUAGCUGUCAAAAAUGAUUUUUCGCUAUCACAAUUUAAGAACAUGCUGCUUUAUGCUAAUAAUUUCUUUAAAUUGUAAUACACGUGCUUAUGAGGAAGCAACGCACUGUGUAAUCAUUGAAGGGAUCCCCGUUUUAGAAAGGUUGCUGAAUUGAGCAUGUUUGUUGCAUAGUAUUAUGUGGAAUUGGGCACUAUAGUGAACAAUAUUUAGCUUAUUUACGUUCUCUAAAUUGUUUAGUACUAUCUAUUUGGAGCCUACAUUUUAGCCUUCACAAUUUCUUUCAUGUGUGUCAGACACAUUUUUCAAAAGUUGCAGCAAAUGUUGAAAAAAAAGGAAUGUGCAUGGAAACUCUUGCUAACAACAGCCGUAUUUUUGGAAGAAAUUUUUGCCAUGCAUUUAAUGCAAGGCAACUUUGUUGAAAAAUUGAUGGACAUGCAUUUAAUGAGGAAGGUGAGAAUUUUACUAUGAAUACGAGGCCAAAGCAGGAGCAAAAGAUAUGAGUGAAAAGAGAAGUGCAAGAAAAGUGUUGAGUGAGCAAAGCACAAAAGUGAGAAGCAGUUAGGCUUCAGUUUGUGCAGAAAUUAACGAGAGAAAAAUUUAUUGUGCAGAAAAUUAACGAGAGAAAAAUUGAGAGAUUGUCUUUACAUAGACAAAUAAAAUACAGAAAGUAUAUUUGUUGUAUUCAUUUUCUUCUCUUGUUGAUAUAGUAAAAGAAUUGGUGUGGGUUUGUGGACGUAGGCACGAUUGCUGAACCACGUAAAUUCUUGUGUCACUUGCACUUAUUAUUUUUUGCUACAUUUAUUUCUUCUCAGUUCAAAUUAUUUUGUGUCCCAUUGAUCCUGGCGGAAUUAGUAACGGUCUAAUUUCCUAACAACUGGUAUCAGAGCUCCAGAAUUUAAGUGGGAGGAAUGACAACAGACGAGAAGAUAUCCAAAAUCGAUAAGUUUGAUAGCACAAACUUUGGAUUUUGGAAGAUGCAAAUGGAGGACUAUUUGUACCAGAAGGACCUGUAUAAACCACUUCACGUAAAGCCGGAGGACAUGAUCGACGAGGAGUGGGAAUUACUUGAUCGAAAGGCCCUCGGCGCAAUAAGGCUGCCAUUAUCAAAAUCAGUCGCUUUCAACAUAAAAAAUGAGAAGACGACGGCAUCUCUCAUGGCGGCCCUGUCUAGCAUGUAUGAACAACCAUCUGCAGCAAACAAAGUCCAUUUAAUCAAAAAGCUAUUUACUAUGAAAAUGGCGGAAGGCGAAAGAUCUGGAGAACAUUUAAAUGUGUUCAAUGAAGUGACGGACCAGUUAAACACAGUCGAAAUCACAUUCAGUGAUGAGGUUCGAGCUUUAUUGAUUCUCGGGCAGCUGCUUGAGAGUUGGAAUGGCACAGUUACAGCAAUUAGUAGCUCUGUCGGAAAUUCCAAAUUGAAAUUUGAAGAUGUCGUGAGCAUAAUCCUAAUCAAGGAAAUACGAAGACAGUCGGAAGGUGUUUUCACUUCUGGAGCAGCUUUGAACGUGGAGAGCAGAGGCAGAAGUUCGAACAGAGGUAAAGGGCAUUACAGGAGCAAGUCAAGGUUUGGUAGAUCAAAAUCCAGAAAUCCAAAGAAUUCCAACAAAUCAAAAGUUGUUGAAUGUUGGAAUUGUGGCAAGAUCGGACACUACAAAAAUCAGUGUCAAGUUUCCAAGAAAGAAAAUGAAAACAAGACCGAGGCCAAUGUUGUAGCAGAAGAAUCAGAUGAUGCUUUGAUAUGCUCUUUGGACAGCAAAGCAGAAUACUGGGUAAUAAAUUCUGGAGCAUCUUUUCACGCUACAUCAAACAAAGAACUCUUUACGAGUUAUGAGCUGGGUAAUCUUGGAAAAGUGUAUCUUGGUGAUGAUCAACCUUGUGACGUAAUCGGCAGAGGUGAAGUACAAAUCAAACUUAAUGGAUCUGUAUGGAAAUUGAAGGAUGUCAGACAUAUUCCAGACUUGAGGAAGAACUUGAUAUCUGUGGGCCAACUAUCAAAUGAGGGUUAUGUCACAACCUUCAACGGUGAUAUUUGGAAGGUUUCCAGGGGUGCAAUGACCAUAGCACGAGGCAAGAAAAGUGGUACUCUUUACACCACGACGAGUGCUUGCAGAAUAAUUGCAGUUGCUGAUUCGAAUGAAGAUCCGAAUCUAUGGCACCAGAGAUUGGGCCAUAUGAGUCAGAAUGGACUCAAGUACAUGCAUGACAAAGGGAAACUACCAGGACUUCAAUCUAUUAAUGCAGACCUAUGUGAGAGUUGCAUUUUCGGGAAGCAGAGGCGAGUGAGUUUCAACAAGUGUGGCAGAACUUCGAAGUAGGAAAAGCUAAAGUUAGUCCGCAUAGAUGUCUGGGGACCAGUUGUAGUUCCGUCUAUUGGCGGAAAGUCUUAUUUUGUGACUUUCAUCGAUGAUCACUCCUGAAAAGUAUGGGUCUACUUCUUGAGACACAAAUCCGAAGUGUUCGAGAUGUUCAAGAAGUGGAAAGCUAUGGUGGAGAAUGAAACAAGUUUGCCAGUAAAGAAAUUGAGAUCAGAUAAUGGCAGUGAAUACGAACAUACUGAUUUCAAAAUGUUUUGUUACCAGAAUGGUAUCAAACUGGAAAGGACGUUGCUAGGAACACCGCAACAAAAUGGUGUGGCCAAACGAAUGAACCGGACGUUGACAGAGAGAGCCAGAAGCAUGCGGUUACAUACUGGCUUGCCUAAACAAUUUUGGGUUGAAGCUAUCAACACAGCAGCAUACUUAAUCAAUCGCGGGCCAUCAGUGCCUUUGGAGUAUAGGAUACCAGAGGAAGUAUGGAGCGGAAAAGAAAUAAAACUUUCUCAUUUGAAAGUUUUUGGUUGUGUCGCAUAUGUACAUAUUAGUGAUCAAACUAGGGGUAAGCUUGACCCCAAAUCACUAAAGUGUACCUUCAUUGGAUAUCGUGGAGAUGAGUUCGGGUAUCGCUUUUAGGAUGAUAAGAACAAAAAGGUCAUCAGAAGUCGGGAUGUCAUAUUCAAUGAAAGGGUGAUGUACAAGGACAGAGAUACAGCGUAGUCAAGUGACAUACAUGAUAAUCCAACAUAUGUUGAGUUGGAUGAUACUCCAAGUAGUAGUAUGUCAAAGCAGACAGAUGGAAGUCUUCAGCCAGAGGAAGCUGUUGCGGAGACUUUAACUCCAACCCCUAUUCCUAGAAGAUCUUCCCGACCACAUGUUCCAAAUAGAAAGUACAUAAAUUAUUUGUUACUUACUGAUGCCGGUGAACCUAAAUGCUAUGAUGAGGCAUGUCGGGGAGAUGAUGCAAUUAAGUGGGAGCUUGCAAUGAAAGAUGAGAUAACGUCUCUUAUCUCUAAUCAAACAUGGGAGCUAGUUGAGUUGCCUGCAGAAAAGAAAGCCAUACAAAAUAAAUGGGUCUAUCGAGUUAAGGAGGAACAUGACGGAUCAAAGCGAUACAAGGCGAGAUUGGUGGUCAAAGGUUUUCAACAGAAAGAAGGAAUUGACUACACAGAGAUUUAUUCUCCAGUAGUAAAGCUGAUAACAAUUCGAUUAGUAUUAAGUAUUGUUGCAGCAGAGGGGUUGCACUUAGAGCAGUUAGAUGUGAAAACUGCCUUUCUCCAUGGUGACUUAGAGGAGGAGAUAUAAAUGCAGCAACCAGAGGGUUUCUCAAUCAAAGAAAAAAAGAAGCUCGUGUGCAAAUUGAAGAAAAGUUUGUAUGGCUUAAAACAAGCUCCGAUACAGUGGUACAAGAAGUUUGACGGAUUUAUGCAGAAAAAUGGCUACUACAAGUGCAAUGCUGACCGUUGUUGCUAUUUUAAAAGGUUGGAGUCCAGCUACAUUAUUUUGCUACUUUAUGUUGAUGACAUGUUAAUAGCGGGACCAGACAUGAACGAAAUCCAAAAAUUAAAGAAGCAACUGUCAGCAGAAUUCGAAAUGAAGGACUUGGGUCCAGCUAAACAAAUUCUAGGGAUGAGAAUUUGUAGGGACAAGCAAAAAAGCACUUUGAAGUUAUCCCAAGCCAAGUACAUUAGUCAAGUUUUGCAGAGGUUCAACAUGAACAAUGCAAAGGCAGUUAGCACGCCAUUGGCUAAUCACUUCCGUCUAUCAAACGACCAAUCUCCGAAAACAGAAGACAAAGAAACUUCAUGGCUAAUAUUCCAUACGCCUCAAUCAUUGGAAGUUUAAUGUAUGCCAUGGUCUGUACAAGACCAGAUAUUGCUCAUGCAGUGGGAGUUGUGAGCAGAUUCAUGACGAAUCCAGGAAAACAGCAUUGGGAAGCAGUGAAGUGGAUAUUGAGAUAUCUACAGGGUACUAUUGAUAAAUGUUUGUGUUUUAAAAGAGGUGAGUUGGCACUACAAGGUUUUGUAGAUGCAGAUUUUGCUGGCGAGGUCGAUCACAGGAAAAGCACCACCGGUUAUGUAUUCACAGUUGGUACUACUGCAGUGAGUUGGGUUUCGCAAAAACAAAAAAUUUUUGCUUUAUCCACUACAUAAGCAGAGUACGUGGCAGUAACCGAAGCUAGCAAAGAAAUGAUUUGGUUACAAGGUCUGUUGACAGAAUUUGGUCUCAAGCAAGAAAAGAAUGUUUUGUACAGUGACAGUCAGAGUGCUAUACAUCUGGCAAAGAAUGUAGCAUUUCAUAUCACUUCAUCAGAUUUCUCUUAGAGGAUGGAGUAUUAACACUGGAAAAGAUCCAGGGCAGUAGAAACCCAGCUGACAUGUUAACCAAGACGGUAACUACGGAAAAACUGGAGUUGUGUUCAGCUUCAGUUGGCCUUCUAAAAUGAAGACGAGGAAGGUGAUCCACACCAAUUUUACUAAAAAGGAACUGCUCGCAGGAUGUCUCAAGGUGAAGCCACAUUAGUCUCCAAGUGGGAGAUUGUUGAAAUUUUGGAGCCUACAUUUUAGGCUUCACAAUUUCUUUCAUGUGUGUCAGACACAUUUUUCAAAAGUUGUAGCAAAUGUUGAAAAAAAAGGAAUGUGCAUGGAAACUCUUGCUAACAACAGCCGUAUUUUUGGAAGAAAUUUUUGCCAUGCAUUUAAUGCAAGGCAACUUUGUUGAAAAAUUGAUGGACAUGCAUUUAAUGAGGAAGGUGAGAAUUUUACUAUAAAUACGAGGUCAAAGCAGAAGCAAAAGAUAUGAGUGAAAAGAGAAGUGCAAGAAAAGUGUUGAGUGAAAACACGAGAGUGAGCAAAGCACAAAAGUGAGAAGCAGUUAGGCUUCAGUUUGUGCAGAAAAUUAACGAGAGAAAAAUUGAGAGAUUGUCUUUGUAUAGGCAAAUAAAAUACAGAGAGUAUAUUUGUUAUAUCCAUUUUCUUCUCUUGUUGAUAUAGUAAAAGAAUUGGUGUGGGUUUGUGGACGUAGGCACGAUUGCCGAACCACAUAAAUUCUUGUGUCAUUUGCACUUAUUAUUUUUUGCUACAUUUAUUUCUUCUCAGUUCAAAUUAUUUUGUGUCCCACUGAUCCUGGCGGAAUUAGUAACGGUCUAAUUUCCUAACAGCCUAAAUGUUCUUGCACUAGAAAAACAUCUCAGUUCUUUGUGACGAUCUCUUGAACUUUAUUGACUUUCUUGCGAAGAAAAAUUCUGGAAGGCAUUCGUUAUUAAAAACCAAUGCCUACCAGUGUGAAACGGUUGUUCUGAUUUUGACUGCAUCCUUCGGCCUUUGACAUUGGCGGCUGAGUAGUGACUACUGACUAAUCUACCAGAGCAUGAAUCUGAAUGGAUUACCGACUAAAACAAGUAUUUAAGGAAUUGAUUUUACUCUUGCUUUUUUGGGUAUCUCCGCAAACUUUGCUUUCUUAUGCCUCUAUCUCUACUUCCUGUCUUAGGAGGCUUUUUUACGAUUUUUUAUUUUUAUUUUUUGCAGCUGAUCAUUGAAAGACAAUGGAAGGAGUUUCUAGAUUAUAAUGACACAAUUGGGGUUCAUAUUUCAUGUAAGGAUUCCCCUUUUUUCACAUGGCCUGAUUUUUUUGCUUUGUUUGAUGAAUCUAUAAAUCAUUUAUAAAGCGGUUGAACUUCAUCUUCAACCACAUUCCAAUGGUCCACAAGUAUCCAUUUAUUCACCACUCAUUCCUAUCUAUUUAUAAAUUAAACUGUUUAUAAAUUCUUUCCAAACGGAGGAAUAGAUUACAAGCUGAUGAAGCGCAUUUGAAGUGUUGUGAAAAUUGCAUGGGUUACCCCUUCCCUUCCUAAGUCCUAACCCAACCCAACCCAGCCCGUCAAUCCCUCACUCCGCAUCUUCCUCCACCAUCCCCAGCCUGUCCUCCCAUCUUUCUCUACUGUCAAUAAAAUUUCUCUGUGUGCACGUAUGAGGAGGAAAGGGAAAAGGGGAAAAAAUAGUCAUUUCUUGGACAUUCCUUUUAAUUAUCACCAGUUUACUUAUAGAGAGCUGAAAUACAUGGUGCUUGUGAACUGGUAUGUUAAGUGUGAGUACAGUUUAAGUGAUUGAAUAAUAGUAUGGUGAAUGAAAUUGGAGGCAAGCAUUCAUGAUUUUCUUUUAAAAGUGGUUGUGCCAAAUAGAAUAUGUAAUUUUGAAUCUCAUAUGUAUGUAGAAAUUCAAAUAUGAAUUAUUCUUCAACAUUAAAAAUGAUAUUUACUCAUAUUUAAUAUCUUUUGGUAAUUUAUUUUAUUUAUAGCUUAUAAGGAUAUAUCUUCAUGUUUAUCAGCAUAUUAAUUCAUAUCCAAAAACUGUUUUUUAGUCAAGAAAGCUCCUACUGCAUGUAAGCACUAAAAUGUGUUCAUUAUCACCUAUUUAAUUUAGCUUAAUCCAAACAAUACCUUACCCUGGGCUUCAGUAGCUGACCGGCUGUUGUAAUGCAGGACGAUGCCAGGAAGCUUGACAAAACUGCCAAAAAUCGCUACUCAGUGUAGCUUCACGAUUAAAGAUAAAAAGAAAUGGUUGAUGCCACCGUAGUGUCACGACCCGCUCGAUCUUGGCACAAGAAGAUCGAGAAAUUUAAAAUGUUGACGAGUUGGGGCUAACCGGAAUAUUCUAGACUCCCACAAGUGCAUGAAGAUUGCUAGAAUAUGGUGGGACAUUCUAGAAGCCUACAAGCCCCUCACUUGGUAGAUUAUUCUAGAUCAUCCUAGUUUAGUCCAUAGAUAUUUUAAUGUAGAUAUUUGUAUAGAUAAUUCUAGAUGUGUAAUCUAGACCGUUGGAUAGAAAAGAUCCUAGCCAUCCAUUUGAGGAGGCUACCACUAUAAAUAGCUUGGUAGGAUUCAUUUGAAGGAUCAAGAGAGUGAAAUUGUAAAGAGUAUUUUUUAUUCAAUACAAAGCCUUCUUUGUAAGCUCUUGUGUUUCUUCAUUGUCCCUUUCUUAAAGUGUUCUACUUAGUGCCUUUCUAAAACAUCAACGCCAAUCGGGAGGCUGACUUAGUGUAAUAACCGCGGGGGCGGAAGUUGAAGACACUAAGGCCGCACGGUUCUUGAAGGAAAUUAGCAAGUCCGUGACAGUUGGUAUCAGAGCCUAGGUUUGCUCACUUACUAUCGUUGGCAUGGCGGAAAAAGAUGUUGUGGGAUCCGGCAUUUCGAAAGUAGGAAAGACGUGACGAUUUUGGGUCGAGGACGGCUUACUCUACACUACGGGGUAGCGUAUCUAUGUUCCUAAGUGGAACAAUUUGCGGCGAGAUAUCAUCAAGGAGUGUCAUGACACAAAGUGGGCUGGUCAUCCAAGGCAGAAACACACAUUGGCACUACUUGAACGAGCUUACUAUUGGCCGCAAAUGAAAGACAUGGUGGAGCUCUAUGUAAAGACUUGUCUUGUGUGCCAACAAGACAAGGUGGAAACAAGGUCACCAGCGGGUUUGUUGGAGCCUCUACCAGUCCCGGAGCGUCCAUGGGACUCUAUCACCAUGGACUUCAUUAGUGCCCUGCCUAAAUUCGAAGGGUUCGGGUCAAUAAUGGUGGUGGUUGAUCGAUUCUCCAAGUAUGGCACCUUCAUUCCUGUCACCAAGGAUUGCACAGCGGAGGAAGCCGCAAGGCUAUUCUUCAAGAAUGUUGUGAAGUAUUGGGGGUUACCGCGGAGCAUAAUAAGUGAUCGUGAUCCCCAAUUCACGGGUCGGCUAUGGACGGAGUUGUUCAAACUCCUAGGCUCGGACCUACACUUCUCUACAAGCUUUCACCCUCAGACGGAUGGACAAACAGAAAGGGUGAAUGCUUUGUUGGAGUGCUAUCUCCGGCACUUUGUAAGUGCCAAUCAAAGAGAUUGGGCCAAGCUCCUGGAUAUUGCACAAUUUUCCUACAAUUUACAAAGGAGUGAAGCCACGGGGCGGAGCCCAUUCGAGUUGGUGACAGGACAACAACCACUAACACCCUACACUUUGUCCACUUCUAUUGAAGGAGGGAAAAACCCCGGAGCAUACAAAAUGGCUAAGUCAUGGGAAGAGCAUGCCGACUUAGCACGAUCUUGUUUAAACAAAGCCCAGAGGCGCAUGAAGAAGUGGGCCGAUAAGAAGAGACGGCCUUUGGAAUUUAAAGUUGGCGAUCAAGUCCUUGUGAAAAUAUUACCUCAACAAUUCAAGGCGUACCGAAGUGUACACAAAGGCUUGGUACGGAGAUAUGAAGGGCCGUUCCCGGUGANNNNNNNNNNNNNNNNNNNNNNNNNNNNNNNNNNNNNNNNNNNNNNNNNNNNNNNNNNNNNNNNNNNNNNNNNNNNNNNNNNNNNNNNNNNNNNNNNNNNNNNNNNNNNNNNNNNNNNNNNNNNNNNNNNNNNNNNNNNNNNNNNNNNNNNNNNNNNNNNNNNNNNNNNNNNNNNNNNNNNNNNNNNNNNNNNNNNNNNNNNNNNNNNNNNNNNNNNNNNNNNNNNNNNNNNNNNNNNNNNNNNNNNNNNNNNNNNNNNNNNNNNNNNNNNNNNNNNNNNNNNNNNNNNNNNNNNNNNNNNNNNNNNNNNNNNNNNNNNNNNNNNNNNNNNNNNNNNNNUAGAUAUUUUAAUGUAGAUAUUUGUAUAGAUAAUUCUAGAUGUGUAAUCUAGACCGUUGGAUAGAAAAGAUCCUAGCCAUCCAUUUGAGGAGGCUACCACUAUAAAUAGCUUGGUAGGAUUCAUUUGAAGGAUCAAGAGAGUGAAAUUGUAAAGAGUAUUCUUUAUUCAAUACAAAGCCUUCUUUGUAAGCUCUUGUGUUCCUUCAUUGUCCCUUUCUUAAAGUGUUCUACUUAGUGCCUUUCUAAAACAUCAACGCCAAUCGGGAGGCUGGCUUAGUGUAAUAACCGCGGGGGCGGAAGUUGAAGACACUAAGGCCGCACGGUUCUUGAAGGAAAUUAGGAAGUCCGUAACAGUAGGCUAUCCUGUCACCAGUGGCUGGCUUUCAUUUUGUCUUAUUUAGUACGGAGAACAUUUCUGAGGAUUCCAUAUAUGGACUUUUUUGCCGAAAUCUGAUACUUACUGUUACUGAUUGAUUACCUCUUUGUAACAGCCAUUCAGUAUGAUCCAGUUCGGAUAUGGCCGUUCAGUAACAUGGUACCAGAUUUUGUGAAAAGUGUUUUUUUUUUUUUGGAGAAUUUGUGGUCCAUGUCUAAAAUUAUUUUAUUGAAAGAGUAUGUGAUUGAAAAAAAAAAAAAAAGAGUACAUGGGCCGAUAUUAUUCAAUGUGGAUAUUAUAUUAUAUUUUCAUUCUUCCUUCUUCAAACCUACAUAAUCUAUAAAAAUAAGAGGGAUGGAAAACAAUAAUGAGUUUGUAAUGACUAUUGUCAUUCAACAAUCAAAGCGUGGAUCUUAUCUAGGAUUAAUGGCUAUUCAACAAGAUAUACGUAUUAAAGGCCAUGUCUAAAAAUUAUAUAUGCACUAGUUUAAGCUUUUCUGGUCCAUUUGAUUGUAAAUGUGGAAAAAGACAAAAUCAAUUCCAUGUAAGUUGAAAAAGAAAAAACUACCAAAACUAUAGGAAUUUGAGUUCCAUUCAAUUGGUCAAAAACAUGUUUUAAGUGUUUGUACCUUGAAAUUUGAACCCCUUUUCUACUUUCAUAUCAAACAAACAAAGUAGAAAACGAAUUCCUCAGAUGCAACAUUUUUCAUGGAAUUCAAUGCUAUCAAACAGACCCUUAGAUUAUUGUCGAAAAGUAUUGAGGGAGAAGCUACACUUUCGUGAUGAAAUAAUUUAUUAUUAGUUUAUUAGUUUAGUACAUUGAUUCACUCUUAGAUAAGCUUGCGCACGAUUUGGUUUGGGUUGGUUUCGACUCCAACUCGAAACCAAAAUCAAAUUAGUCGGUUUUGAUGAAUCUCAAUCAAAUCAAUCCACUCUAACUCUUAAAUCAAAUGGAACCAAACCAAAUCGGCUCAAUUUGAUUCGGUUAGUGGGUUUUAACUUUUAGUCCAAAAUGAUUUUUUUUUUUUUUAAAUUUCAAAAAUGUCUAAGUUUUGUGCCUGCUUAGAUUAAAAGAACUAAUAUAAGUUUAUAUAAUAAAAAUUAUUGACUAAUAAAUAAAAUUAGGUUAAUAGAGAUGGAUCAACUGAAAACUUAAUAAUUUUACUUAUUUAUUUAUUUAUUUAUUUAAUACAUUAUUUAACCUGAUUGCCCCGAGUAGGAAAAAAUGGCUAAGUAUAACAUAAUGAGCAUAUGAAAAGAAAUUCUUAGUGUUUUUAGUUAUCAACAACAUUAUAGAUUGGAAGGAAUUGAAAUAUGUUAAAAGAUUAUGACUUAUCUUUUGAUUUUUAUUUUUCUUUACAUAAAAUGGUAAAUAUUAAAUGGGUUGGGUUGGUUCGAUUAACCAGCGGUUUGAGGCUAAAAAUGAUAACCGAAUUGAUUUACCAUGAUUUGUAAAUCAAAUCAAACCAAAUACCUAUGAGAAACUGACACGAACCAUUGGUUCGAGUCGGUUCGAUUUGAUUGGUUUGAUCGAUUUUUUUUUUUUUUUUUUUUUUUUUUUUUUUUUUUUGGGUGUCCAGGCUAGCUCUUUGACAAGAUAUGUAAUAAAAUUAAGCUAUUUGCUUUUGCUCGUAACUAAUUUGUAAGUAAUCGAAGGCUCUGAUAGCGUAGACAAUAGGGAACUCAAAUUCUUAUGGUUUUCUGAGUGUUUCAUGUCGUUUUCGAAUAUUAGACUAUUCUCCAUUUUGGGAUUUGCUUGUCAAAACCUUUUUUUCAAGAUUGCAACUUUUUUUGUCAAUUAAUUAGAUUAUACUUGUGGAACUCAAAUAGCAUUUUCCUAACACGCUUUCUAUUCUUCGAAAUUGAUAUAAGAUUUACCUUUAUGUUAUUGACAAAAGUUUGAGCAGAAAAUUGUGGGUUUGCUACUAGCCACGUAUUUGUAUAUAAAUUGAACAUUCCUGUUACAUAAAUAAUUAUACGCGGUCGCAUUCAGACGAUUUGGGUAACACACGUGGCUUUGCUGUCAAAUAUUUUAACCUUUGUCGCCAAGGUUCAAAUCAUCGUUACGCAUUGGUUCAUGAUAAUAUUAAUUUUAUUUCUAUUUGAUAUGUGUAGUACUUGUUAAUAAGACAAUCCAACAUUAACCUAAUCUAGUAUUCCUUUUAUUCUCCAACUUGGAAUUUCGUAAAAUGUACACCAAUCUAACUACAAAUAAUCAAACAAGAAAAUAUAAUUUUUUCAUACAAAAUUUAAAUAACAACCCAUUAAAUACUUUUCUUUAUCAAAUUCUAAAUCUUCAUUUCUUUUUCUGAAGAGGGAAAUAAUUUUACAUCUCUGAUAAGAACUAAUGACAAAUGUGGUCGACUUGAAUAAGAUCAAGAGAAUUAAAAUUUAAGUGUCCCCCNNNNNNNNNNNNNNNNNUUUUUUUAACUAUUUGUUUUUUUUUUCCUUCCCCUUAACAUCAUCAAGUCUUAUCUUAUUCAGCUUACCAAAUAAGCCAGAAGUCUAAAGGAAUUUGAAAAGGGCUUUGCAAAUAUUAAUUAAUUUCAUUUCUGGGUUAUGUUUCAAGAAAUCCAGUCAUUUUGAGAAUUGAAUUCCUGACUUCACUCAAAUUUCUGCCCUUAAGAGUCCUUCCAUUUCCGGUGCAGACGGAGAACGCCAUCAUUUUCUCGGCGACCCGCUGGCUAACGAUAACGUGGGGUGGUACCAUUUCUCCACCGUCGUUUUCGUCAUCGAAAAUUUCCGAAUCUACAUACUGAACCGUCCAUAAACUUCCAGUUAUGUUUGCUGGGAUAUUUACCGGAACUGAAUUCUUCUUGGUCUUGAAUUUCUUCCUCUUGGUUUUGAUAUUUCUUCACGGAAAAUUGUACUCCUCGUUGCCAUCUUCAUCUCCGGCAUAGUCUUGAAAAAUAACUUCAGAUUCUUGAAAUACUUCUGCCAUGGAAAAUGAGAGAAAAGUACGAAUUAAAAUGGUAUUUAGGAAUUGGUAAAGGGUGGGAAAUGCAAGGAAAUUUAUAGAGGGCGAAAAUGAUUGAUUAGAGGAAGAGAGUUUGAUUGGGGGUGGUGAAGUGGCGUCAUUGUAAAGGGCGUUGAGUGCGGACCCAACUUUCUGCGUCUAUGUUUUAUGUGUUUUUCUCACUCUUGAAGUAACUCCAAAAUAAGCUUUCCAAAGACUAAGAUGCUGUUACUUGUGCCUCACGGCUCUGUUCUGCCUAUUAUUUUUGCUUGGCCUGUAAUUUGUGCAGUUUAAUGACUCCAUUCGUUGGUCUUUAGUUUCGAUUAGCUUAAGAUUAAAAACAAGGACAACUCUACACGAAUUUUUUUAUCGAAUCUUUUACCUACUACUCAUAACGAGGUGGGGAUCACAUGUCAACAUUUUUUAUUUCACGCAGAGCCUACAUUCGAUACAUAUGGAAUAAUCCCAAAAACAAUAUUCUUUAAAUUUUAAUAGGUCAAUAUUUACUUUUAGUUAGUGAACUUCAUAAUAUUUACUUUGUUAAUCUUUGAAAUCCAAACUAAAUACAUUCAAACUAAAUAUGAAAAUGAUUUAUCAUACUUAUGAUAUGUUUAUGUAUCACCUAAUUAUGUACUGAAAUCGAUUUCAAGGUAAAGCAAUAUAAGCAAACAGUAUGAUAAUUCAGUAACGUUGUUAGUUCUAAGGACAAAAUCAUUUUCAAGAAUUAAUAUUAUAAGCAUUAUAAAGUUUACGAUAGAUAUUUAACAUUAUAAAAUUUAGUUGUCAUUUUGAUGUAUGCUUCUAAAUUCACGUAAAAUUUAUUCUUUAUUAUUAUGCGAAUAUAUAAAAUCUUAUACAUAGAUUAACGAAAUCUCUUUUCUCUAAACAGAAUAAAAAAAAAAAAAAUACAUUCGAUCUCCACAAGAAGAUAAAAUAGAAGACGUUAAUCGAAAAAUGAAAUAAAUAAAAGUAAUAAAAAAAAUAAAAUAAGAAACAUCACAAUGUUCCAUAAAAAAAUGAAUAAAGUUGUUUGUACAAAUAAAAAUUAUGGGAAGCAUUAUUGGUGAUGAGAUUACAACACUGCAGUGAUUGAUUUAACUUUAUUUUGUAUUCAACAUUCAAUAAAUACUUGCUAACUGACAAUAUGUAAAAAACUUUGAACUAUGCUGGACGAAUAGGGUCACGCCAGGGAGUUUAAUUGGCGCCCCCUCCCCCCUCCAAUAAGGGGGCGCCAAUUAGAUGUCCAUAGGCCUUCUCUAAGAAAAUUUAUUGAAGGAUUUUUGUACAUAUAUGAAAAAUUUGUCGCUACCAAUGAGAGGUUUGUUCGCCUUGUCCAAGAAGAUUUAUUGAAAGAUUUUUGUACAUAUAUGAAACGUGGCCUUGACCGUCCAGGGCGUUUAAUUGGCGCCCGAUGUCCAUAGACCUUGUUCAAAAAAAAUUAUUGAAAGAUUUUUGUACAUGCACGAAAUUUUUUUUUCUACCAAUUAGACGUCCGUUUGCCCUGUCCAAGAGAUUUAUUGAAAGAUUUUUGUACGUAUAUGAAAAAAUUGUCGCUAGUCAAAAGAAGGUGAAAAGAAGGAAUAAAGACUACCUUUACCACAAAAGGACAAACUCAUUAUUUUAAAACACUGAAUGGACCCACUUUUAUGAGAAAUUCAGUAUUUUAUACUAAAAAAUGGAGCUCAGCCGAUCCAAAUCCAUUUUUUUUUUUAUAUACAGGUAUCCCAGCUUACAUCAGACUAAAUUCUGGACCUCCAAAACCCUUGCCUCUAAAAUCUUGGAGGGGGUAAAUCGCGGGUUAUGCCUCAACUGGAUUACAGGUUCCCCCCAUUACCUGUACACUUUUGCGCACAAGAAACCCUCCUUCACAGUGAUUGCUCCAUACCAAAUAUUUGGCCACAGGUUCCCACCAGGAAUCGAACUCUCCACCCUGCCGCUGGACACAAGACAAUGUUGAUUGAUCCACCAGUUGAGCUGUGCCCCGAGGGGCAAUCCAAAUCCAUUUUUGAGUGUACCUUAAGUUUCAAAAGCUGUAUUCUGGCAAAUUAGUAGACAUGGGCGGAUCAGUCGUAAGUUAAAAGCGUUCGCGCAGCUCGGCACAUCCGACGGCUCAUAUUUCACCCCAAAGAAUUCAAGGUCCACCGAGUUAUCGAUAUACAGGUAUGCCAAAAAAAAAAGGUUGAAAAAAUGACAAGCCACUUAUAAAUUGACACGUUACAUUUGUGAAAUCAUACGCUCUACAAAGAAAGGCAUCUGGAUUAUUCUCAGCCAGACGGCUUCCUCGCCGUUUUAAGUAGAGAUAAAAGUGUUCAAUUAGGCUGCAAGGAAACAAAAGGAAGUACAUCUUUGGCUAGCUUUAAAAUUUUAGUUUCGAGCAAGUUUAGGGUUGGCAACGGUUCGGUUAUGGGUCGUUCAGCCAAAAUCAUAACCGCACCAUCAAUUUUUUGACCAUACCAUAACCGCACCAUAACCACGUAAAUCGGUUCGGUUCGUAUCUCCGUUCGGCACGGUUCGGUUCGACUAUUAACCACGAAAAUAAAUUAUUUUUUAUAGAUUCAUCCGUCAAAUUGAUAUAAAAUAAUUUAUGAAAAAAGUCAAUGAAAACAAAAACACAGUAUUUCAGAUGAAAAUGCAAACAUUAUCAAACAAUAUUCCAAACGAAAAUACAAAACAUUAUCCCAAUUUUCAAUUGUAAAAUACAAAUUUAACAAACAAUAUUAUAAAUAUAAUAAUACUAAACUUUUCCUUUAUUCUUAAUUGUUGUGCAUUGAAGUUACUUGAUUCAUUCUUCUCCACAAGUCUUACUAGCAUAGAUCAGCACUCAAAGUUGAUUCCUAUAUAGUAAAUAAGAAAUGUAAGUAGAGAAUAUAACGAUACUACCUAUUCAGAAUAUUCUUAACUAAUAUUUAAAAAAAUGUAUAUCUUCAUCAACUUCCUUCUCACUAAACGUUGUACAAACUCUAAAGUAUGAUGAAAAAGUAUAAUUUUCUACACAUAAUAGAAAAAAGUUAAUAAUAAAAUGAGCCGUGCGUGAGUUUAUGGUUUGUGGAGAGUAGUGUUUGCAUUUAUAUACUGUCAUACUAAUACUAAUAUUAUGGGCUAAUGGUAAGUGGACUGGUCGGCUGAGUCAGGUAGAUGUAAUGGAGGGGAUUUUGUUUUGAGCUAAAUAGAAAAGUAGUGUAAAAUCUAAUAAUCAAAUCAAUUCAAUUCAAUUGUGUGUGUGAGUGUAUUUUUUUUUUUUUUUAGUGGGCAAUCGAUUCGGUUUCGGUUCGACGGCAUAAGGACCAUACUCACUCCGCCAUGAACCGGUUUAUUAAAAUCAAAACCAUACUCGAUUGCACCACCAAUUGCACCACCAAUUCGAUUUUUUUCGCUCCAUUCGGUUCGGUUAACCGCAAUUUUCGAUUUUGAUGGAUCAAACUGCCAUCCCUAAGCAAGUUUAGUCAUAAGUAAUUAAAUAGUUAAAGAUAUUUUUUAUUAACCAAAGUUCGAAAUAAUCGAUUACUUAUUUUUAACAUGACUCUUAUAUGUUUUAUGGAGAUAUCAAAAGGUGCUGAAUUGGCCAAAUGACUUAGUAGGGGCUUGGUAUAGUCCAAUACAAAAUAUGCAAAAUAAGAAUACAUACUCGUAGAUUAGGCACAAUCUUAUCCAUUUUAGAUGCGUCAAUCAUAUAUAAUUUAAAAUGAGCAAGGCAAAACAUAGUCGUGUCAGGCCUACGCUAGUCAAACCAUCUCAAAACUAAACCGUAACUUGUUAGUUUAGAAUAUAUAAACGUGCAACACUUGAUUGAGUAUAACUUUACUUAUUUGUCUUUUGAAGAAAAUGACAAACAAAGCUUGGCGGUCAAUUUCUUCCUGAAGCUUACCCAUUUUUGCAUUAAUCUUAGUGGACAUUUAUAUUCUCCACAUUCUAUUUAUAUAGAUUUGUUUUAUUUUUCAUACGAAUUAAGAAAUUUUAUUAAUGUUACUGAAAGGAUAAUUUUUGUCAAAAUUUUUUCUAAUUUACCAUUAUUUAUAUUUGUACAAUUUCAAGAUUAAAUAAAAAAAAAUUGAUUAUAACUUGACAAAUUACAUAUAUUAAUAAACAAAUAAAACAAAAAAUUCUCAAUAAUGAAACAAGACUAUAUAAUUGAGACAAAAAAAUAUGAAAAGUCAGCUUAUAUGAGAUGGAGGGAAUAAAAUAUUCUAUUGAGGAUAAUGACCUUAACCUCAUCCACUUGGUUACUUUCCUUAAUUAACUACACUAUAAUAUUUAGGUAUUUGGUGUUUANNNNNNNNNNNNNNNNNNNNNNNNNNNNNNNNNNNNNNNNNNNNNNNNNNNNNNNNNNNNNNNNNNNNNNNNNNNNNNNNNNNNNNNNNNNNNNNNNNNNNNNNNNNNNNNNNNNNNNNNNNNNNNNNNNNNNNNNNNNNNNNNNNNNNNNNNNNNNNNNNNNNAAUUUUAUUUUCAAUCAUAAAUUUCAAUAGACCUGUAAGUAUUAUCUACUUAUCCACAACUCAUACUAAAUAUAUAAUAAGUAAAAUUGAAGAUACGACGAAUGACUACUCUAAUUAUUAAGCAAAAUUAUUUUUGAGGCGAACAAGAAAUUACGUUCCAAGUAAAUCAAUUACUAACUACAAGUAUGAACGUGAAAAUUUAUGGUGGCAAUAUGAUAUCAGAUAUUCAAAAGAAAUUUUAGCACUUCUUUGGUAGAGUAUUCAGUACUCUCUUUGUCAUCGUUAAACUUACUUUCAUAUUAAGCCCUUGUUUAGGCCCAUUUUAAUACAAAUUUGGGGAAAAAUGAGUUUUGAAUAAUGAUUUUUUUGGAGAAUGUGUGGUUAAAAAAAUAAAGAAAAGCUUUUGAUUUAUAUGUAAUAUUGCUUUAUAAAAGAAUGUGUGGUUGCAAAAUGAAUUUUGAAAAAAACGAAUUUUUGAAAAAAAGGUCGAACAUAGGUUAAUUAACUUGAAUACACUAUUUAAUUAGGAUUCAAUCAUGCACAUAUCCAUUAAAUAGUGACAUGAAUUACUGAAUUUCACACUCUAGAAUAUUAAAUUUUUUCUCCAAUAUACUGAGUUGGAAGAGGAAGAGUAGGACUUGGGACUAACCUAGGUAUGGGCUUGGGCCUCCUCUCAAGUCUUGGUUUAAUAAGAAUAUUAUUUUUGGAGAGAACAAUUAAUCAACUUUGAGUAAUGUUAUUUAUAAGUUGUACUCAGAGCCAACCGUUUGUGUGACAGUUUUGUCAUUGUCAAAUUAUUCAAUAAAAAUAUAUUGAAACUUUAUUAGAAAAUGUGACAGUGAUGUAUAAACAACUUACAAAUAAUAUUUUCUAAUGAGGAUUUGACUUGGAAACAUAAUCUUCCAAUAAUGUGUCAAUUGCCAGCAUGUGGCACAAUAACGUAACACAUGGUUAAGUAAAUUCGUCCGGUGUUAAACUACAAGAUAUGUACAUAUUCCUUUUCGAAAGUACGUCUUUAAAUAAAUAUUUUUUUUUGUUAAUAAUCACGGUCUCUCGAAUAGGGCAUGCCCCUUUCAACUAGCAUGUUUCUGUUGAAUAGUGAUGGUCACUGUUCAUGAAUAGUGGAUACUAAUCGGUAGAAAGUUUUCCAUUCGCAUUUAAUGCAGAGGUUAUCAUGCAUGGUUUUCUUCUCAAAUUUCAAAUGCAAUUGGGAAUGGCAUUAAAGUCACUGAAUGGAUAUACGUGAAUAGCAUUGUGCAGCGAGUUAAGCGGGACAAAAUUGAGAGAUUAUCUCUGCGUGGCAAAUAAAAUACACAGAAUGUAUUUUUGUAUUGCUCUUCUUCUCUUGUUGAUAUAGUGAAAAAUUUGUGUGAGUUUGUGGACGUAGGCACGAUUGUCGAACCAUGUAAAUUAUUGUGUCAUACUUGCAUUUAUUUUUGUUAUCUUCAUUUGCUCUUAUUUUAAAUUAUUUUGCGUCCCACUGAUCUUGACAGAGUUAGUAGCUUUACACUUUCCACCACUAUAAUAGAAUCCUCUUUGCAAAAUUUUUAAUCGAGUUGUUCGGCUAACUUUUGAGUUCUAGAAAUGAUUGUACUAAUACGUGAGAUUAUCGCUUAAAGUCUAAAAGCACAUUUUCUCAGUUCCAUACUCGUUGGAAGGUGCAGGACAAGUACAUAAUACAUAAUUAACAACUUUAUUAUUGGCAUGAAGCAAAACACAAUGGAGAAAAAAAAACAUUGAACUCCAACCUUGAGAGUCUCCACCGCCCCGCCCCUAGAGUUUUAUGAGGGAGGUAAAUUACGGGAUGUGCCCAAGCAGGCAAGGGAACAAGAGCUGCCUGUACACUGCGUCUACAGAGAGUUUAAUUCCAUGUCUCAAGAAUCGAACCCUUACACUGCGACUGCUAACAAGGCGUGAGAUAAUCUCACUCCUAUCCUUUGCACGAUUGAGCUAUGCCCCGGGGGGCAAAAAGAAAAGAAAAGAAAAAACACAACAGAGAAUUCACACUUAAUAUUGAUUGAGUAAGGUCUAUGUCUAAUUCUUUUAGGACACGUUUGCGCCUAAUAUUGGACAAGCCAGUACAAUGAAUAAGAUUUUAUUUAUUUUUUCUUAAUAUUUUACAGUAUUUUCUUGUUCACCCAAUACCGUGAGGUAUUUACUCUAAGGAUAAUGCAAUUGGACUUCUUUAUGAAUCAAUUCGCUCCAACUAUAACAACCAAAUGCAAACUUAUUUUCCCGCAUAGGCUUCUUCCCUACAACCGUUAUGUUGAAGCCUCUACUUUUCCGCUUUAGCGUUGAAGUGUAACGUGGGUGGAGAUAUUUCUAUGGAGUAACCAGGAUGUUUUUUAAUUGUAACCAAGUAUGAAGACUUACUACCAACAUUUGUAACAGUUCGAGUGACAAUCAUGGAUACUUUAAGCUUAGGCACUUCGCAAUUGCUAGUGAUAGAUAGUUGAGAUUACUCGGCGAAGGAAUAACAUUGGGACAUUUGAAAGAUGGAACGAGCAAAUUACAGCUAUUAGGACAGAGGAAGAGAUGAUAGUCAGUAUAAGAAGCAUUAUAAACAAUUCCUGAAUCAACUGCCUUUGAAGGCUGAAUGUGGCCCACGUUAUUAUGUAAAAGAAUAAAAUCUCAUAUCGAAUAAAAAUAAAAAUUUAGACUAACUUAUAAGAAUUUGGGAUAAAGUGUUUUUUUUUUCUUUUUCCAAAUAAAAUUUUCGUUUAAUGGCCCCUGAAUAUUUUGAGUAUUCUUAAAGAAAUUUUUUCUUGCUACUUAGGUAACAGGCAUCUCUGCUAUAAGCCGGCCCGCAGUCGAAGCGAAAAUAUUCCAAACGAACGACAUUUAUUGAAAUCUAAUUCGGGUGACAAUAGAUGAUUUUCUUCUCCUUGACCAUAUAAACAUUUCAUAUUUGAUGGUUCUUUGUGUUGUGAAUCGAUGGUGAUAUACGCUGAUGUGUUGUUUUGGAUGAAACUUGUGUUAGUUUUUGCUAGGAUUUUAUUUCAUUUCUCUUGAAUAUUUACGAAAAUGCAAGAAGACAUUUUCAAGGCCGGAAAGAAAGAACGCCACUUUAUGGAAUAAAUAAAAGAGAUUCUGCUGGGAGGAUGAUUGAAUUUUUAUAAUUGCAUUCUUUGCAUCAUGACGCCUAAAUAAAGAUAUACGUAAUUGCUCGCUUCACAAAGCAAAUUGAAACGGGUAGAUAUCUGGACUUCCAAAUGAAAAAGAGACAGUUUAUGGUUCACUGGAUAAAUUGAUGGCUUGUGAUACUACAUGACUGCCGGCAAGCACAAAUGGCAAGAUAAACGCAUGAUGUGAUCUGGAUAGAAAGCGAGUGAUUGAAGUAUGAGUUUUGCUCGAAUUCUCGUCCAGACAUUUUUGUUGAAAGUGGACCGACAACAAGAAGCUGAAACAUUAAAAAUUCUAAAUUUUUUUUUCUCCAACUAUGUGGGCUAGUAAUGAAAUCCACAGUGUUCAUAUCUGUAGAAGCAUAUCACUUUUUUAUGACUUGUCCAAAAGGUCCCAUUAAGAAAUUUACAAGUCAAUUUCCUUCUUACUACUGCUACUACUAUUACUACGUGCCUUUGUAAUACAUUUUAAUUAUUUAAUUAGUAAUGAUUGAAGAAAUGAAUUAAAAUAAAAGCACUUAAAAAGUUUUAAAAUAUAACAAAAACGAUUAUUUAAAGUUAAAACGAAAAUGUCACAACAACCAUAUACACACAUCAUUCUACAAUUAUUUAAGGAAAACAUUACAUAAAACAAGUGAAUACAAUGUUUUCAUUAAUUUAAUGUAAUUUAUGCAGUUGUAAAAUAAAUGAAUAAAUAAUUUUUCAGGUAAAUAAAUUGUUGAGAAUUAAAAAAAAAUGAAGAAAAUAGUUAAAUACUUUUUAUUUGGUGUAAGAUUUGAUGUAAUGGAUUGGAGAUGAAUUUUAUUUUGGUACAAGAUUUUGGGCAAAAUAGUGCAAAACUCACCUUAAAUUUUGAUUUAGGGUUGGAGAUGGCUUAAGAACUUCAACAAUUAGAACAAAAAUAGAGGGCCUCAAGAAGAAAAAUAAGCACUUUAUACCUCGUAUGCAUUGACUGUGGUGUUUAGUAUAGAUAGUUGGUGAUUGACCAGAAUAAGAUAAAAUGACAAUCGGUGAUUGAAAAUGAGAUAUUUAAUAUUUAUUAGAAAGUUGUGAGAUAAUUUAAUGAAAACUUGAACAUGUUUUUAAAUUUAAAGGUUUGAGAAUUCAUUUAUUCUUUUUUGAAAGUUAAAGACUGACCAAGGAACUUCAACAAUUAGAACAAUAAUAGCAUACCCCCACAAAGAAAAAUAAGUACUUUAUACCUCAUAUACGUUAAAUUUGGUGUUCAGCAUGAACAAUUGGUGAUUGAACAAAAUAACAUAAAAUGACAAUUGACGAUUGAACAAAAUAGCAAAAAAUGAGAAUUGGUAAUUGGAAAUCAAACAUAUUUCUAAGAAAGUUGUGGAAUAACUUAACGAAAACUUGAAUUUAUAUUGAACGUCAAGAGUUCAUUUAUUCUUUUUUGAAAGUUAAAGACACACUAAGAACUUCAAAAAUUACUGAAAAACAAUAAUAGCGGACCCAGGAAGAAAAACUAGCACUGUAUACUUCGUAUACAUUGAUUUUGGUGUUCGGUAUGGACAAUUGAUGAUUGAAUAGAAUAUGAUAAAAUGACAAAUGGUCAAAGGGAAGAAAAAGGCCAUUUGAAAGCGGGCAGUGCUACAUGAACAGGGCCACAUAGCCCUAUUUUUUCAGGGUUUGUGGCCUUUUUUGAGAAGAUUUAUCCUUUGAAAGGCCUGUUAGAGAAGAUUUAUUCUUUGAACGCAAAUAGUUUGAAAAGGGGUCAAAUCUUCAACUUUUUCCUUUAUGUUUAGUAAUUUUUGACUAGUUCAAAUAUAAAAACAACACAAACAAAUUGGUUUGUUUGUCCGUUACACAAAAGUUAGCCCUUGUUUGGUAGAGAUUAAAAUCGAAUUUUUAGUAAAUUUUGAUAAAAGUUGAUGAAAUAUGUAGUUGAAAAAUUGUAGGUUCCAUGAAAUAUGCGGUUAAAAUUAAUUGUUUAUUUUGACCUAGAUUUUAUUCCUACCAAACAGGGGCUUAUUUGGCUAUACAUGGAUAAAUUAAUAGAACUAGUGCAUAAUUAGUACAUAGGGUGUAGCCUUGUACAACCUGUAAAACACGAUUUCAUGUAGCAUGUUCACUAAUCAUCUAAAUUCCUAUAUUCUAUUACAAUGUUAAGUCCCUAUUUGAUUUAGCUAAAAAUCAGAUUGAUAAAAAUUGAUGGAAUGCAUGUUUGAAAAUUGAUUAAAAUUGUGAGUAUCAUAAAAUGUGUGAUUAAAAUUAAGUAUUGAUUUCAACUUAAAUUUUUAUCAACUUUUUAAUUAAAUGUGAAAGCGUAUGUGGCAUAUGAUCAUAAAAAGAAUAAAAAAGUACCUAAGUUAAAUAAAGCUGGAGUAGUUUUGGGCAAAGGAAAAGAAUAUUAAGUGCAUGUUUAUAUAUAGAACUCGAAAAAUUUGUUCUUUAAAUUCUGUCGGUUAUUUUACAUAUAACCUUACUAAACAAGCCAUAAAAAUAUGCAUUUUUUUCGUAUAUUUAUUUAGGGUAUAUACUGUAUGACACAAAGAUAUAUUUUCUGACAACUUUCAAGAGUACGACAAUUUGUUGAGAGAAUAAUUUUGCAAUCCUGUGUGCCCAUUAAUAUCGUCACAUAGAUAUAAGGUUGGGUGGAUAGAGAUCUCUGGAAGAGGUAAAUGACGAGCCGAUUUCUCGUGCAUCAGAAGGAUUAGAAAAGGUCUGAGUUUCACUUGAACUAGGUUUCAAGUCUUCAAGCUUCUCUCUGAGUGAUUGAAGCUUCAAUUCAUCUUCAUAGAUGCUUGGAUCUAUCUUAAAUUCCUGAACAUUUAUAUAUCCUUCAAGCAUGCCACAAACCGUGGACAUUGGAGGCCUUAGGGACGGAGAUGGAUUGGUGCACAAUAGAGCAACUUUGAUCAUUCGUUAUGCCUUGUCCAUAUUGAAAUUUGAACCCAACCU
This 117214-nucleotide long non-coding RNA is filed under the name Olea europaea (common olive). RNAcentral describes it as "long non-coding RNA (OEUR_LNC002542)". Lineage: Eukaryota; Viridiplantae; Streptophyta; Magnoliopsida; Lamiales; Oleaceae. The record is from RNAcentral.